This 99530-nucleotide long non-coding RNA is filed under the name Sorghum bicolor (sorghum). Its description in RNAcentral is "long non-coding RNA (SBIC_LNC010998)". Lineage: Eukaryota; Viridiplantae; Streptophyta; Magnoliopsida; Poales; Poaceae. The record is from RNAcentral.
CGAUGAAGGCUCUUGGCCGUGGUGGCAUCGAGGACAUCAAGUACGUCGGCAGGGCCCCUUCGGCUGCUACCGCGACGGGCUUCUACUCUGUGCACGUGCAGGAGCAGACGGAGCUGGUGAAGAAGGCGCUGCAGCGCGACCCCAUCAACUACCCGUUCUGAAAGAAACGAGACCCCCUGUAGAUUCUAAUCGGGGACCUUUUGAUUUUGAUAUACCUCUAUAGAGAGAGCAGGCCUUAAGUUAUACAGUACCUGUGCAGCCAUUUGGUGAAAUAAUCAUUUCGGACUCUACAGUGCCGCAUUUGAAAGGAACGGUUGUAAGUUUGGAAAAACUCCAUCUCGCAGCGUCAUUUUUGUGUUCGUGUAUGCUGAAAAGCUUGCAUGGCUGAAAGCCUGAAACACCGACUGCCGGAAUUUUCUUGUGAUGAAUUGCAAAGUGUAUAAAGGCAAUGAACAGGUAUGCCAUUCAUCUUGCUUUUGAAUGUCGUAACUAUUUGGCUGGCUGAAAAAAGGCUGCUGCUAAUGCUGAUUUGUUACAAGAGAAAAACAUUGUUUCAUGGCUGUUGUUGAUUCAGUCUCUUAAAUAGUAUUCCCCCUGUUGUUUAGUCUGCGCAGUUAUAUGCUACUGGUGCACAGCGAACAUGGACCUUAAGCAUGCACGUAUGUAAUGCUCAGCUCUAUUUACUUUACCUUUGUUUUUUGUGUUUGUCUCCUACAUGUACGAGUAUUUACACCGAUCUAAGGGGAUGUUUUGUUGGGGGUGUUAAAGUUUAAUAGGUACCGUAGCAUCUUCGUCUUAUUUGACAAUUAGUGUCUAAUUAUAGAUUAAUUAGAACUAAAAGAUUCGUCUCGCAAAUUACUCUCUAACUAUGUUUUUAGUUUCGUAAAUAGUCUAUAUUUAGUACUUCAUGUAUGUGUUUAAAUAUUUAAUAUGAUAUAAGUUAAACUUUACCAACUCAACAAACAGGGCCUAAGAUUACACCCACCAUCGCGCACGGGAAACAUCCGGGGAGGUAACAGAACAGAGACGUCGGGGCUGGGGUGACGUAGGAAACGGAGACGUGGAGGGUGGGGUUCGGCCCAAUUUUUUACAAUUUGACUCUUUUUUUUUAAGAAAGUUCACAAUUGGACCUCUGGAAAACUUAAAUGCAGAAAUGGACCUAGGGGGUCGACGCCAUGAAUCAUGGCGUCGAGGUAUCACGUCUCGACGCUAUGGAUCAUGGCGUCGAGGUCCCUGGCUGUGCACAGUAAGGCUUCUGACGUGGCAGGGAGCUCGGCGCCACAGAUCAUGGCGCCGAGCUCGGUGCCACAGAUCACGGCGCCGAGCUCCCUACUACAUACCGACCGACGCCCUUCGCUACCGUGGACGCAGUUCAUAUUUUUAUCUCCCCUCUCGGCUCUUUCUCUCCAAAAACCGAGCACGAAUUUGGAUUCAAUAUUUCGACCAUCAAAAGUUUGAUUUAUUCCAUAGAUCUUGAAGAGCCAGGUAUACUCUUUCACAUAUUAGUUUUUGACACAUUGAUUUGACCUAUAUUACACGUAUGUUGUAGACUUAGAUAAACCAUUUCUAGUUUUUUGAAUGGAUGAUUAAUAUUUAUGUUAUGCAAUCGUAGAAUGCCACGUCGUGAAUAAAGUAGCAAACCAAGGUAACCUUUCGACAUGUUUCGAUAAAUUUCAUUCGUUAUUAUUUAUCAUUUGGUAAAUUGUAGUUUUCGGUUAAAUCGUUAUUUGCUAUGAUUUCUUAGAAUUGAAUUCUUUGAACUGUAGCUAUGGCCGGACGACCGGGAGUCCGUACAUCCACAAGCCGCUUCCUAGCGGUGUUCCAGUAUCUAUGUGCUUUUGUGGUGAUCCUUGCAAGGUAGAAAUUUCGGAAGACGAGGAAACCUAUCGGUAGAGGUAUUGGAUGUGUUCCAAUUUUGCCUGGGAGCCUACGCCAAAACAACGCCGCAGUAACUUUAUUGUAAGUUAUUUUUUCUAUUGUGCACUUAGUAUUUUGUGUCCUAUGAAGCAUGAUUUAAUUUUUUGAACAAAUAUAUUUGUUGCAGACCCCUCCACCAUUGUGUGAUUUUGAGCAGUGGAUCGACACUGAGAUUAAGGAGUCCGACAAGCGGCUUCUACAAGGCCUAAAGGAGUGGGAUGCAAAGCGCGCAGAAAUAUUAGAGAAGAGACGUAGAGAGGAGGCUCAAAAGAGGGAGCACAAGGAAGAGGAGGAAAGAAGACGUGUUGCUGCGGCUCGGGAGGAGAGGGAAAAGAAGCUUGAGCGUGUGCGCCGAGCGAAGGCAGCGAUGGAUGAGAAUCCAGAUGCCCAGAGGAAGGGAAAGUGGCCUCGUUGCACUUAGUAGUUACAUUACCUUCUUGUUCUUUGUUUGGUUCAUGGACAAUAUUGUUUUGUGUUGGACUUUUCAAUUUGUUGUUAUGUAAUGCACUUUAGCAAUUUUAAUUUAGUUUCAUUAUUAGUAGACAAUAUUUUUAUUUGAGUAUUGCAUAGGCAAUGAAAUGAGGAUAAUUAGUUGAAAUGGAAGUUAACGAACUAGUAUAUUGCAUAACUAGUAGCACACAUCACAUUGAAUGGCAUGUCAAAACAUGCACCAAACAAGGGUGCAGAGGUCCGAGACUAAACCUAACAUGCCUUAGGUAAUUCAAGCAAUUAACAAGCACAAGGAAUGACAUGUGAGAACAUAUACCACACAAAGGUACAUAGUUCUUUCGACUAACCCUAACAUGCCUUAGGUGAUUAAACCAAACAACAAACAUAUGGAUGUGGCCUGUGAAUUAGUUCAGUUCUACCUAGUAGUGUGGCCACAUAGCAAACUGUAUUGCCCCUUCUCCAUAGUAUCCUCCCGUUGUUGGUGGUGGUGGUGGUGGGGGUGGUGGUGAAGGAGGGCCCUUGUUCUUGUGAUUAGGGCAUGUGCAGUAUGGAUCAUUGCAUAUUGUGUUUUGGGAGCCAGUAGCAUUGCUGUUGUCGUCCUCUUCGUCGUCCUUGUAACCACUGCUAACUUCCGUUUCUAAAUCAAAGAUACGGUCCUGCAGGUAGUAGAUGUACUCUGCAUGGGGAUGAAUAGGUCUAGGAUCGACCCAUCUGGUGAAGCCACAAUUCUCUUUUGACAAGGAUGACUGCAAUAAGUAUGUAGCUUUAGCACAAGAGAGUAUCUUAUUGAAGGUUGAAUUAGUAAUAUGACUUACCCAUGCUCGUGGACAUUUGAAGAAACGACGCCCUCCAUCUAUCCCCUCUGUGUACAUCUGCACCAAACAAUCCUCACCAUGCAUACAUUUUGGCCACUCUUCUUUUCGGUCAUCCUAUGCCCUCAGUGGUGCCUCUUUAGUAAAAUCAUGUUUGCUCUCAAGGGGGAACCUAUCAUAAAUUGCUUCCUCAAAGUCUUUAGGACCAAGAGGACCCUCCCAAAGAAAGGGAUUACCCUUCAUCGCCGCCUUUCCCUUUCCCUUCCCUCUAGACGACCCUCCAGACAUUUUUACUUGAACUGAACAAUCUCAAGUGAGUAGCAACGCUCUGACCACUGCGUAUAUAUAUAGGAACCCAAUAGUUGGUAGCCGUUGUAGUAUAUAAUAAAUGCACCUGAAAAGCCUAGAUUUGAUUACUGAAAAGCCUAGUUGAAAACUGAAAAGUCUAUUUGGAUUGUCAUCUGAAAAGCCUAGAUUCGAUUACUGAAAAGCCUAGUUGAAAACUGAAAAGUCUAUUUGGAUUGUCAUCUGAAAAGGCUAGAUUCGUUCACUGUUUCGGAUGUGAUGAUUCAAUGAAAAGCCAGGAAUGGACCACAGAAAAUGUGCACUACAUUGAAUAAUUCAUGGAAAAAAUUUGCCAGAGUUUCCCCUGUUUUAGGUACAUCCACAGUUAUAAAUAGACAUCACAGUACAAUAGAAACAUUAAUUCAUCCAAAUAUCACAACACAAUCACAUACGCCAUCAGAAAUGAUAGUUCAAAUAGUCCACAAAGACCAUACAGUCUCAUAUAGUACAAAUAGUCCACAAAGUUCACAGUGUCGAUACAUGCAAAUUAACAAAAGUUAAGCCAUCAAUUCUAAGCUGCUACCAUGGUGUUAGCACAGAAGUCCUCAUCACUGCCUCCUAGUCUUACCCUUACCCUUGUGGCCAAGAGCAUCGGUGCCUGGAGUGUACCUAGAAGGCGAACGACGUCGCCUUCUUGCAACCUGCGUAGGCUGAGUAGAAGAAGGAGCAUCAGGAAGCUGAGAUAACCCAAGCUCGUCAUAGUCACGCUCCUCGGCCACCCCCUCUUCGUCGUCAUCAUCAUCGCUUUGAAAAGUGUCCAUGGUUGGCCGAGACGAGCUCUGUCCUCCAGAUCCUAUCAACAUUGUUCAAAUGAUGUGUGCACAUAAUUCAUUAUAUCAUACCAUGAAAAUUGCUCAGUUCAAAUAAACAACAAAUUUAAUGAAAUUAUACCUUCCAAAGAAGAUGUACCAUGCACAACAGGUGUGUUGCAUUGUCGUUCCUGUGGCACAUACACAUUCAUCGCAGCACUAGUACCGCAACCGCACCGAGCCGCAGCACGCCUAAGCCUACGUGCUAGUCUCUAUUAUUCAAAGAUUAAAAUUCAUAUUGUUAGAUAUAUGAUAAAUGAGGGUCGUAAUACUUGUUCUUAGAUAAAUUCGAUGUCAAGUACUUACUCCAAGAAAGUUGUUUAGUGUGUGCUCGUCCACACCUGUUCUUGGAAACCGUUCGAUGUCAAGUACAGAUUGCUUGAUUGCGUUGCCCUAUAAGAUAAGACUUGUAUUAGUUUAUAUAGGUGCAAUUUAUAAAGUGGAAAGGACAACAACCGUACAAUUGUAAAGUGGAAAGGACAUGUACCACUCGGUCCAAGACAGGUGCUGCCUCGAUAAGUGUCCCUUGUCGUGCUGCUAGGUCAUAGGAAGUGUCCUCAUCCUCAGAUGACUCAAGGUACGCAUAAUCUGCUUGGGUCCACUGAAUUUUCAACCUUGUUCGUGUAACACCUAGGUACCAAGUAAGGUAUGCACGAAAAUUGUAGUUGGUAUGUGGUUGCUCAUUUUCGUAGAGGUUGUCAUGAAACUGGUCCCACACCUCUAUGUACUGACGAUGCAACGUUUGAAACUCAACUGUCUUCUUCUGCUUCUGAUGAUCAAUCCUAAAAUUAAAUAUUAAAGAUGAAAAUAAUAACACAGAUUGAACAACAUUGAUUCUAAAACUCAGUACGGGGUUAAAAAUAUUGAACUAGCAACAUGGAUAUAGAACCAACUAUGAAAUAAAUUUCAACAAGCAUGUAAAUUUCAGCAAGUAGGUUGGAAUUGAAUGCAUCAAAUACUUCCUUCAUGACUAAAGAUAUAAAUUUCAGCAAGCAUGGAUAGGCACUUGCACAUUUGUGGUAUUGAACUUAGAAUAAAUAUGUAUCUUUGAAUAAAUUUCAGCAAACAUUGAAUGAAAAAGUAGCAAAUAAAUUUCAGCAAGCAUGUAAAUUUCAGCAAGCAUGUAAUUUUCAGCAAGCAUGUAAAUUUCAGCAACAUUUAUGGUAUUGAACAUUGAAUAAAUAUUGAACUUUGAGCAAGCAUGGAAAAUUACCAAAAUGACUUAAUUGUGCAGCUCCACGGAAGUAUCAAAUGGAGGAACAGGCCAUUGCUGGCACAAGCCAAAUUGGCGGGCUACUCGAUUUGGAAGGUGCCACUCAACAGCAUAGAAGCAAAUCAGAGGGCACAUCAUCAAGUACAAGUCUUCAUCCUCGCUACACAUGCUGCUUACUCCAAGAUGCAGCGCAUCAUUCGCCGUGUACGGCUCCCAAUUCACCUGCAAACAUAAGACAUGUAUAUGGCAAGUUAGAGAAACUAUCGAGCAUACAUUAAAUAAGAACUACUGCAUUUUACUCACCAUGGAUGGCCUAAGCGUGUCGAGCUCAUUGGCAUACUGUACGUACGCACGUGAAGUCCUGCUGAAGGGGACUUUCGCCUGGUCCCAAAGAUGGGCAAACGUCGGACGGUGACGAGGGUUGCCCACUGCAAACCAUUCCCGAGGAGCGUCAACUAUGGGCCGUCCAACUGGAAGACGAGCCCACAUCCAAAGCUGCAAUAGGUAAACACAACCACCAACGGAAGAACUACUUGCGGUCCGACGACACGCCUCACAAAGGCUACGGUAUAGGAAAGCCAGCACUCCCGAAGCCCAGCUGUAAGUACCUGUAACCGUUGUAAUCAAUUUAAUCAAUGCAUAAGUAAACAUAAGUAAGCAAAUUAAUAAUAACUGUGUAAGGGAAAAGUACCUGUGGUGUCCCAGUGAGGCACGGGAGGUACAUCCACGAUGCAGUGUCCCCUGUCGCGUCAGGGAAAAGAACACACCCAAAUAGGUGCAAGAUCCAAGCUCUACAGUAGUAGGCAACUGUCUCCUGGUCCGCAUGUGCUGGACAAUUACCAAAGCUCUGCCUAAGCCAAGCAAUUGGUACCCCAGUGGUGCGCUGCGUCGGUGCCUCCGGAGGAAGUGGUCUUCCAAGGAAGGCCUCAACUCUGACCCUCCAACCAUCGGGCCUGCAGUGUCCGAUAACUGGACGACCUCUAACACUCAAACCCAGGAUCUUCUGAGUGUCCUGGAGUGUAACAGUCAUCUCUCCACAAGGUAGGUGGAAACUAUGAGUUUCUGGCCUCCACCUACAAUUUAAAGAACAUUGUUGUUAGGGUUUUCAGAAAGAUAGAUAAAGUUUGUUCAAAAAAACAUACGAUUACUAUGGAUAAAUGGUGCACCUGUCAACCAAAGCUGUGAUCACCGCGGGUUAAUUGGAGGCAACCCACGACGAACCUGAUACGAUAUGACAUCCAGGCCAGCCCUCUGCAGCAGAGGUGUGUACCUGUCGUCAUACCGCAUCUCCUCGAACUUGUCAUGCGUUCGAGGUCGAAGCGGGGGUAGUUCCUGCAACCAUACAAUCAAGUUAUUUAAUGCAUAAGUACACAAAUUAAUAAUAACUGAAAAGCAAAGAUCAAAGUAAGUACCGCCCCCUCGGCAGUGAGUCGUCCUCGGUGCUUCUGCUCGUAGUAUGGAUCCAGGAGGUGGAACUGCUCCAUCCUAUAAACAAAUUUGAUCCAUUAGUUAGUAAUUAAGCAGAAAAAAUAAUACAUUACAAUGUCAUUAUAUUAAACAAAGGAGCACUAGAACAUGUAUGUCUGCCAAAAAGUAAGUUGCAUAUGAAAGUAUUUAACAACUAAAGUACAUAGAAUAUUAAGUGCACCUGACUUAGCGGCCAAUGGCAAGUACGCGAGUUGUGUCCAAGUCUACCACAUUUGCCACAUUGAUUUUGCUCGGGGUCAGUAACAAACGGGGUUGCUCUCCCUCGCCUCGUUCUACCUGAAAUCUGGUCCAUGACCAUCUUAUGCCUCGUACGCUUUCUGGUUCCAUGUUUGUUCCAGCGAGCACCUGGAUCUGCAAUGUACCUUGGGCCAAUGUAUUCUAGCCACUGCCCCUCAUCUAGGAAAGGCUCAAAACGGGGCGACCAAGUUAGCACAAGGCUAUCAACACUCAACUCCCAUGGUAUCUUGGUCUCGUAGUCAAAGUUGCGAUGCCUAGCUGCUGCAAUAUAGUGAGAACAAGGAGAGUGGUACUGUCUUGGUCUCCCACAUCCACAUGAAAAAUCAGUAAGGACAACAAUAUAACUCCUUGAUGGUCGGAUCUCACCAUCUGACGUUGUACCACCCCUUUCAGUGACCUGGUACUUGCCAGUGGCAUGGUCAAAACACUCUAUGUCAUGUGUCCUAGCCCUUUCCUUUGCCUUGUCAAGGUGCUUCUUAGGUCUAGGUGCCCAUUUCAUAUUAUUACUCUGUAAUUGCAAUGCUUGAGCAUGUCUAUCGUUGAACCAGGCCACUAGCCUAUAAAAGGUAAAAGAUACAAUGGCAUUGACUGGCAUGGCACGUAUACCCUUGAGCACACUAUUAAAUGACUCUGCCAUGUUGCUAGUCUGAAACUCGUACCUCCAUCCACCAUUAUCAUGGGCUCUUGUCCAUUUCUCAGGUUCCCUCAUCAAACCUAGCAGCCACUGCCUACCUUCUGCAUUUGUUGCGGUUUUUAACUGCUCCAACUUCUCCUCAAAAAACGGCACCUCAAGCAUUCGAGCAACCUCCUCGAAUAGAGGAAAGUUGUCCUUCGUACCAUCUUUCCGAAGUAAAUUCUCUGCAAGGUGUCUAGUACACCAACGAUGGUGCAAAGGUGCAUAACCAGGAAUCUACUCCUGUACGGCACUGAGUAUGCCCUGGUGCCUAUCAGAUAUGACACCAACCUCCCUAUGUAGGCCAAUGACAUGUAUCCGAACAAGGCGCAUGAACCAACCCCAGCUGUCUUUGUUCUCUCUCUCUCCACCAAAGCAAAAGCCAAAGGAACCAAUGCGUUGUCAGCGUCACAGGAAAUGGCUACCAAAAGAGUGCCCAUGUACUUGCCAAGCAGAAAAGUACCAUCAAUUGAUAACACUGGACGGCAGUGCCUAAAGGCCUGGACACACUGUGGAAAACACCAGAAUGCACGAAAGAAUAUCUGCCUCCUAUUCCUCCAUUCAUUAGGCUUCGGAAUGUACUCGUAAUGCAUGCCUGGAUUAGCUGCUUUCAUUGCAUUGAACAUUGCUGGCAGCUGCUCGCACCCCUCCUCCCAGUCCCCAUAUAUCAUCUUCCAGGCCCUUUGCUUUGCCCUCCAUGCUUUGCCAUACUUUAUGUCAUAUUUAAAUAUCUUCUGAGCCAUGUCCAUAAUUGUUCUGACCUUCAAGUUGGGCUAACCCUUUAAAGUUGUGCAUAACGUACUAGCAAUAAGUGUAGAGGUCAACUGUCGAUACUUCUGUUGAAGGUCAGUCUGGGCACAAGUGUGUGGACCUACAAUUUUUGUGAUCUUAAACUUCCCGGUAGCCUUCUGUUUACGAGCACAGACCCUCCAGUUGCAAUCUGACAUCUCACACACAACCGUGUAGCGGCGCUCAACAUGGGAGUGCAUCACCUUGAAGGGUCUUUUACGUAUUACAGAAUAUUGUUGUAACCACCUUCUUAAGCUGGGCAAGUCAUUAAAGAUCAUGCCCUUCUGAAUUUGCACACUGUCACUAGGCUCAGGAGCCUCCAGCAGCUCAUCAUCUCUUCCCUCUGCAUAAGCAUUUUGAGAAUGACUGAGGUCACUAAACUCGUGAACUAGUGGAUCACGAUCAGGACAAAAACGUCUGAUAAGCUCCAUUUCUUGUUCACUUAAAGGUGCAACUGGGCGGUCAUCAUCGGAAUCAACAGCUCUAGCUGUGCCAUAGGGCUCCUCAUCAUCCUCAAUAUGGACAUCCAAACUAUUAGAUGCUAUAAAAGCUGCGUCAACAUUAAAUGAUGGAGGCACAGGAUGACAAGAAUCAUUACUUGGAUUGUCACCUACAACAAAACCACAAAUAUGGAUACAAUUGAGACAACUAAAUCGAACGAAGAAAGGCUAACAAAAUGAAUAAUGCAACUACGCCACUUACAUUGAAUAGUCUGGGUCAUAGGGGUCUCUCGGCAGCCAACACCAACACCACCGACAAAUCUUCCAGCCUCAUUGGGACCGGAUUGAGCAUCAGGAACAAUAACCACAUCUUCCACACCCACGUCCUGAAUGGGUAUCAGAGAAGCUGAGGGUGCCGGAUUGUCCGGUUCCGGCGAGAACCCACCAAUGGGUGGUUGCCAAUUAAGAGGAGAAUCCACUAGAGGGCCUGGCUCCUUGGACAAGUUGCGCACAACCAAAUCCAAACAUUUAAACUCACUCUUCAUGACAGUUUUGACAUAUUUGUCCCAUUGAACCUCGGAUACAAUUGGGACCAACCGCCUAAAAAUUGUCCCUGACCCGCCAUGGUGAAUGACCCCCUCAACUAAGAUUUCUUCUUCAUUCGAAUUACAUUUAAGCUCAUCACGAGCACUACCCAUCAAUUCAGAAAACAAGGACCGCUCAUCAAACAUCAAAGGGACCGUUUGCAUUCCAACAAAAUCAACAUUGCCAAACUGAUCUUUGUCCACACUUCCUCCAUGAUAUAAGGUUACUAAAUUGUCCAUCUAAUUGAUAUACAAAACAACCAUGUUACUAGGCAUAUAACUAAUACAAAUAAAACACCUAAAUAUCAAUACGUAUGUAACUAACUAUAUAACUAUAACUACAUUAUCUAAACAAUUAUACAACUAGAAAAAAAAAAUUUUACCUGACCAAAGCAGCGCCGGGGCCGGGGCAGUCGCGGAGCCGUCCGGUGACAGCCGCGGGGCCGGCCGGGCCAGCCGCGGGGCCAGCCGGGGGCAGCCGCGGGGCGCGGCCUGGGCACCGGCGGGGGCGUGGCCGGGGCACCGGCGCCGGCAGCCCCGGGGAAACCUGCAUUGGCCACGUGCGUCCCGCACCGCCAGGGGGCCUGCCGGAAUUUGGGCCAAAACCUCGCGCCAGAACCGUGGCGCCGACUUUUUUUNNNNNNNNNNNNNNNNNNNNNNNNNNNNNNNNNNNNNNNNNNNNNNNNNNNNNNNNNNNNNNNNNNNNNNNNNNNNNNNNNNNNNNNNNNNNNNNNNNNNNNNNNNNNNNNNNNNNNNNNNNNNNNNNNNNNNNNNNNNNNNNNNNNNNNNNNNAAAAAAGGGCCAAUUGUAAAAUUUGGGGGAUUCGGCCCGUAUACUCCUAGCGGGUUCGAUAGGAUCCAAUUGGUUUCAGGUAUGUACGGAUUAUGUUGGUAUAUACGUGACUUCUUUUGAGGCAAGUAUAUACGUGUAUAUUAUUGUGAGACAGGUAUAUACGUGCAUGCUAAUAACUACAAUGGAAAAGGAUCUGGUUUAAAUUGUUUGAUUUUGACGUUGGGUUGGCAUGCAAUUGGGUAUCUAUCUUUUUAAAAUGUCUGUAUUUAAAUAGUAGUAUGUGUAUAUACGAAGUACGGUUGCAUACUUCAACAAGGACGAUGAGUAUUUAUUAAUAUUAAUUUGUAUUGUUUUACGUGAACAAGUAUUGACACAUAGUUUAGUAAAAAAAUAACUAUAUUUAUAUACUUGUUGUAUUUGGGAGUAUAUUUAUAUACUUAAAGGAUUAUUUUAAUGUUUAUAUUUAGGGUAUGUACUUUUCGUCUGCGUUUUUUUAGGACUGUAGUAUGAGCACAUACUUUUUUAGAGUAUGUGUACAUACAUAUUAUUUCUAAUUGCAAACAAAACCACAUGCAAAAACUAUAUUCGAACAGAGUAUACGAAGUAAAAACUAGUCCAAAAUGCUGUAGUAGUAUGUACUAUUAUUUGCACCAAAAUAGUAUGAAUAGAUACAAGGAUGCUUGCAAAAAAAAAGAUACAAGGACAAAAUGUCGAACAAUGUAAUAAAUUGCCGCUACUAUAAUAUGAAAAAGUAUCUAGUGGUACAAACAUUUCCUAGAAAGUAUGAAGUGAUACCUCGAUGUAAAAAAGAAAGUAUCCGAGGAUAGUCAAACUAUGAUGUAUAAGAUUGAAAAGGAUGCUAGAUUGCUAGUUGUGUCAGUGUUCAUUUAGAGAACUAGUGGAGGGCGCGCGCCUUCGCGCGCGAUGGCAGAAGAGUAGAAGACCUUAGUUUGGUUCAUGGUAUGGUAGCAUUGCUAUGAAAAAUAAGUAUGAAACAUAUAAUAGUUGUGAUGAUACUGGAUGCGAGGGUUUUGAGAGAGCGAUGUCCAAUGUAGUGAGAAUAAUAUACAUAUAGAAUACUGCAUCUAAUUUAGAGUUUAAGUCUGCCAGCAGCAUAGAUAUGUAGGCCAAACAUAUAGGUGCCGAAAAUAGUUAAAAUUUGCUACAUGAUAAAGUACAGUGCCUAUACAAAAGCAUUAUAGAGUGUUGGUCAGAGAUAUUAUACAGGGUCAUUAGUAAGUGCACUGCGACCUUUGACGGUCUUGGAGCUUCCAGCAUCUAUACAAAAGCACUAAGUGUGGGGCAGAGAAGUAUGUCCUAAAGCUGGCCUUACAAUAUGCUUGGAAUGGCAAAGACAGUUCAAGUUCAAUGCUAUAUAAAUUAAUACCGUCAGAGAAAAGAAUAUGACCCUAAACACAACUAUGUUAAACAGAAUGAAUCUGCAUAAAAAACAAAUAAGAAUCUAUAUGUAUCAACCUUUGUCCCUUCUUUUGUUGACUCAGAGGCCCCAUGUCCAGUGCUUUCAGCAUGUGGUUUGGGUUCUUCAGUUUUUGAUCUGCAGUUUAUAUCACAUAUAUAAAGAUUUGUUUGAAUAUGGGUCAUGGAAAAACCUUGUUAUAAUGUGUUUUUUUGGAAAUAGUAGUGUCAUAAAAAAGACCUGAAUGGUGCACAUACAAUGGGAACAAGCUACCUUGUUGGAGAAGAGUCCAAAGGUGGCCAAGGAUGUUACUUUCUUGCGUUUUUUUGUCUUCUGUCUGCACGAUGGCUGUGCAUCCUUGUUGCUUAUGUUAUAUCAUGUGUGCAUCUAGAUGCUUUAAGCAAGAGCUGAAAAGAAAUCCCUAAAGCAAUGUUAAAGUUGUUGCUCCACUUUUAAGAAACGAGGUCCUUCUUCAGAUCCAAGAAAAAGAAUUAAGUAGCAUUCACAACGUUAACAUAUAUAUUUUGAAAGAGAUUAUUUUCUUGGCAUGGAUGUUUAAUUGGUGAGAAUAAAAUUCAGUCAAAAACCAAAUAUUGAAUAAAACUGGUAUGUAUAAUUUUUUAUUUAAUUAUGGGUAUUGGACAAGCUUAUUUUAGUUGACGCACUGUGAUACACUGGUAUCUAAUUGCAGGACCUGUUAUUGGUUUAUCACUAAAACAUAUUAAAAAUUGCAGGCAUGGGCAAGGCCAUAUAUUUCCCUUUAAUGUCAAUUGAUGCAAUCACCUAACACAAGCAUGAAAGCACACUGUCUAAUCUGAUUCUGCUGAACAUUUCUGGUGUGCAGUCAGAUAUUCUUAUCAAAUGACAAUCUAGAGAAUAAUUACCUUUACUUAUCUCCACUUUGUUGACAACAGAACUGAGUUCUUUAGGUGACUCAUGAGUUCCUUGUUGAUCAAUCAUCAUGACCGUCAAUGACUAAGUUUGAUAUCUGUCAAAUAAAAAGGAGCAGAGGGGAAGGCAACAUUUUUACAGAAAAAAUUUCAUUUGUACACUGCAGUAUUCCUUAUAAAAAAUUGCCAAUUGUUGAAGCUUAACCUGACAAGAAAAUAUAAAACUUUUAGACUCGAUUUGUAAUCACAGCAUAGAAAUAAGAGGUUGUAGCAUUCGUUAUAACUGUUGGCAUUCAUUACUAUAGCAAAGAAAAUGGAAGUGCAUAUAACAGGCGUGAGACCCUAUGUCCUUAGAAAAUAAUGGCAACUUAACCUUAUCAGUUAUUGCAAUUUGAAUAUUUCAAGUUACCAGAUAGUUUAAGUCAAAUAAGUUCCCAAGAUUUUAGGUCUCUAACUGGUAGCCUUAAAAUCAGUUCAAAUGCAUUGAGACCUAUGGGUCCUUCUUCUUUCUUCUCUGUAACAUGGUCAUCCUGAAUCAGGGUAAAUAAGUAUUCGGAAAAGUAGCAUGUAAUUUAUAUCUAUGACAUUUUGCAUGAGAGAAAGCGGAAAUGCAACAUCGACUGACUUCUGAAUUAUUUUGAAUUAUAGAAGACAACAUCCACAUCAUCCAAUGGUGUGUCAUGUUUCUAGUCAAACUCCAGGCGCCUGUAGUCCUUUUUGAACCACCCAUUGUGUAGUCCUUUAGGGAUUGCCAUUAUCUGCUAUUUUUUCAGGCAAAAUAGAAAAAUAAUACCAAUGAAUUAGCCAUGUUGAAUUAGACCAAACUAUAUGCAUGGAACCAUUUAGAAAAAAAAGGCGGACAAUGUUCAGGAGGAGGAGAGUGAAGUAAGUUUAAAUGAGAAGUGGUAUGUAAGGUCAUAGUGGACAUCAUGUUGGAGAAAAUCCCAUGAGUCGAGUGUAAGUAAUCUAAAAAAAUACCACUCUUGGAUAUGAAAUUAGGGGUGCAGACAGUAACCUCUACAACUAAAUUCAGCUAUUAUAACUCAAAUGAAUAUGCAUGAUUUUGCAGGUUUGCCAUUUUCAUUAGCAUGGAUGUUCAUGUAACAUGGAGGGACAGUAUGCAUCAGCCUGGUGUAUGCUUUUGACCUAUAGAAACUAACAGGUGCACAAAUGCUUUGUCUUUUCAGCAUGUGCCACAAAGGCAACUGAAAUAGGAGCAUAAAACAGUAUGAGUAAGCAACAAUAUAUAUAUCAGCAAUGGAGCUUCAAUCGAGCAAAGAAAACUGCAAGAAUAUACUUCCCCUUAGGUAUUCAUAUUAGUAUUCUCUAAAUUACCUGAUGGUAACCCAUUUGUUUGCCUCCACUUCAUGUAGUUGUAUAGAUAUUUUCACAUGUACAAACUAUUUUCAAUGAAUCUAGAGAUUACAUGAUUCUUCAUAUCACAUUUUUCUUGAAAAUUUCAAUGGCUCCAUCUAUAUUGCCCUUGCCAUUCUAUACCUAUAAAUCACUUCUAAAAAUUAGCUACUUACCAAUUAGGGAACUCUUAGGUAACUACAGUUGUCCAACAGUGAAACUAAAAGUAUUCAGGCUAUUAUCUUAUUGAAUUGGAGCCAACCUUGAAAUUGACAUGAGAGUGUUCUGGUAUCUUUUUUAGCAGGCAUGCUAUGAUCAUGCACCUGAUAAACAAUGGAUUUUGAAGGACCCAAAUAAAUUUGGGAAGCUACUUCCCUUCAUCUCACACAGUAACACUUUUAAGUUUAGCUAGCAGACUAUAGUCACCAAUCCACUCUGCAGGCCAGCUUUCAGUUACCAGCAAUCACAGUUGAAUUGGUUCUCAUCUACUAAAUAGCAUACUCUCAUCUGGAGCAUCAUAAAUUGCUUUUUGAUGCGCUCAAAUUUCAAUUCGAGUAUUGUACCCUGCAUUUAGCAAACAGAAAUAGCAAACAAAAGGAUCAAGGAAAUUUAAGCAAAAAUAAAGGAAAAUGUAGCAUAAAAGGGUCAACGCACAUUUGUAUAACCCUCAACAUGGAUAUGUAUAGAAUAAAACUCAGCAAAGGACAAGAGCAUGAAAAAAAAUGAUGCAAUUAUUUCAGGAUAUAAAUUCCACAAUUAUUUUUGGCUAUUUUAUUUAAGUAGAAAUUGCAUAGGCAUCGACAAAAUCAUAACUACAAAAUCCAAGUAGCUGAGAACAUGGAACUGCUACCCAAGCCCAACCAAAACAUGUUAAGGAACCUGUUGUGGUUACAAAGCACUCAAAUGAUGCAAUGCCUCUCUUCACAGUUAAAACUGGAAAAACAGUUUUGUUUAGUUUAUUUACCGAGGAAGAAGAUGUGCGAACAACAAAUUACAAUCUCAUACAUACUUUUGGAAGGGGGCAGCCGCGCCGUCAACCACCGGUAGGGCUCGGUUGGGCGCGUUGUGCCCGGGGAGGGCGGCCAUCAGGGCCCCCGCGGCGGGGGCGGCCACCCGCGCCACCGGCACAGCACCCAACGGGGAGCGCCGAGGGCUAGCACCGCCUCCGGUGAGGAAGAGGCGACUAGGGUUCGUCAAGCGUCCGCGGAUCAACUCAUACAUACUUACAGAAGGGGGCAGCCGCGCCGUCAACCACCGGCAGGGCUCGGUUGGGCGCGUCGUGCCCAGGGAGGGCGGCCAUCAGGCCCCCGCGGCGGGGGCGGCCACCCGCGCCACCGGCACAGCACCCAACGGGGAGCGCCGAGGGCUGGCACCGCCUCUGGCGAGGAAGAGGCGACUAGGGUUCGUCAAGCGUCCGCGGAUCAACACCCGCAGAUCGAUGGGAGGAUGCAGCGCAAGAGAAGCCGCGAUGGCGGCCACCGGCGAGGCCCAGCCGUGCACUCCGUGGCCGGGGAUGGCCACCGGUGGGGCACAUGCGCGGCGCUGCGCCGUAUGCUGUGGGCACCGCCGUUCCGGCCCCGGUGUUGUUGGAGCACGCUUGCAUGUCAGGAGAGAGGGAGAGGGCAGGGAGAUGGAGGAAGGAGGACGGCCGCGGCCACGGCCGCUCCGAGGACCGGCUGUCGCCGCCGCCGUCGCUGUCGCCCGCGUGAGGAGAGAGGGAGGGAAAGAGAGCGGAGAGUAGGGAGAGAGAGGAGAUGAUAUAUUUUUUGAGAAGCGUUUAGAAGGUGAAGGAGCCGAGUUUAUAUUUGUUUCUUCCAAAUUCUGAUGAUAAGCUAGAGAAAACCGGUUAUUACAUAGGGAAGCUGUGAAAGACAAACAGUAAAAGUAGAAGCUAAUUCAGUAGAAUCUUACAAGAGGAACCUAAGCCGUUGAUUAUGCAGAUCCAACGAGCAAAAAGAAUUACGGUGACAAGGAUGCUGGUUCUGGCUUAGGAACCCACCAGGUUUGUAGAGUUAAAACGUGCUGAAGACUUCGACAAAAACAUGGUGCGAUAAGGCAUACGACCGGAGGCCUGGCGUCUGGCUUGCGGCAUUUGGUAUGGUGACCCAUGACCAAAAGAGCGAUCUUCCUUGACACCGUCUCCAACGUGGAUCUGCCACCAAGCCCUUGCAAAUCCACAAACAGACCUGGAUCACCUCUUGCUAAUCAACAACCAACUCACCUGCGAAGGGAUGACACCACCGUCAAUCAGGAAGGUAGUGCAACCAUCAGAUCCGAUCGGCCCCACCAUAGCGCCGGCUGGUGCCCCCCUUAGGGUUCUGGUGCCCGCCUUCCGGAAGCUUCCUCCACCGCCUUUGAGGAGUCAUCUUGGCCCUUGGUUAAGUCGGUUUGAUCCGACGGCGCGCGUGACUCCCAGUGGCGGAGGCAGGAUUUAGAUCUUGGGUAUUCCCUUGCUGAUGUCUGGUGGGCCACCACUUAGCUAUGGCCUCUAACCUCAUGAGCGACGUGCGCCCUCACCAGUCGCCAUGUAGGCGUAGCAUAGAGACAGAGGCCGCGCCUGCGCUGCACGCCCCGCGCCGCUAGGAGCUUAGAACAAUGGAAACCAGUAGUGCCGCCACUACGUCAUGCCUGGUCGGCUAGGGUUAGAGAUUUAGGAAUAAGGAUUAUGGAAUUGCCUCCCACUCGUGCCUUGUUCACUCACACGAAAAGAAUAGUUUGUUAUACAUGUUGUCAUGCGCAUAUUCCGAUUUGUCUUGGAAAUGAGUUUGGAAAUAAGAUAUGAUUUGUACUAAUAUUUGGUGGCAUGUGCAUGUGGUGUGGAGAUAAAUAAUUAGGUUUUCAUUUGUAGAAACAAUAAAUAGAAUAAUUUUGGCAAUCGAGCUAACAUAGAACCUAUAUGAAAAAAGGAAUACAAAGAUACACUAAAAAUGAGAGAAAAAAUUUAUUUGCUAAAUAUAGGAAUGCUAAUGUAUUAUAUAUAUAGAGUGUAUAAAAAAGUUGGGUAUUUCUAGGAAUACCAGGAAUACCCACUGUAUCCGCCAGUGGUGACUCCCAUCAAACUAUAAAUACGUGGGCAGACCCCCCUGAGAUAUCACCAACCUGAUUAUUCAUCAAGGCCUCAAGCCAUCAAGCAUCAAGCGCCUUCAAGUUCAUCUAGAGCCUUCUAGUUCAUAGUUCUAGUUAGUUAGAUUAGAAGUAGAGGAGAUCUAGUUCUUCAUCGAGAUCUGGAGUCCCUGGCGUUGGUCUGGAGCACAAGAGUUCGGUAAUAGUUCUAGUUCUACUUUAUAGUAUUUCAUUGUAUAUUAGGGAGACUUUAUUCUUAAUAGAUUCAUAUGUUCUUAAUUACAUUAGUCAUUGUCUACUUUGAUUAUUGUGGGGGUAUAAACCCCUAUACCCUUACGGCUAGACUUGGGCCAGGAGGGCUUGGCCCAUUACGAGACAAGCUCAAGGCUUGAUCUGACAGCUUGGAGUUUCGCGCAAGGAAACAAGACGUGUAGAUCAAGCAGGAUUCUGGUCGGUUAGAAUAGUAAUUGAUAUCGUACUAUCUAUGGCAAUUGUAACCGACUAGGAUUAGUUUCUAGAUCUGUAACCCUGCCCUCCGGACUAUAUAAGGAGGGGCAAGGGAUCCCCCUAGGACAGAUUAUUCUCUCAACACAAAUCAAUACAAUCAGACGCAGGACGUAGGUAUUACGCCAACUCGACGGCCGAACCUGGAUAAAAAGCUUGUCCGUGUCUUGCGUCACCAUCGAGUUCGUAGUUUGCGCAUCGUCUGCCGAUAAACUACUACCGUGGGUAUACCCCAAGGUAGACUGCCGACCAGCUUUCGUCGACAGUGGCACGCCAGGUAGGGGGUGUGCGUACAACUCCUCUGACGAACAAGAUGGUCAUCCUCCCAGCUUCCGCGGCCGUGCCCGAAGGCCUCACGUUCACCGUCGGCCAGAUCACGUGGACGACGCACGGCGGCGGUCUCACGACCACGGUUUCGGAGGGAACCCAGAUCCAAUCUGGGAUGACGGCGGCAUCGGCUCCGACCACACGGAUGCUGGUACCGAGCACCCGACCACUACUCCCACGCUACAAGGGAAAGAAGAUUGACGGCUCGGAUCUUCUCCAGGCACUUGAUCGCGCCGAUUCCAAGCUACUUGAAGCUUCCCAACUAGUAGAUGGAAUCUUGCACCAGCCUGAUCAAGCCGCUCCAACAGAUUUUUUCAAAUCCCACCGGCCAACUCGUGUCAUUACACACGAACGGCUGGGAACGUCUCUGACGAUAACCUCAACUCCCUCAGGACGAUCCGUCAAGCUCAAGGUUAACCCGAAAGAAGAUUAUCCUUGCGGUCUGAACAACUCGACCUCUCUCUACUCACGGCACAUCCAAUCCCUUUUCAACAAAGCGGGUUGGCUGCCAAAGUGGAACGGUCGACCUGCUCGUCACUACGUCAACAUGGUGACGAUCCAAGAACCAUAGGACGGCCAGGCUUCCAGCACAAAUUCGAGCACUGGUUCCGUCCCCACCGAAGUCAUAAACUCCGAAGACGAGGACUACGACCUGGAUUUGCCUUCACAUCCUCCGGGCUUCUCUCGUUUCCUGGUCUUCCCCCCCGGCGAGGAGACAUUGUUUUCAAUGUCAGCGCCGACGAGCCAGUCGUUGAUGGAGAAACAGAGGGAGCAGAGGCAGCUCCGCGAACAGCGUAACGCCGAUCGCGCCCGACGACGCGCGGACGAGGAACGCCAAAUCCCGCCGCAUAAUCUCAGCGACGCUUUCGACAUGGUCGGGGAUCAACCAGUUUAUAAAACGCCAAGCGCCAAUGUGGCUGUUGCCAUGGCCAAUUUAGAUCGGCUUCCUGAUACUCCCGAGUGCCAGGGCGUCCGAACCAGCGUUCGGGCACAUCUGAUCGCCGCAAUGGGACAGACAGCCACUCUGCUCAAAAGAGUCCAAGACGUCUCCUAUACGGAGGCCACCUCCAACCAGACUCACCGCAGCCGGACCUCACCGCAGCCCAGCAGGCACCACCGCAGCCGUUCCCCCGACAAUCAUCGAAAAGAUUCACGGCGCGACGACGGCGGUCGGGAUAUUGGCGGUCACCACGAGGAGAAUCGCAGGCGUGGUCAAGAAGUAAACCAGUACAGGGAUCUUCGAUACAACAUCCCUCCCAAAGACGCCCGGGACCGUAUCAAUAGGCGCACCACGGAAAGAGCAGUUCACGAAAACUUGCGUCGUAUUGAGUACGAUGCAACGCACGGCCCCCCGAGCCUGAAGCAGUUCUCUUCACACCUCCGCCAGGUCGCGUGGCCGCGAAAUUUUAAGCUUGAGAAACUCAAAAAAUACGACGGCAAGGAAAACCCAGAGAACUGGAUCACUCUUUACGAGAUCGCCGUCUGAUCAGCAGCAGGAGAUGAGCACGUCAUGGCCAACUACUUUCCAGUAGUCCUCGACCAGGCUGGUCACCAGUGGCUCCUAGGCCUGCCCGAGGACUCUUUCGACUCCUGGGAAGAACUACGCCAAGCCUUCAUCGACAACUUCAUCGCCACCUGCGAGCAACCUGGGAACAAGUACGACCUCGAAAGGAUAAGAGAUAGGAAGAACGAACCUCUGUGCGACUACAUCCGACGAUUCUCGGAUAUGCGCCUUAAGAUCCCGAAGAUUUCCCACGACGAGGCUAUAUCUGCUUUCAUCAAGGGGCUGCGCUUCCACGAAGCACUGAGGAACAAGCUACUGCGCAAAAGGCCAACAACGAUGACAGAGCUCCUCGCCACGGCCAAAAAUUAUGCCGACGCCGAUGACGCAGAAAAACUCAUCCGAGAUGACACCAGAGGUCCUGACCAGCCUUCUCGGCGUGACGAUAGUCGCGGCCGCUUCGACAACAGGAACCAUCGCCGCCCCGAUAACCGGGACCACAGAGAGGGCUGGGACAGGCGCCGCGACAACCGCGACGAUUUCAGAGGCAAGCGCCCUCGCGAUCACGACCACGAGGUGAAUACGGUCAAGCGCCCCAAUGGACGGUGGGAUCACCAAGAAGACUACAACAAGACGUUGAAGGGACCAUGCCAACUGCAUCCAAAAUCCAACCACACCAUGGAAGAAUGCCACGUCCUCAAAAGCAUCUAUACGCGGCGGGCUGCUCAAGACGAUCCCUCCAAGAAAAACGGGAAACAAGAUGGGCGCGAUCACGAAGACGAGGACGAAGACCAGGAUAGGGACCCACGACACCAGUAUGUCAGUCCUACUGACGUGGUCCAUUCCAUCUUCGGAGGCAAGGUCUCCAUCGAGUCUAAACGAGAAAGAAAGCUCUUAAAGAGAGCCUGCCUCAACAUAGACAGCACUGAUGGUCUGAUCGCCGAUCCAAAAUUUCCUCCCUGGUCGCACAGGGAAAUCUCCUUCAGCAGGAAGGAUCAGUGGGCCGCUAUCUCGGAACCGGGUCGUUUCCCUCUAAUCUUGGACCCUUGCAUCAACAGCAUCAGAUUCGAGCGGGUGCUCGUGGACGGAGGAAGCUCCAUCGACAUCCUUUUCCGUAACAGCCUGCCUGCUCUCAAGAUAUCUCCUGCACAGCUCAAACCCUACGAUGCUCAAUUCUGGGGAGUCCUGCCAGGCCAGAGUUCAGUGCCACUCGGACAGAUAACACUGCCUGUCCAAUUCGGCACGUCCGACCACUUUCGAACAGAGUUUGUCAACUUUGUGGUCGUCGACUUUGAUGGGACUUACCACGCUAUACUGGGCCGACCAUCGCUAACAAAGUUCAUGGCAGUCCCAUAUUACUCAUACCUGGUCCUUAAAAUGCCCACGGAGAAAGGCGUCCUAACCAUCAGGGGCAAUGUCUACACUGCAUAUACCUGCGAGGAGGAGAACUUCAAGAUCACCGAAGCAAUCGAUCUCUCAAUCCGCAUGGCAGAGACAGCAACCCAAGCUGCACAGCUACCUCCCGACCAGCUUCGACUACCCGAGUAGGAGACCGCCAGGAAGAGCUCAAAAUCCAAGGAGCACAAAGAAGUGCAGCUGGUCGAAGGCAGCCCCGAGAAGACGGCCCUCAUCGGGGCCAACCUGGACCCUAAAUAGGAAGACGCGCUCGUCAGGUUUCUAAGGGACAACGUAAGCGUUUUCGCAUGGAAACCCGCAGACAUGCCCGGCGUCCCACGAAACCUGAUCGAGCACUCCUUAAAUGUCUCGAAGACCGCAAGACCCAUCAAGCAAAAGCUACGAUGGUUCGCUCGUGACAAAAAGAAGGCUAUUAGGACAGAAAUAACACGGCUUCUAGCAGCCGGAUUCAUAAAAGAAGUGUAUCAUCUCGAUUGGCUGGCCAAUCCGGUUCUUGUACGCAAAAAGAAUAAUGAAUGGAGAAUGUGCGUUGAUUACACUGAUCUCAAUAAACACUGUCCUAAAGAUCCUUUUGGUCUCCCUCGCAUCAACGAGGUGGUCGACUCAACGGCCAGAUGCGAACUCCUCUCUUUUCUAGAUUGCUACUCUGGUUAUCACCAGAUCUCGCUAAAGGAAGACGAUCAGAUCAAAACAUCUUUCAUUACUCCUUUCGGUGCAUAUUGCUACACGACCAUGUCCUUCGGACUCAAAAACGCCGGGGCAACCUAUCAAAGGGCCAUCCAGCAAUGCCUCCACGACGAGAUUCGUGACGACCUCGUCGAGGCUUAUGUAGAUGACGUCGUCGUCAAAACAAGGGAUGCCAACACCCUAAUCGACAACUUAGACCGAACCUUCAAAGCACUAAACAAGUAUAAGUGGAAGCUCAAUCCCAAAAAGUGCAUCUUUGGGGUCCCCUCCGGUCUACUACUCGGCAACGUCGUCAGCCGCGACGGCAUACGGCCGAAUCCCUCAAAAGUCAAAGCAGUGCUCGAUAUGCGACCACCCAAGAAUGUCAAAGACAUUCAAAAUCUUACCGGAUGCAUGGCCGCCCUCAGCCGCUUCAUCUCCCGACUAGGAGAAAAAGGCCUACCCUUCUUCAAACUCUUAAAGGCGUCGGAAAAAUUUUCCUGGACAGAGGAAGCUGACGCUGCGUUCACCCAGCUCAAGACUUUCCUCACCUCGCCGCCCGUUCUCACAGCGCCUCAGCCCAAUGAAGACCUACUUCUUUACGUUGCUGCAACCGACAGGGUUGUUUCCACGGCAAUAGUGGUCGAGCGAGACGAGCCAGGUCAUGUCUACAAGGUCCAGAGACCCGUUUACUUCAUAAGCGAAGUCCUAAACGAGUCCAAGGCCAGAUAUCCACAAAUACAAAAGCUCAUAUACGCUAUUCUAAUAACGUCGAGAAAGCUAAAGCACUACUUCGACGGCCAUCGAGUCUUGGUAACCACCAGUUUCCCUCUUGGGGACAUUCUACGCAACAAAGACGCCAACGGCAGAAUUGUAAAAUGGGCAAUGGAAUUACGCCCAUUCUCCCUUGAAUUCCAAAGUCGCACCACAGUCAAGUCUCAGGCCCUGGUCGAUUUCAUUGCAGAGUGGACGGAUCUCAACGAACCUCCCGUUCCCAACGUUUCCGACCACUGGUCGAUGUUCUUCGACGGGUCCUUAAACAUCAACGGUGCCGGCGCUGGGAUAUUUUUCGUGUCGCCUAACAAGGACAAACUGCGUUACGUCCUUAGGAUCCUUUUUCCGGCAUCAAACAACGUCGCCGAAUACGAAGCAUGCCCUCACGGCAUACGACUAGCCGUUGAGUUGGGAGUCAAACGCCUCUAUGUCUAUGGCGACUCCGCCUUGGUUAUCAACCAACUCAACAAGGAAUGGGACGCAACCCACGAGAAGAUGGAUCUCUACUGCAAAGAAAUUCGCAAGUGGGAAACCAACUUCUACGGCAUAGAAUACAUCCACGUGGUCCGGGAUAAGAACCAGGCAGCAGAUGCGUUGUCAAAGUUAGGGUCAUCUUGGGCCCAGAUCCCGCGAGGUGUUUUCGUCCAGGACAUCCAUGAGCCAAGCAUGGGCACAGGCCUGGUCGAAAAGCAACCUACAGAGGCAAUGCUCAUAGACGACACUACUUCGACAACCAGUGGCCGUGAUUGGCGCAUCCUGUUCAUCAACUAUAUAUCGGAUGGGUCAGGCUUUCAGGACAAAACAGAGAACGAGCGCCCAUUCGACGGUCAAAGAAUUACAUACUGGUGGACGGCAAACUUAUGCGAAAAAAAUGCAAGUUCUGAAGUGCUGCUCAAAUGCAUAUCCCAAGACGAUGGCAUCAAGCUCCUAGACGACAUACAUACCGGAUCCUGCGGCUAUCAUGCCGCCUCCAGAACGCUGGUCGGGAAAGCUUUCCGAGUAGGUUUUUUCUGGCCAACCGCGGUUAACGACGCAGAAAAACUGGUCCGACACUGUGAGGGAUGUCAGUUCUUCGCUAAAAGGACCCAUGUACCUGCUCAUGAGAUUCAAACUAUCCCGUCGUCCUGGCCUUUCGCCUGCUGGGGGCUCGACAUGAUCGGGCCAUUUAAACCGGCCCCGGGCAACUUCAAGUUCGUCUUCGUAUUAAUCGACAAAUUCUCAAAAUGGAUCGAGUACAUGCCAUUGGUCAAAGCAACCUCCGAAAAGGCCGUGGAGUUCCUCAAUCAAAUCAUACAUAGAUUCGGGAUCCCAAACAGUAUAAUCACCGACUUGGGCACUCAGUUCACUGGCACUACAUUUUGGGACUUCUGCGAUGACAGGGGCAUAGUCAUCAAAUACGUGUCAGUAGCUCACCCACGGGCAAAUGGCCAAGUCGAGCGCGCGAACGGAAUGAUCAUCGACGCCCUAAAGAAAAGGCUGUACACUGAGAACGACAGAGCACCUGGUCGAUGGAUGAAAGAGUUACCGGCUGUGGUCUGGGGCCUCCGAACUCAGACUAGUCGGAACACGGGGGUGUCACCCUACUUCAUGGUUUACGGCACCGAGGCAGUUUUGCUGUCUGACAUAACUUUUGGUUCUCCUAGAAUUGAAAACUUCGACCAGCCAACAGCCGACAAUGCUAGGGAGCUCGAAAUUAACUGCAUGGAGGAAAAGCGUCUAAAUUCAUGUCUUAGAACAACAAAGUAUCUCGCAGCAGUCAGACGAUACCACAAUAGGAACGUCAAGGAACGUUCUUUCGUGGUCGGCGACUUGGUACUCAGGUGGAAAAUGAACCAGGAGGGAAUGCACAAGCUUUCCACUCCCUGGGAAGGACCAUUUGUGGUCGUUCAAGUCACACGACCUACAUCUUACAGACUGGCGCAUCCAGACGGGACACGAGUGCCUAACUCUUGGCACAUAGACAAACUAUGCCGUUUUUAUCCAUAAGUUCCAGUAACUUUUGCUUGUAAGUUUCUAGUAUUUGGAAAUAAUAAAAGUUUUCCUUUUUGGCUAUACUUUGUUUUCACGCAGAGUUUGCGACAAGAAUAACAAUGUCCUCUACGAUGGAAAUUUUUCAACGACUACCAAUCAAACACAGUGAUACAUCACUCAGAUAACUUUACAGCGCUCAAAAUCAUGGUCAUGACAAAAUCAAACUUUAUUACAAACUUUACAUACAAAGUUUACAAUAAAACACCCUGACGGGCGGUCACUAGUCUACUCCUACAGACUAUCCUACUAGGCCUACUGCUCGGGCUAAUCACCCGCCUGGCCUUGCUGCCCGGACAAAGGGGUCGGGGCCACCGGCGCCUGGCUGGUCGAGACCGCAGGCGUCGACCGCCCAUCUCCGGCAAGGGACGCCCCCGACAACUCCCUGGCAGACCUGUCCGAACCCGGCUGGUCGGGGGGAGUGGCCAUCCCGCAUAGAUUGAUGUCGCCGAUCACCGUCGACGACAAGUCUAGUAGUCCAGCCCGAAGCUCGUCCGCCUCCUGCGGGCCGACUUCCUUGCGGUACCCCUUCUCCAGCCUGGACAAGUCGACUAGGGGGUAGUGGGCGCGCACCAUGCUGAGGAUAUGCGCGCCAGCAAACUCCCCGGCGUCCUUCACGAACUGCUGGAGCCAGUCCCACGCCCGUUGCGCCUUUUCAACUGGCGUCAGUCUCGGCGCGCGGGGCUGGCUCUCCGGAUGCUCGGGGCUGAUCAAAUCCAGGACCGGGGCUACUCCUUUCCAAAUCCUACAACAAUUAACCUUCCAGGAGUCCCGAUCCUUGACCAGCUCUUCUAGGUGCUUCUUGGUGUUCACCUUGAGCACUGCAAAUCAAGCAAGAUGUUAGUCUCAACAUAUCGAAAAGAGCGAUAAAUGGCAAAUAACGGGGGCGGCGCGUAUUACCAGACAACUCCCGGUCCCUCUGGCCCAGCUCCUGCCCUGCUCGGCUCCUGGCCUCCAGCGCCCCGGCAAGCUCUUGGCUGAGCUGCUCUUUCUCCUGCCGAAGGCGCGCGACCUCCUCCUCCAAGUCUACAUGAACAAUUAGCAGGUCAGUAAAGUCAACCAUACGGCUAUAUACAGCUGGCUCGAAGUAUGAGACUGACCUAUUCGCUGCCGAUACUGGUCGGCUAAACGACGAGCGAGCUCGAGAUGAUGCUCCUCCUGGGCGCUCAUCUCGGCCACUUUUUCUCCAACCUCCGACCGCAGCCGGUCGACCUCCGUGGUCAGGGCCUUGUUCUCGGCCACAAUACCUUCUAUUUGGUCGAAGCACCUCUUCCGGUACUUCGCCGUUUUCAUUGCGCCCUGCAAGACGAACAUAUGUUGACCCAGCAAGACAACACAAAAGUAUCGGGCAGUGCAAAGGAUCACUUACCUUGACUUCGUCCACGAGACGCUUGGCCGCGCGCUCUACUCUGGCGGCCUCUUCUGUCGCCGCGAGCUCCUCGUGCCCGAUGAAGUGGUCCCCGCGUUGGCGCCACACAUAUACGUGUUGGCGGCCAUCACGAGGACGACCUUCAAUCUCCUCCACCUCGUCGUCGGAGGCCGCCUGGGUUUCUUCGCCCGCUGCAUCGCCCCCGGUGGUGGUCGCAGGCAUCACCGGCCCCUGGACCAGGCCCGAGGAGCCUGCGGUCGAAGAGACUCCUGCCCGGGGCGGCGUUGGGACCUCCCUCCCUUCGACGGGGGGAGGGGUCGGGGCUCUGCCCUCCCCUUCCACGACGUUACUUGGGGGAGGCGUCCCCGUAGCCUCCUCGACCCUUGUCGGGCUGCUCGCCGCAAUCCUUGUCGAGGCCGGAAGCUCCUCGGCGCUCUCAGGCACGGCUGCCGCCGCAGGCUGCUCCGCGGUCUGCGGCGCCGCGUCCUCAGCGGCACAAGCAGGCUCGGCCACCCUCUGGCCGGUGACGUGGUCGGGGUUGAUGUCCGACGCCGCGCUAAAAAAACAAAGUAGCAUUUUCAACAAAAAAAAGAAAAAAUCGCCAAAGUACGUAAGUCGAACACUUACAGGUCUGAUCGAUGAUGGGCCGCGGUGGACCUCCUCCUAGCCCUGCCGGUUGGCACCUGCGCCCCCGUUUCCGUAAUGCGCGGCGCAGGAGGGUCGCUGGCCACCCGAUCAGUAGUGGCCGGUGCACUGUCCGGACGGCUACGAGGCCUUCGGACCAGCGACGGUGCGGCCUCCUCCUCCUCAUCGUCGUCGGUGAUCCGGACGAGCCGACGGCGCUUUGGCGCUUGGCUGCUCUCUGCCGGCAGCGUCGGCGCAGGCGAAGGAUCUGCUGCCAACGGCCUUUUCCCCGCCACUCUCUCCUCUGUGGUCGGGACGGGGUGGGCCUGGUCCUCCUCACUCCUGAUGUAACGAGUACACCGAGCAGCGUCUUCCUCCGGCGGAUCUUCCCCCGCAGGAUUCUCCAUCCCAGGUGCCAGUGACACAUACACUGCGCACCGAUCAACAUCUCCGAUCUGCAAAAGUAACAAAGACAAGUCAGCAGCAGACAAUAACAAAUGCUAAGGCGAAAUAAUCAGUAAGAUACCUUAGGUGCUGGUCGCCCCAACUUGAAGGCUUGCACCCGAUCACUACCACGGACGAAGCUCCCGUCUGCAAAGUUGAACAGCUCGUUCAACAGCUGCUGCACCUCUGCCUUCUCCAAGACCUCAGGCCGCAUCCUGGUCGGGUCAAGGCUUCCGGCGUACUCGUACGCCGAGUGCACCCUCUUCUGGCAGGGCAUCACUCGACGACACACAAAGUUGCCGACCACGCCUAGCCCGUCCAAGCGCGACCAGUCGAUCAGCUUCAUCAGGUCCGCCACUUGGCCGUCAAACUCUAGGCGGUCGGUCCAGCUUACCCUCUUCUCGGAGAUGUACCCCACGUCGCAGAACGUGGAGCUGCCCGGUUCUUCCCUGAUGUAGAACCACUUCCUGUACCAUUCGGUUAGGGAAGUGUUCCAUGGACAGUGCAGAUAACGGUUCUUCAUCCCGUCGCGAAGAUUGAGGUAUACUCCACCUGCAAUCUUGGAGCCUCCAACCGCUCCCUUCUUUCUUAAACAAAAAAGAUAAUGAAAGAGAUCGAAGUGCGGCUCUAUGCCAACAUAGACCUCGCACAGAUGGAUAAAAGUGGAGAUGAGAAGGAUUGAGUUCGGGUGCAGAUUGCAAAUCCCGAUCUCAUAAUACAAAAGAAGACCCUGAAGAAAAGGAUGAACAGGAACCCCAAAACCCCUCUUAAGGAAAUCCUCGAACACUACGAUCUCACCGGCGCGGGGGUCGGGGUAGCUCUCCACCUCCGGCGCCCUCCAGCCGCCGAGCUCCGGGCUGUGCAGUAGCCCCAUAUCGACGAGGUCACCGAGGGACUUUGUGGUGCUGCGGGAUUUCUUCCAUUCCUUGGCCAUCAGCUCGGCCCUCUUCUUAGAGUCGCUCUUUGCCAUUGGAGAUGCGGGAGUGGUUUCGAGCUAGGAGGGUGCAGGUGGUUGAAGAAGGCGAGAGCGGAAAGCUUGAAGGCAAUGGCAGGGUAAGCAAUGCGGGGUUAAUGUCUGGAUUUUAUAAACCACAACUCCACCCCUCCCACUUCCCGCAUUCUUGGGAAGUGGGCGGGCCAUACGGCGGACGCGGCGCUUCGGUUUUCAAUGAUUAUCGACAAUUAAUGCGGCGGAGUUUUCGUACAAAUUGAUGGUUUCCUUUUCUCAAACCGCGCAAAGGGCGGCUGCACAGUUGCCAGGCGCAACUUUUCAUGCAGCCAUCUGACAUCCCGUCAGGAGGUCUCGUCACGUCAACUUUUAUGUGGUAAAAUUUUUCAAAACAAGCAGACAAAAAAUGGUAGAGAGUCAACAAUCCGAGGACUGCACCGACCACCGAGCACUUGAUGCUCGGGGACUGGUCGCUCAGUCUAUCAACUCGGAACUUCAAGGACUGCACCGACCACCGAGCACUUGAUGCUCGGGGACGGGUCGCCCAGUCUAUCAACUCGGAACUUCAAGGAAUGCACCGACCACCGAGCACUUGAUGCUCGGGGACUGGUCGUCAAAUUUGUUGGGACUGCACCGACCACCGAGCGCUUGAUGCUCGGGGACUGGUCGCCUAGUCUAUUAGUUUGGGAAUCAGCGGGCUGUAUUGAUCUUCGAGCAUUGUACACCCGGGGACUGGUUGACCAGCUCGUCAAAUUGAUAAGUCUAUUUGAUGGUAAACGAGCAUGAGAUGCUUGGGGACUGGAUAAUUUUAUUUUUUUAGACCUUGCUACAAGGCUCAUACUUCGCUUUCCAGCAAGCUCGGGGACUACAUCGGUAUGAUGCAUCUGGCGAUGCAUCUCAGUUUCAAAACUACUUUGGGGAAUUUUCUUUUGACCCUGGCACCACGUGCCUACGUCACCUACUACCAGGCUCGGGGACUAAGUGGGCACACUUCACCUUGCGGUGAAUAUGCUUGCUUUUUUUUGAGGAUCCGUACUUUUUAGAAAAGUAAAGUGGGCACACUUCACCGGAAAAGAAAUAUUUUUUCUCAAGAGCACCAUGCAUUCUUCGAACAAUUGGCUUCUUCUACGAUGAUGUUGAUCAAGUAUGUUUAGAUUUGGUCAAAAUACCGUCGCAAUUGUCUGGGCAAUUUUCAUGCUGAUUGAAGAUGUCAAAGUUUCAUUGGUCGAAGAAGCUCAAGAUGGCGUGUUACUUCACAAUACAUGGUGCUCGGGGACUAGCUGUGGGGGUAUAAACCCCUAUCCCCUUACGGCUAGACUUGGGCCAGGAGGCUUGGCCCAUUACGAGACAAGUUCAAGGCUUGAUCUGACAGCUUGGAGUUUCGCACAAGGAAACAAGACGUGGAGAUCAAGCAGGAUUCUGGUCGGUUAGAAUAGGAAUUGAUAUCGAACUAUCUAUGGCAAUUGUAACCGACUAGUAUUAGUUUCCAGAUCUGUAACCCUGCCCUCCGGACUAUAUAAGGAGGGGCAAGGGACCCCCCUAGGACAGAUUAUUCUCUCAACACAAAUUAAUACAAUCAGACGCAGGAUGUAGGUAUUACGCCAACUCGGCGGCCGAACCUGGAUAAAAAGCUUGUCCGUGUCUUGCGUCACCAUCGAGUUCGUAGUUUGCGCAUCGUCUGCCGAUAAACUACUACCGUGGGUAUACCCCAAGGUAGACUGCCGACUAGCUUUCGUUGACAAUUAUAUGUCUAGGAUAGUUGGUUUGAUCUUAUUGAAUUCAUAUAAUUGCUCGUAUAGCGUUUACCUAAUCGAUCGUUGGGUAGAUGAUAGACAAUAUGUAGACAGGUCGUGUAGUCCGCGUAGGUGACAGCUGUGUUGGUUCCUCUGUAGUCCACCCUCCGUACGUAGGGCUAGCAUGGGCGCGAUCGCGAAGGAGGUGACCAUUGCGUCUUAAAACCCUCACUAGUUGAUGCCUCUUUACAUGUAAUUAUGAUAUAGGGUUAAGUUAACGAUGAUUUCUACAUGUAAUUGCACUAAUUAGAGUUAUUCCUUGACGUAGUUAUAACAUUACCUUAGAUUCAACUCCCUAGUUUAUCCAUUGGCUAACUAUUAUUAUGACUAGUAGAUGCUCUGAUGAUUAUCCUUAUUUAUGAUAUUUGAUGAUUAUGCUAUCACUUUUAUUUAUCAUUAUUUAUCUUGUGACCUCUGCAUGUAAUGAGUAGAUUAUAGCACUUAGGUAAUAUGAUUUAUUCAUUCUUAUCAAUAUAAUAGAUAUAGUUUAACCCUUAGCCUUCCCAGUGGUAUAAAUAUAAAUCGACAAUCUGGAUACUUCCCUAGGUAAAAUGCUACAACGGUAUAAUUAUCUGUCUGCUUGCAGAACCCAUUUAGUUUACAAUUAUAUUCAUAUCUUUUAUUUCUGCCUAGUCACAACAGUACAUAUGAAUCUAUAAAUUCCUAGCAAUAUAAUUAGGGAUGACAACCUACUUCAUGUUUACGAAUAUUAAUAAUUAAGGAAGUGGCUACUUGCUAAUUGACAAGUUAAUUAUAUACUGUGCAUUUCUGGUGUUGUUACUAGGAGUAGGGUUUAUAUCUGUUUUUAGUGAUGACGGUAGUAAAUGUCAACAAACCGCGUCGUGAAAGCUCCUGUAGCCCUGAAGCAGUUUUACCAACAAGGAAGGCAAGAACUACAAUUAGUAUUAAAGAAGAAGAACAAUAGAAGAUGGAGGAAGACGAAGCAUGCAGAGACAGCUCAAUUGAUCACCGCUCUCAACACUGAGAAUGAUCAUAUGCUACCCAAGCCAUGUCAAAUCAAGAGAGGUGAUCCAGGAGUUCCAAUCAUUGAAUGCACAAUCAACAACACCACCUUCCCUUACACCGUCUGCGACACUGGAUUAAGCUACAAUGUAAUGUCAAAAUAGGCAUAAUAUGAAUUAUUUGAUUUACCUUUAUACCCAACACAUAUUCAAUUGAAGAUGGUAGAUCAAUCAUUAAGAUUCCUGGAAGGAAUGGUCAAGGAUAUAAUGGUAAGAAUUCAAGAAUAUUAUAUACCAGCCAACAUCUACAUCGGAUCAGGGCAUAUCCACUUCAACCUACCCACCGGAAAAGUACGCUGUCAAUUUAGAACAUUAGUUAACCGUGAGCAGAUCAGGAAGGAACACAACAGGAGAAGACGCCAAGCCCGCCGUCAGGCUACCCAGCCUCAGUGAGGAUGGGAAGACUUUCAUGGCAAGAUUGUAAAGUAUGAAGAUCACCUCAUGGAAGAAGAAGAGAACAUACAAGGACCUCGAUGGAGUGUGAAAGGAUCAAGAUGCCCAAGAGGGGGGGGGUGAAUUGGGCUUCUCUAAAAAUUUAAGCAACCUAUAAGCUCCAAUUCAACCCUUGUGCCUAAUGUGACCUAGAGAGCUACCGGAUAAAAGUUUUGCAACCUAGUUUCAAUCCUAUUCUAGCAUGGCAAUUCUAAGAAAGUAAAAGCACAAAGUAAAUGCUAGAAUGUAAAGGAGUAGUGGAAGAAAGUGCUCGGUGAUGUUUUGUCGAGGUAUCAGAGAGUCGCCACUCUCCACUAGUCCUCGUUGGAGCACCCGCGCAAGGGUCUUGCUCCCCCUUGGUCCGCGCAAGGACCAAGUGCUCUCUACGGGCUGAUUCUUCGACACUCCGUCGCGAUGAAUCGCCCAAAACCGCUCACAAGGUUGACACGAGCCACCCACAAGAACUCCGGGCGGUCUUCGUGCCUCCAAUCACCACCAAACCGUCUAGGUGAUGGCGAUCACCAAGAGUAACAAGCAAGGAACUCUCACUUGACCCAAAAAAGGCUCUAGAGAGUGGUGGAUGCACACUUGACUCUUGGAAUUCACUAGAGAAGGAUUCUCUCAAGAAAUCACUCAAAUCUCAAUCCUCUCUAGGCUCUUGCUACUCUCUUGCUCCACAACAAGUUUCUCAGAUGUUCAAAUGGUCAAGAGCCCUCUCAUGGACGAGGUGGAGGAGUAUAAAUACUCCCCACGAAGUCCAAAGGUCAGCCAACCGUUUUCCACUGAAAACGGGGUCACCGGACGCUCUUUAUGUUGCACCGGACACUCUGCACCGAGUGUCCGGUGCUCCAUAACGGCUAACUGUACCUGCGUCUGACAGGUCACCGGACGCUAACUCUCAGCGUCCGUUGGCACCGUCCGAUGCUCGGUGGAGUUUUACAAACUCCCUGAGUAUGGGACCGGACGCUACCCGGUGCGUCCGGUGCUAGCGUUCGGUGCUCAGGGGAAGUUUACAACCUCCCUAGGUGUGGGACCGGACGCUGCCCAGUGAGUCCGGUGCUAGCGUCCGGUGCUUAACCCUAAGCACCAAACUAUUCCAACGGCUAAGGACCUCACCGGACGCAAGCGUCCAAUGCAGCGUCCGGUGCCCCCUUGGGCACCCUAACUUCAUCGAAACGCGAUCGCUCCAAAACGAAGUUGGUUCCUCUCAAUCUAAGGACUAUCUCUGAGCUGCCUAGUGCUAGGUUUACCAAGUGUGCACCACACCUAAACCUAAAGCCUUGCCUAAGUCAAGCUACUAGAUCAAAGCCCCUCUUAAUAGUACGAUCAAAGGAAAACAAAGUCCUAAACUACUCUAAGUGCCCUUCUUCACCAUAUGGCACUUAGACCUAGUCUAGUCUUGACGAUGUCCAUCCAUCCUUUAAAAACCGAAACGAUUUCCACUAUUAAGUAGGCAUGUACGUCCCUGUCCAUCGAGUACCUAUUACCAUGACCUCAUAAAUGACUUUGCCUCUGCAAAAUACAUGUUAGUCAUAGUAAUCAACAUUGUCAUUAAUCACCAAAAUCACUAGGGGCCUAGAUGCUCUUUCAAUCUCUGCCUUUUUGGUGAUUGAUGACAAUAACCUCGAGUAUGAAAAGAGUUGAGGUUUUCAAAUGACUUGGUUUCAAUAAGCAUGAUACAAUAAGAACAAAGUGAUUAGGCAUGCUUAUAUCAACCAAGUCUAACAUCCUGCAUCCAAAUAUGUGAGUGGUACAACAAGAUAUAAACACACAUAGCUCAUAAGUACAUCGGAGUAAAACGCGGAAGCAAAGGUAUUAUGAGCCAAACACAUGACAUAAAGAUAGCACAAAAAAGCAAACGUCAUGUCUCACAACCAGUAUAUCUCACACAAGUGCAUGCAUGAAAGUAAACGUGAUGCAUGAUAGAGUAGCACACAAAAGAGUGUAUCAAAAUAAGACUAAAGCGUGUAUCAAAAUAAGACUAAAUAAGACUAACACAACCUCUCUCUAGCCUCUUGCUCCCCCUAACUCUCAUACUCACUACUCUCUCCCCCUUUGGCAUCAAACACCAAAAACCUAAGAAGACGGAGGUGGGGGUGGAGCAGUGGAGUCCCUCGGCACGGCCUCAAAGCGAGCUGCAUUGUCUGAACCAUCGGCCGUCGAGGCGGAGGAGGUGGAGUGACCCUCUGAAGCUGCACGUGCUGGCGAAGCGGUCUGGGUCUGCUCUGGAGGCGCUGAAGCUGUCACGGGCUGUGCGGGCUGCUCAAGUCCUGCGGACGAAGCUGGCACGGACUCGGUCGCUGUAGCUAACGUCUCUGGCAUGGUAGAGGAAGGUGCUAGUUGCUCAGACGAAGCUACGGACGACGACAGACGCUCUGUAGUGGUGAAUGGAGCUGUAAAAGCUGCAGGAGCCUGUAGGGGGAGGCGUAGGGUCACCAGUCAGAGCACUAUAGGAGAAGCUGAGGUGCUGGUCAGUCAACUAGUCUAACACAAGCUGUGACGCUGUCGCUGACUGAGGAGUGAAACCUGAGCGGAGGGGUGUGAACUGAGGUACCUGCUCAAAACCAGAGGAGAUAGCACCCUAGGAGACCUGGUGCUGAGGCGUCGAAAAUGGAUGACUCUGAGCAGGAAGCUGUAGCGGCUGCUGAGACUGACUCUGGGUCUGAGGUGCUGGAGUGGGAGGUCUGAUAGAUGAAGUGCCUGGAAGCUGUAUCUGAGGAAUCUGAAUCCCUGAGGCGGUCAUAAGAGCGGCCAUCAUCGCUGUCUGCUGAGCCUGGAACGCAAGCUGCUGCUCCUGGAAGGUCAGAAACUAUCGCUGGAGCUCAUCUUGCCUAGCCUGCAUGGCUGCAUUGAUGGCAGCCUGGUCCCUGUCUCUCCUCACCUGAUCGGCUCUCAUCCCCUCUAGUAUGGCAAGCAGAGCGGGGUCUGAAGCACUCGAGGAGCCUCCUGCCUCAUGGUCAUGUGCCCUCGGGGGAAGAUCUGACACUGGGGGACGAUAAUCAUCGUCCGAGUUGUCCGAAGCAAAGUCAAACUCCCCCUCAGCCUCGGCAUCUGCAAAAGCCCCAAUGGCUAUGUCCUGCUGCUCAUCAGUCUCUGGUACCGCUCCUGUACUACGAGUGCCCCUAGGAGAAGGUGGGGGCACCAGGCCACGUGGUGCACGAGGAGGUGGAGUAGCUCUGAGGUCGUGGUGUGCUCUAAACAUCUGCCUGGGGUUGUAGUGGGGGAAGACUGUGUCUGAGUUUGUCAACUCUCUCUGCAGGUGAGCUAGAAGGGGUACUGGCCUGGCACGGAGAAUAAGCAGGGUAAUCCAAUGUGCAUAUGGUAACUGACGCCGUCCCCUCAAGCUCUCUGAAAUAGUAUCCUCGAUCUCUGAGACUAUCAGAUCCCACAAGUCAAACAGAGUCUGAGAGAUGAGGUGAGCUACCAGCCACUGCUGAAUCCUGGUGAAACCAUCUCUGUAGCCUGUCCUGGGAAGGAGUGUCUUCCUCAACACAAAGUUGAGGAUCCGAGCUGGGCGAGUCAAGUCUCCCACUGUCCUGCUGGAGCCCUCUCCAAAAGGCAGACGGAAACAGGGAGCCACAAAGUCAACCGGUGGUAUCUCACCACCAUGAGGACGACGAGGGGGCUCGAAGUUUCUGUAGCACAGCUGGUGAAUCCUGGUGGGGUAGGCUCUCAAGCCAAGUACCUCUCGGGCAUGCUGUGCUGUCACCCUGUAGUCAGUCCCUGCCAAAGCGUAGUGGAUAUAGCUAUGAUCUGGUGAAACCCACACUAAAGCAUAGAACUCUCUGACCCACUGCUCACAAUAAGUACCAGGGAGAGCCAGUAACUCUGGGAGGCCGUGGAGGUAAGUGAAGUACUGUCAGAUGUCUGCCCCAACCACGUUCCCUAGAAUCUCAAGGUUGAUCACUCUGUGCUCCUUGAACUGAGACUGUGAACGAACCAGAGCCUCGUAAAUGUCCUCCUGGACCAUUGUGUAAAACCUGGCAGCGGCUCGUGGAUCCCUAGCAGCUGGAAACCAGGUAGAAAAAGGAACGAACCACAGCUGCUGGAUCUCUCGAGCUGAGACCUGAGUGUAGUCCCUGUGAAUCCUGACCGGUCCCUGACGAGGAGCUAGAGUGCCUCUAGCUGGUGUAGUGCGAGCAGUGGAGGUAGACUGGCCCUAUGUACCAGUCCUGGGAACGGCCUGAGUACGGGCACGAGUCGACCUCCUGAGAGGCUGCUCCUGCUGCUGUGCCUCUACCGGACCCUCUGCCUGGGCUUCUGUCUCUGUAUCCGGGUCCUCCUGAGCUGGAUCUCUGACCACAAUCCUGACCCGCUGACCCCCUAUCAUAACGGUGCCUGGAGGGGAUCCAUGGAGUGCCUCUGCCUGAAGAACUACACGCCACUGCUGUGGCGUGAGAUCAUCCCCAAUCCUCAGAGCACCUGAGCGUCCACCCCUCUUAGCUGCCUCAGCUGCUGCUACAAUUGCCUCUGCCACCUCUGCCUCUCUGUCGCUGGCCUUCCUCUUCUUGGUGGCCAACUUCUUGCCCUUGCCCUUCUUUGCCGCUGACAUGCGACGGGGAGGAUCACCUCCACCAUCACCUCCUGGAGAACCUUCUGAGCCAGCUGCCGGACCACUGACGUUCUUGCAGCGAGCCAUCGCAAGAACAAACUGCCUGAACAACUACUGACAACUGACAAACUGGCAUGAGAGAGCAACGUACUGCAAGAGAUAGAAUAGAUAGGGCAUAUAUAAGCAAACAUAAUAGCUAGAGGUGAGGAAAACCUAUAGAUCGCAAGAAUAGAUAAGGAACGGGCGCGAACGGCUUACGAUCGGGCGUCGAGAUGCGUUCCGAAUGAAGUAACACGAUCGGAAUCCGCCGGAGAACGCGAGUCAACUCCUCAAGAUGCUAUGAAUGGUAAACGAAAGGGAAUAUUGUCAAUAACAACAUCCAAAUCCGUUUAGGCAUUAAACCAAACACCUUGAGGGCAUGGAAACUAGAACUUACCCAAACCCUAAUCUCCACGGGAGAAGAACACUUCAACGCGAGGGGAACAAGGAGAAGACUCCUGGGGAGAGAUCUGGCGCGUGGGGAGAGGCUUGAGGUUGCCGAAUUUUGAGAAGAAUGACGGCGGCGGCGAUUUCGGCGGGCUAGGGCACGGGCAGAGUUGGCGGCACGUGGGGAAAAAAAGAAUCUGCCCCGAAGACAACCCCCGGGCGCGGGUUAAAAGCGCCCGCCGUGGGGUCACCGGACGCACUUAAAGUGGCACCGGACGCGUCCGGUGACCACCGCACUCAUGCGCAGAGAGGUUUGCAAAAUUGCUGACCACCUGACGAUGGCCACCAGACGCUGGCCUUAGCGUCCGGUGCCCUAGGGCACGCCUGGUGAGCACCGGACGCACAUCACCGGACGCUGCAGGGACACUGUUCCUGCGUCCGGUCAGUGCAGUCUGGCAAACUCACCGCACCGGACGCACCGAGACAGUGUCCGGUGCAUCGUCCGGUGCACCUCUGAGUCCUUUUUCAACUUAGCACUACAUCCGACUUUGACCCAACCAAGUUCCAACUUCAAAGACACACAAUUAAACACCAAGUGGAACUUGGUAUGAGUGACCUCUCUCAAACCCUCAAAUUUUCACAAAUAUUUAGCCAUAGGCUUAGUAGUUUUUAUGAAAAUAGUUCGAGAAAUCACCAAGGAGCAUCAUAUGGCCAUAAAGCUAGGGGUUUGAAUCACAAUGAGCUUUGAAUGCUCCCCCUAUCUAUGGACGAACACAGCGGAUGCUCAAGGAAUAACCGAAAAGAAACGGUCAACUAACAAGCAUGCAUAUGAUAUGAGGUGAAAUGCAAUACUUGAAAAUAAACUAAUGCUUGUCAAGUUUGAUCCAAGGUUAAGCUUUUUCACACACACAAGGGGGUUAUCUUAACCAUGUUAGACAAGCCCUACACACAAAUUUUUGAAUUUUAGUUUUAGUAUGCAUGAUAUGCAAAACAAAAGCUAUUUACAAAUUUCAACACACAACUUUAUCUUUUAGUGAAGUUAGAGAGAUCAAGCACAUUAAGUUCAUUUCUCAACAUACAAAACCUAGCUUCAUCUAGGGGUUUUGUGAAGAUAUCCGCUAAUUGAUUUUCUGUUCCCACAUUCUCUAGAGAUAUGUCACCUUUAGCAACAUGAUCCCUAAGGAAGUGGUGGCGGAUGUCAAUAUGUUUUGUGCGGGUGUGUUGAACUGGGUUGUUUGCAAGUUUUACGGCACUUUUGUUGUCACACAACAAAGGUACUUUGUCUAGUACUACUUCAUAGUCUAGCAAAGUUUGUUUCAUGUAGAGUAUUUGUGCACAACAAGCACCGGCGGCAAUGUAUUCCGCCUCGGCCAUUGACAAGGCAACACUAUUUUGUUUCUUUGACAUCCAAGAGACAAGUGAUCUACCUAGGAAGUAGCACCCUCCGGAUGUGCUUUUUCUAUCAAUCCGGCACCCGACAUAAUCCGAAUCGGAAUAGCCUACAAGUUGGAAUCUUGCACCUUUGGGAUACCACAAACCUAGGCAAGGUGUGUAUUUUAGAUACCUAAGAAUUCUCUUGACGGCAAUCAAGUGAGAUUCCAUAGGCAUUGCUUGAAAUCUUGCACACAUACACACACUAAACAUGAUAUCGGGCCUACAUGCGGUGAGGUCGAGUAGACUUCCUAUCAUAGAGCGAUAGAGAGUCUUGUCAAUUGGGUUACCUCCCUCAUCCAAGUCGAGAUGCCCAUUUGAUGCCCUAGGAGUCUUGAUUGGCUUGCAAUCCAUCAUCUUGAACCUCUUGAGAAGAUCUUGUGUGUACUUCUUUUGAGAGAUGAACACUCCUUCCUUCAUUUGCUUGACUUGAAAUCCUAGGAAAAAGGAUAGCUCGCCAAUCAUGGACAUCUCAAACUCCUUGGACAUCAAAUCACCAAAUUCCUUGCAAAAAUCUUCAUUAGUAGAGCCAAAAAUAAUAUCAUCAACAUAAACUUGGUAAAUGAUGAUUUCCCCAUGUUGGGUAUUCUUAACAUCAUUACCAAAAGUAGACUAAGUUCUCUAAAUCUAGUAACGGUGCCAAAAAUGCCAAACCUAUCCCUCACACCACUUAAGCCAAGUUGUCAUCCCCAGCAUGACAUGAGAGACGCGGUAUUGAAAUAUGCAAUUGCUCUUCUAAAUAAAUAAUGAAUGGGAUCUGCAAGCGCACAGAUUAAUACCGAUGCAGCAUUUUAAUCGGGAAGUAUUCCAGGUAUCGUUAUUUAUAUUUUUACCACUGGGAAGGGAUUAGCAAUCAUCACUAUUGAUUACAGAAUAGAAUAUGAGAUUGAGCAUCUAUCAUUGCAUAUGUAAUUGAGAACAUUUAUCUAACUCUUCAUAUAGGGAUAAGUGUCACAUAAAAGAUAUAUGAAAUAAUAAUAGUGACAAGGAUAACUAAUCUGAUCUAGCCACAUAAUAAAUAUGAUAAGCACCUCAAUUAGAUACUCUAGAAAGUCAUUAGCAUGGUAUUAGAACGAACUACAAGAAUAUUCCCUAAGUUAUUCUCAACUAUAUAGUCUAGCAUUAUCAUAGUUAGUGCAAGCAUACUUAGCAAUCAUUGCGAGACAAGACUACGCCCAUGCAUAGUGAUAUUAGCAAGGAAUAUGAGAAACAUAGCAAUCACUCCCCUGUAAUAAUAUUGCUCUGCCAGCCCAAUACACGAGAGGGGGGACUAUAUAAGAAUCAAUGAAGCUGUCACUAUCAUGAACCACCCCACGAUCUGGCAUAUUGGGUACAAUCACAGAUAAAUACGGUAUAAGCACCACGCCUACACAAUAUCUAUCAUUUACCCAUGGAUCCGAUGGAUAAACGCUAUACGAUCCUAAGCAUGUAUAUAGAUCCAAUCUAACUAAACCAAGUACAUAACUAUGAUAAACUAAGAACAAUAUAAUCUUGAAUAUAAGCAAGUAGAGCAAAGUCAUAAGCAAUAUAUUGAAAUAGAACAAAGUCAUAUUCAUAAUAUUGAAGAACAAAGAUAAUUAGAAAGUGAUUAGAAGCACAAUUAGAGAAUUACCAAGAAUCCUCUUGACAGAUCCGGAAACCAAUCGAAGAUUGACUCCUUCUAGUUCUAAUCCUAUGUAGCUAUGCUAAUCUAGAUAUCUAAUUGAUGUGGUGGCUCUAAUCUUGAUCAGAGGCUUCUUCUCCCUUGAGGAACAACGAAUUAGGGUUGAGAGGCUCUCUCCUCCAGGGGCCAGGGGGUCUGGUUUUAUAGUCCCUUCAAGUGAAUAUGGGCCGUUGGAUCAAACCGACAUAGAUUGUAUGGUUUAGAUUCAUCCUUUAGGUCGGUGGAGAUCUCCCACGAAGCAGAGUCCUGAUUGGACUCAGGGAGAGGGCGGGCUCCCAGGGCAGGAGGGCGGGCGCCCUGCCUCUGGCCCCGUUUCGCCUCCGCUUCGGUCUCGUGGCUUCUGGAGUCUUCUAGAUGUAAGAUAAUUGCGCGGCACAUUAAUAUCUCUAUGUAAUCCCGACGUGUGGGCCUUUCUUCCGUAUUUCCUGAUAACCCCCUGCAGAAAUAGACAAACACCAAAACUCGUGGAAUUCUGUCAGAUAAAACCCUAAGUCUAGAUGUUGAUUUCAUUUGGAUCCUUUUCUUUAUUUAUUUGAUAUUUAAAUUUGAUACUUAAGGACCGUCAACAAACUCCCCCAAGCUUACCUCUUGCUCGUCCCUGAGCAAGGAUAGACUCAGCUAUGGAUCAUAAGUUGUUGCAAUAUCUUUAAAAAUUGACGGUACACAUGCUUUUUAAAUAAGAUCUUAUCUCUGAGUUAGAGUAAACUAUCAAGACUUAAAACUUACUUACUUUACCUUCACCAUGGGACUUGUAACCGUCACUUCUGUCUUGAGUAGUUAGAAGAUAGAACAGUCUAGUCAAGUGCCAUGUCUCUUAUUCUUGAUCAGCUAUAGCUCUGGGGUUUUUGCAGAUUUUCAAAUAAAACUCAGAGAUUCCUUGUAUGAUUCUUUCAUAUCUCUCUUUUGUGGUAUUUCUGGAUCCUUACCAAGGCAGUGAUGGUAGAUGCCUUCUCUCAAGAUAUGUGGUAUUUGUGGUAUAAAGCAUAGUGACAUUAUCUUAUCUCUCACCCUACUCUAAUAAGGCUUUAAUAUCUGGAGCUCAUAGGUGGGAGAUAAAGUAUACAUACUUACAAGACAUGUAUUGCAUAGUCAAACCAUGGAUCCAAAGAAACAAAUCAAUAAGUUUAAUCAAGAUGUGCAUGUGUGGCGAAUGAAUGGUGUAUGGUGAUGAUGGUGAUAACAAUGGUGAAAGUCUAAUUCUACUUUGCUCUUUUGAGGGGAUACAUACCUUCCUUGCUUUUUGAAAUUUUAUGAGGAGAAUGAGAUGCUCUUCUUUUUCUUUUCUCUCAGGUGGGUAUCUUGUACCCCUAAUUCUACUGUCGGACACUUGUCCAUUUUUACCUCUCGUCUCACUUUUUUUCCUUUUCUUUCGAGGUUCCGAGCACUUGCUCCUUUUUAUUUCCUCAUAUUUAUUUAUUUAUUUUUUUAGAGCACUCAUCUCUUGAGAUAAUAUAGCAAGUGGUAGUAACAAGAUAACUUGAGCAUUUAUUUCACAAGGGAAAACAGAAAUAUUUUUGGUUAUUCUCUCUCGGAUUAGGAGUAGAAUAUUUUUGGGUGAUUCUGUAGAUGGAAAUGGAUGGAUAUAUGUGGAUGGUACUUCCGGAGUAGAAGUAGCAUAUAUGAGUGAAUGUGCAAGUGAAAUCUUGAUUUAACCACAUGACAAGCUCCUAAGGGUCUACACAGCUUGACUACACUCAAUGCUCAUAAGCAGUAAAAAGUAAAUGUGUGGCUCAAAGUCUAGCAAGCAUGUAUAUAUGGCUGUGGUAGAAAUUUAAACUCUCAUCAUACAGGAACUCAUCAUGCAACAUUUUAAAGAUUUUCAAAGAUAAAAUUCUCUAGAAUUGUAGCAUCUCUAGGAAUAGAUAAACAACAGCUCAACCUUCCCAUAUCGUAUCCGUUAACAACUUAGACUUCAGAUCAAGUUUUCAUCCCACAAGUUUAGGUCUAGAGCAAGCUUUAAAUUAUAACAGUUAUAUCUAAACUUGAGAGAGAACUUAAAAUGUGCAAACUAGGCAGAGCAACAGGGCUCAGUACUCCCGAGUCGGCGAGAGGCUAAGGGACACCCUCCACAUUGGGGUGAAGUGGGCCCUGGUCGUGGUGAGCUCUCACUACCUCGGCAUCGAUCUGCCAGCGGUCAGUGAAGGCUACGUCGUCGGCGACGAUGAGGACGAGGCCCGGGAGGAGGUCCAAAAGCUUACCAACACUACAGAAGCCCCCAAAGAUGCCUUGGCCAGCUUCUUUGAUGCUGAAGUCACGCUCCCCCUCUUAAUCUGUUAGGGCCUGAAGAAACUGGACCGUAGAGGCCCUAUAACGACUUAGUUUGUUUUUUGUAAACUUUGGCGGCCAGUAAGGCCUUCUUUUGCAGACUUCAUACAUAUGGUAUGUUUAUACGUAUUUUUUGAGUCUUUUGCGUUUGUUUUUCCCCUUAGAAUCGUCCUAGCCUCAACAAUGCGAGGCAAGGUGGAUUACCAAGGCUCAGAUCUUUGGUCGGAGAGUUUCGAACCCGAGUCUUUUUCUCGUUCCUUAGCAUUUCAGACCCUUUGCAGGUCUUGCCUAAAGAUCGAACAAAACCAUUCCCUUGGUCUAUGGGGAAGAGUAGGAAAGGUCUUAGCCCAUAGGCGUGGACAGUUUCAGGCUCGUCCGACCUUAAAUCUAGUGGGAUAGUUUGUGAUCUUUAGUUUUUUAGGAACAGGAAAGAGAGCUUGGACCGAAAGACUCUUAACCUAAGAAAAUUUUGAAAAAGUAUGGCGAGAACCCCCCAUGUAGCCCCCGAGGGAGGUGUUGACGGUUCUUAAGUAUCAAUUUUAAUUAUCAAAUAAACAAGAGAAAAGACCAAUAUGCAAACAACACCUAGAAUUAGGGUUUGAUCUAACAGAAUUCCACAAGUUUUGUUGUUUAUCUGUUUCUGCAGGGGGUUAUAAGGAAAUAAGGAAGAAAGGCCCACAUGUCGGGAUUACAUAGAGAUAUCAAUGCACCGCGCAAUUUUCUACCAUCUAGAAGACUCCAGAAGCCACGGGAACAAAGCAGAGGCCGAACGGGGCCUGGCCCAGGGCGCUCGCCCUGAGGACCAGGGCGCCCGCCCCCUCCUGGAUGCCAAUCAGAACUCUUUUCGCGGACGACGCUCCACCGACCUAAAGGAUCAAGGAUUACCGUCCAAUCAAUGUCGGUUUGAUCCAAUGGCUCACGUUCACUUGAGGGGACUAUAAAACCAGACCCCCUGGCCCCUGGAGGAGACAAGUUCAUCAUAGAGUUGAGAGGAGCCCACAAAGGAAUACCUCUCCUCUAAAUAAAAUUUCUUUUUAGGCUUAGCAUCCAAUGUGAGUAGAAAUAGAUCAUCUAGUUUCUACUAGAUUGAGAGAGAUAGAGUAGAGGUGUAGAUCGAAGGAAGCCCGGCCAGUCGGUGUCUACUCCAAGUUUGUACUUGUGGGAUCAAGUUCUCCUAACCCGAAGCUUGCUCCUAGGAUUCUUCAGUAUUUUGACUUCUAAAUUCUAGUAAGUUCUUAUUUUAUUGUUCUUUAGUUUAUGAGUUUACUUUAAUCUCUUCGCGUAGAGUUUAGAGUAAUCAUCUCUAGCGUAGACGUGGUGUUUAGGCUAGGAUACUCAUAGAUAUUCCCUGACUAGCUAGACCGUGGUAGUAGCGAGGAACGUGACAUUUCCAAGUUAUGUUUGCAAACCAUAUCUCGUUAGCAGGAAGGAUAGGGUUUAUAGGUGCGGGUUGAACAUCCUCUGUGGUGUCUAGAUUCCGUAAGCUUCCCCAAUAGAACAGUAGAUCAUCCUUACCAAGGUUAGAAGGAGAUUACAGUUGUAGUCUUCUCUAUUUGUCACACACAUCGAGAAACAUUCUUUGUAGCCUAAAGGUUAGUAGUAAUAGACCGGGUUAGUCAGAUGCACUCUUUCUCCUAGUGGUAAAAAAAUAAAUACGAUACUCUGGAUAACCUCCCGGGUGAAGUGCUCACCGAUAUCCGUGCGCUUGCGGAUCAAUUCCUUAUUGCGUUCCCAAAUAUCAACAAGCAUUUCUGGCGCCGUUGCCGGGGAGAAAGACGGUUUGCUGAGAUAACCUUGAGUAUUACUACUAGCUUGUAUCUAUACUUUUAUCUUUUCUUAUCUUUUAUAUUCUUUGCUUAUUUUCUUUAUUCUUACCUUAUGGAAAACCAAAAUUCUAAAUCGAUCCAUGAGUCUGCAACACCUUCAGUAACUGUCCUUUUACCAUGGGAGUCAUCACAGCCUAUCCAAACAUCCCAAUAUAAGUUAAGUUCUAGGUUGAUUGCCAUGAUUCAAAACCUAUCUUUUUCAGGAAAGGAAGACGAAAACCCUUACCAUCAUAUUAGAGAUUUUGAGCAAACAUGUGAUUGUCUUCGCAUUGAAGGCAUUUCUGAUAAAACUUUACGUUGGAAGCUUUUUCCUUUUUCUUUAAGGGGAGAAGCUAGACAAUGGUACAAUCAGAAGUUAAGUCAACAACGAGGUGAAUGAGAAUUUUUACGAGCCAACUUUUGUCUAGAUUUUUAUUCCCUCGACCGUAUCAGUGACCUUAGACUCGAAGUCCUAUCUUUUAAACAAAAAAAUAAUGAAACUUUGGGAAAAUCCUAGAAAUGUUUUUCUAAUCUUUUAGAAUAUGGUCCAAACCUUAAUCUUGAAGACCCUGUUCUUUUAUUUCAAUUUUUUCGAGGUCUUCAGAAAGAUCACAAACAAAUGCUACAUACAAUGUCUAGAGGUUCUUUCUUUCGCAUCCCUACUGAUGAAGCUAGAGUGAUCCUGGAUAGAAUCCUAGAAGCUGAGAUGGAUAAUACCCUUCAUGAUGAAACCCAUGAAGCCGAAGUCGACACUCUGCUAAAUUCUCCAUCUACUUUAGCUAUCCCAAGUUCUGAGCCACAAAAGGAAGAAAUUCCACCACCAGACUUCAUGCUGGAUAUAGAAUCUGAUCUUUUUGCCGAUUUUGGAAACAUUUCAAACUACCAUUCUACUAACAGACCCCAAAACGACCAUCUUAGCAUUUGUUUGCCAACUAAAUAUUAAUUGAGAGAGCUUAUCUCAGUCAUGAGUAGCGAGUGGUUGGAGGAAUCAGAGCUUUCCUCUGAUGUGAUCCGUUUGGACACACCCUCUAUAACUAUACGUUGUGCUUAUAAUUCUGAUCGAUUUGAUGCUCUCUAUAAUCCUGUUGUGGGGAUCAACAUAAUGUCUGAAUCUUUUGCACUUAAAUUGUUUAAAAAUCUUGUUUUAACCCCCACAACAAAGGUCAUAAAGGAAUCUUCGGGACGAUUAGUCCCCAGUCUUGGAAUUAUUAAUGUCCUACCUCUUACGGUAGAAGGCUCCAUGGUUCAUUUGAACUUCUAUAUCUUUAAUACAUGGGACUUCGACCUGGUGAUAGGACAACCUUUUAGAAGACUCCUUUAUGAAGGUCAUACUGGAAAGCUACACAUUUCUUUUGGGAAAACCUUUAAAAUUCCCAUAACAAUUUCACACUCCUUGAAUAAUAAGGCCGAGUCAUAUCUUUUGCUUGAUCCUAUGGAGGAGGUAAAGGCUGCAUCUCUAGAGCUUUUAGAUGAACCAGACUUAGAAGACGAAACUCCUUUCUUCACAGAAGAAGAAGCUGAACCUUCUGAACCUGAACCCUAAGAUGAGUUUGCAGAAACGCCUAGACCUCCCAUAGAGCUUAAAACUUUACCACCCGGUCUUAUCUAUGCUUUCCUAAACAAUAAUCUAGAGUUUCCUGUGAUCAUUAGUGAUAAACUCACUCAGGAGCAAACUCUGCGAUUAAUGACCAUUCUUGAGAAACAUCACUCAGUUUUCGGCUACUCACUCCAAGAUCUUAGAGGAAUCAGUCCUAUGAUUUGUACCCAUCGUAUUCCGACAGAUCCUUCUGUUACACCUUCUCGAGAGCCCCAACGUAGACUUAACAACACUAUGAGAGAGGUAGUUAAAAAGGAAGUUAUAAAGUUGCUGCAUGCAGGGAUUAUAUAUCCUGUGCCGCACAGUGAGUGGGUAAGCCCAGUUCAAGUUGUGCCUAAAAAGGGAGGCAUGACUGUUAUUAUGAAUGAAAAGAACGAGCUAAUUCCGCAACGCACCGUCACAGGAUGGCGGAUGUGCAUAGACUAUAGAAAACUAAACAAAGCCACGAGAAAGGAUCAUUUUCCUUUACCUUUCAUAGAUGAGAUGCUAGAGCGAUUAGCGAACCAUUCGUUCUUUUGUUUCUUAGAUGGAUAUUCCGGGUAUCAUCAGAUCCCGAUCCAUCCCGAUGAUCAAAGCAAAACCACUUUUACAUGCCCAUAUGGAACUUAUGCUUACCGUAGAAUGUCUUUUGGGUUAUGUAAUGCACCAGCUUCUUUUCAAAGAUGCAUGAUGUCUAUAUUUUCUGAUAUGAUUGAAGAUAUUAUGGAAGUUUUCAUGGAUGAUUUCUCUGUUUAUGGAAAAACUUUUGAUAGUUGUCUUGAAAACUUAGACAAGGUUUUGCAAAGAUGUGAAGAAAAGCACUUAGUCCUUAAUUGGGAAAAAUGUCAUUUUAUGGUUAGGAAAGGAAUAGUGCUGGGACACCUAUUGUCUGAAAGAGGUAUUGAGGUAGACAGAGCUAAAAUUGAAGUAAUUGAACAACUACCUCCACCUGUGAAUAUAAAAGGAAUUCGAAGCUUUCUUGGCCAUGCUGGUUUUUAUCGCAGAUUCAUAAAAGAUUUUUCAUUUAUUGCUAGACCACUUACUCUUUUGCUAGCCAAGGAUGCUAUGCAUGUUUAACAUCUUUCAAUUUAUUAAAGAAAGCACUCAUCUCUGCACCAAUCAUUCAACCCCCUGAUUGGUCGUUGCCUUUUGAAAUUAUGUGUGAUGCUAGUGAUUAUGCUGUGGGGGCAGUUUUGGGACAAACUAAAAAUAGGAAGCAUCAUGCAAUUGCUUAUGCGAGUAAAAUGUUGACAGGAGCUCAACUUAAUUAUGCAACCACUGAAAAAGAGCUUCUGGCUGUUGUCUUUGCCAUUGAUAAAUUUAGAUCUUAUUUAGUUGGAGCUAAAAUAAUUGUUUACACUGAUCAUGCUGCACUAAAAUAUUUGCUCACUAAAAAAGAUGCUAAACCUCGCCUAAUUAGAUGGAUCUUAUUACUUCAAGAAUUUGACUUAGAAAUAAAAGAUUAAGAAGGGAGUAGAAAAUUGUGUUGCUAGAUCACUUGUCUAGAAUGUAUUUUAAGAGUCCACAGGAAACCCCCAUCAAUGAUUCACUUCAGGACGACAUGCUCUACGGGAUUAACAGGUCUGACCCCUGGUAUGCAGAUAUUGUUAAUUUUAUGGUUUCAGGGUAUGUACCACCAGGAGCAAACAAAAAGAAGCUUAUUCAAGAAAGUCAUUCACAUAUAUGGGAUGAGCCAUACCUCUUCCGAGUAUGCUCUGAUGGCUUACUCAGGAGAUGUGUGACCACUGAGGAAGGAUGGAAGAUCAUCGACAGAUGUCAUUCAUCACCAUAUGGAGGCCAUUAUGGAGCAUUCUGUACACAUUCAAAGAUCUGGCAGUGUGGAUUCUACUGGCCUACAAUGUAUGAAGACACGAAGCAAUAUAUCAGAAGAUGUGGGCCAUGUCAAAGGCACGGAAACAUAAACACAAGAGAUGCCAUGCCACUCACCAACAACCUUCAGAUUGAGCUCUUUUAUGUCUGGGGAAUAGACUACAUGGGUCCAUUUCCUCCAUCAAAGAAGUGUGAGUACAUCUUGGUGGCAGUUGACUACGUCUCCAAGUGGGUAGAGGCAUUACCUUGCAAGCAUGCCGACAACAUCAGUUCAAAGAGGAUGUUCGAAGAAAUUAUAUUUCCAAGAUUUGGAGUCCCCAGAGUAGUGAUAAGUGAUGGAGGAGCACACUUCAUCGACAAACGCUUCAAGCAAUACCUAUCAAAACAUGGAAUCCGUCACAACGUCGCUACCCCCUAUCAUCCUCAGACAAGUGGCCAAGCAGAGACUUCCAACAAACAAAUCAAGAAUAUUCUUCAGAAGACAGUAAAUGAAAUGGGAACGGCAUGGAAAGACAAGUUACCCGAUGCACUCUAGGCAUACCGGACAGCAUACAAGACCCCAAUUGGAAUGUCCCUAUACCAAUUGGUGUACGGAAAGACUUGCCACCUACCUGUUGAACUAGAAUUUAAAGCACACAAGGCCAUAAGGAGAUGGAAUAUGGACCUCGAUGUUGCUGGAAAUCAUAGAAGAAUGCAACUAUUAGAAUUGGAAGAAUGGCGAGAGAAAGCAUAUCACAAUUCGAAGAUCUACAAAGAAAGAGUCAAAAGGUGGCAUGACAAGAGGAUCAAGAAGAAGGAGUUCGCACCCGGAGAUAAGGUAUUACUUUUUAAUUCUAGGGUGAAGCUUUUCGGGCAUGGAAAACUCCAGAGUAAAUGGGAAGGACCAUUCAAGGUAAUCAAUUCAUCAUCCCACGGAGCUAUCACACUUCAAAAUGACGAAGGUACGUUAUUCAAGGUAAAUGGUCAACGUCUUAAAUUAUUUUUAGAGCCCAAUAAAGAAUUAGAAGAAAUAGACGUAAUCCAUUUUUACCUUCCCAUGGAGAACUAGAGCCCGACACUUUUAAUCUGACGUUUUUGGGUCAUACAUAUAUUUUCCUAAUUAAGUGUGCAUCUAGAAACACGCUCGAGGAAGCGGGCCCACAGAGGAGCUAGAGACAGGGUGGGCGCCCUGAUCAAGUGGGCGGGCGCUCAGCUCCUGACCCCUCUCGGUCCUGAUUUCCUCCAUUAUGGAAAACACACUUAUGGUAAUCCGAAUAAUCCCUUAGAUGGAAAGUUUCACACGUACAUCGACGGGAGCAACCCGAACAACCCCUAGAGGCACUUUUUGACCACUAUAUAAACAGACCCCUGACGUCAGUUUUCAAACACCAAUCCACCCAAGCCUUCUCUUCUUCUUCAAUUAGAGCUUGUUUAGUCCCUCGCUGCUCCAAUGGCCGAAAAGUUCCACGAUGAUUGGAAAGUCGUCCCCUUCAACCUCAACAUGGAGCCUAAGGAAGACCUCGACGCCCGUGCUCUCGUCCCGGCCAACACAGAGCGAUAGCUAGAAGUCAUGCCAUUACGCCAGCGUAGCUCUGCUCAAUCCUACCAUGCUCAACCAGUUCUCACCGCACCACCACAACCCCUACUCCUCAAGGGAUCAUUAUCCAAGAGACCACCAUCAAGGUGCCAACCGGCACAAGGAUCCUUCCACCUAGACCCAAUGAGGGGGUCGUUGGAAUUAAGACCAACCGAAGCGGCGAGAUUAGCAGCAUCCGCUACACUACAGAGGAGAGACCUUACUUCGAAGGGAUUAGAGCAGCCAAAGUCCGUUUCAUCCCUCCAAAGGCAGCCCCAAAGCACGCUCUCAAUGCUUUUGAGACACCUCCUAAGCGUCGUAAGACUAUAGUAGAUAUUGAUGAGGACGUUCGCAGGCUAGACAGAGUCAUCAUAGACCUCCAGUCCUCGGUUAACUCCAUCACUAGGCAGCUCUCUAACCACAACACCGUUAUACUAGGCUUUAGGCAUGAUCUUGCUAGUGCCAAUAAGAAGAUCAAGGAGUUAGAGCGCCGCUAAGUUAUCUAGAUUAGACCUUGAGGCAAUGCAUCUUAGUUAUCUAUCUUUAAAUUCGAUUUAGAUUUUACUAUUAUCAUCAGUUUGCUACUAUUAUCGUCAGUAAGAGGAUUAUUAUUAUUAUUAUUAUUAUUAUUAUUAUUAUUAUUAUUAUUAUUAUUAUUAUUAUUAUUAUUAUUAUUAUUAUUAUUAUUAUUAUUAUUAUUAUUAUUAUUAUUAUUAUUAUUAUUAUUAUUAUUAUUAUUAUUAUUAUUAUUAUUAUUAUUAUUAUUAUUAUUAUUAUUAUUAUUAUUAUGUCUUGUGUGUCUCUACUUUAUUUUUGUGCAAGAAAGCAGAAAACAAGUAUGGGGGAGAUCUCUCGACAUGCCAAACACACUUCGACUACACCACUCCACGAUUCAGGUACAUACUCUGCACACUUUACUUUACACAUACACAUAUAUAUCUUGGAUUAUGCAAAAUACUGUCUCCGACAUGAUAAAUUAAAAAGAUUAAAAUGUUUCUAAUCAUGAUUAAUCUCACUCUGUGAUAUUUCCUGAAAACCUGCAAUUAUUGAAAAAUCAUUUUAAAACCCUGUGUUACUUAAGUCAUUGUGGAAUGUGAGAUGGUAGAGUAUGAGUUUCUUAUUCUUGAUAUUAUUGUUGCUUGGAGAUUUAUUCAAAAAUUCUAGAUACCAUCCUCAGUGUUUUAUAUGGCUAAUAAAACUGAAAAUAUUAAUUAUGAUUAUAAAAGCUAUCUACUCUGUAUUGAGUUUGUUCAAAAUGAGUUAGACCCUUGUUGAGAGAUUUAUCAUGCUCCUAAAAUCAAGACAUUUAUUCAGAAAGAUUCACUCUUUUGAAGUAUUAUUGCAUUAGAGGCAUGGGCUAUGCAAAAAUAAAGAUAUUUCGAGGAAAUAAAAAGGAGCAAGUGCUCGAUAACCUCGUAGAAAAAAUGGACAAGUGUCCAGCAGUAGAAUUAGGGGUACCUCGGUAUCCACUUAAAAAAGAGAGAGAAGAAAAAGAAAAUGAUAGCCCAUGGUCCCUCUAAUAAGCAAUGUGCCAGCAAGAGUUGACAAGUUUUUAAUUUCCAAAGUCUUUGAUCUAAGAGUAUGGCAUUCUUCUCCUCGGAUCCCAUUUUGAUCAGACAAUAAAUGCAAAGUAAGUAUGCUGUAGAAUUUUUGCAAAUUAAAACAGCCUCAGUGAGAUAUAUAAAAGAUAAUGAGUGACCUAAGAACCUGUGAGGAUAAAGGUAUGCUAAAUCUCUUUUCAAAAAUAUACAAACUCCAAGUAACAGGAUUGAGAAGAAAGGACCUCUACUCUUGACCAUAUAUUUCCCUGGCUACGGUACACACUGAAUUUUUACAACACCCUGCAGGUAUGAAGAGAAUGUUUUACAAUGUUUUUACCCCAGAUAUUUUUCUUAACCAUCCUUUUCUCGAGGAUGAGUAAAAGCCUAAGUAUGGGGGUAUUUGUUGACGGUUCUUAAGUAUCAAUUUAAAUUAUCAAAUAAACAAGAGAAAGGACCAAUAUACAAACAACACCUAGAAUUAGGGUUUGAUCUGACAGAAUUCCACGAGUUUUGUUGUUUAUCGGUUUCUGCAGGGGGUUAUCAGGAAAUAAGGAAGAAAGGCCCACAUGUCAGGAUUACAUAGAGAUAUCAACGCACCACGCAAUUUUCUACCAUCUAGAAGACUCCAGAAGCCAUGGGAACAAAGCGGAGGCUGAACGGGGCCUGGCCCAGGGCGCCCGCCCUAAGGACCAGGGCGCCCGCCCCCUCCUAGACUCCAAUCGGGACUCUUUUCACAGACCAAGCUCCACCGACCUAAAGGAUCAAGGAUAACCGUCCAAUCAAUGUCAGUUUGAUCCGACGGCUCACGUUCACAUGAGGGGACUAUAAAACCAGACCCCCUGGCCCCUGGAGGAGACAAGUUCAUCACAGAGUUGAGAGGAGCCCUCGAAGGAAUACCUCUUCUCUAAAUAAAAUUUCUUUUUAGGCUUAGCAUCCAAUGUGAGUAGAAUUAGAUCUUCUAGUUUCUACUAGAUUAAGAGAGAUAGAGUGGAGGUGUAGAUCAGAGGAAGCCCGACCUGUCGGUGUCUACUCCGAGAUUGUACCUACGGGAUCAAGUUCUCCUAACCCGAAGCUUGCUCCUAGGAUUCUUCAAUAUUUCGACUUCUAAAUUCUAGUAAGUUCUUGUUUUAUUGUUCUUUGGUUUAUGAGUUUACUUUAAUCUCUUCGCGUAGAGUUUAGAGUAAUCAUCUCUAGCGUAGACGUGGUGUUUGGGCUAGGAUACUCAUAGAUAUUCCCUGACUAGCUAGAUCAUGGUAGUAGCGAGGAACGUGACAUUUCCGAGUUACCUUUGCAGACCAUAUCUCGUUAGCAGGAAGGAUAGGGUUUAUAGGUGCAGGUUGAACAUCCUCUGUGGUGUCUAGAUUCCGUAAGCUUCCCCAAUAGAACAGUAGAUCAUCCUUACCAAGGUUAGAAAGAUAUUACGGUUGUAGUCUUCUCUAUUUAUCACUCACAUCGAGAAACAUUCUUUGUAGCCUAAAUGUUAGUAGUAAUAGACCAGGUUAGUCAGAUGCACUCUUUCUCCUAGUGGUAAAAAAAUAAAUACAAUACUCUGGAUAACCUCCCGGGUGAAGUGCUCACCGAUAUCCGUGCGCUUGCGGAUCAAUUCCUUAUUGUGUUCCCAAAUAUCAACAGGCCCUACUCAACUCCACCAGGUACCAGCAGAAGCUUCGACGCUAUCAUGACAAGCACGUACGCAAAAGGGAUCUGAACGUGGGCGACCUCGUCCUACGGCGACAGCAAAGCAACCAAGGAUGCCACAAGCUGACUCCACCCUGGGAAGGCCCAUACGUGGUGGCCGAGGUCCUGAAGCCAGGGACGUACAAGCUCGCGGACGAACAGCUACGUCGAUUCUACCCCUAGAGCUUCGAAGUUUGACGUUCUCAUGAACAUCCUGUACCAAGAUCCUAUGAAUGAAUGCAUGAGUAAACGAGAUCUUUUCCUCGAGUAGUUUGCUUUUUCGCCUAUCAACGUCUCGACAUGAGAAGGGAGUGCCAACUAUGACCCAUCAUAGUCGAUACUCCCUCGGGGGCUAGCAGGGGGACCCCCCCAAAGUACCGAAAAACCAAACGAUCCUUUCUUUCCUAUAAUUAAACCUAGCAUGGUCAAGUAGUGGAGGCACCUCGAGCCCCUUAAGGGCUAAGAGACGACGAGUAUGAGAACCCCUACGCCAACGCUAUGGUAACUCUACUCACUCCCUCACCCUCGAGGCAAUCAAGGUCGUCUUAAACAAAAGACCGAAUGAGGAAUACAGACGUAGGCACAAAAGGAAACAAAGGAAUCUCGAGCAUAAAAAUAAGCAAAUAUUCACAAAUAUUACAAACCACUUAAAGACACAGUGUUUACUUAAGACAAGUACUUUACAAUGGGUCUUGACACCCAGCAUAGGCUCGCAGGCCUUAGUGCGCAUCUCCACCCUCACCACCAUCAUCCGCACCCAAGUUAGUCUCGGGAGGAAGUACUUCUGGCUCAAACAACCUCGCGAAUCUUUCUCCAGGAACCUCUGCGUCAUCGAUCAAGGCGUGGAGCCUCUCCUCGUUCUCUACGUCGGUCUUAGAAAUAUCGGUGACGAAGCCAUGGGACACCACCUCCAUAUCGUAGGAAAAGCGUGAGCAGACAACCACCAUUUCCCGCUUUACCCCGGUAUGAAGGGUGUCCCACACCUGCUCCCUCAGCGUGGCACCUAGGAAGCACAACUGAUCCACCAGCGCAUUGCCUUGAGCCGCCUCCCUCGACUCAUCCACAGGCUCGAGCUCCCAGGAGGCCGAGAGAUCGCUUAUCGCAGUCCGCAGCCGACCGUUCAAAGCAACCUCCCCCUCAAGUUGAGCCUUAGCGGAGCGGGCCUCAACUUGGGCAGCUAGAAGCUCAUCCUUAAGUCCUACAAAGACAGACAUGGGAAAAUUAGACGACAUAGAAAGCACCUUGCAAAAAGGAGCACGAAAGCGUAAAAAGGCUUACCGCGAGUCUUCUCCUCCAGAGUCGUAUUCUCGCCAACCAAAUCGGUGUUGGCCCUCUCGAUCUCCCUGUAAGAGCGGGCCAGGUCAGUGUUGGUGACCGGCAAGUCCUCGAUCACCUUGCCCGCCUGUGCGAUAGCUCCCUCUUUCUCCAGCAGCGCCCUCUUCAGACGAUCAACCUCGUCAGAGAGCCCGCGAGAGCGAGUUCGCUCAGCUUCGAGAUCUUCUUGGGCCUUCUUCCCGUCCUCUUCUAUGGCGCUCUGAGCGAUUUCGCUCUUCACGCACUCUUCCUUCAUCUCUCGAUAGGCCUCUCGGGCAGAGUCAAGGUCAACCUUGAUGAGGCCCUUCUCCUUGUCAAGAUCGGCGGCCGCAUCCUUGUAAAAUAUGGCCUCUUCUCGGGCCUUGGACACAGCCUCCUCAACCGUCAUGGUCCGCUCCCUCAGCUGCACAGCCUCUUCUACUGCCUUCCUCGAGGCCUCCCGAGCUUCAGCCAGGGCGGCCUCCCUCUUCUUUUUCUCCUCCUCGAGCACCAGAAGGUCCUUGUAGGCCUGGAGAAGCUUCUCCUACGAUUCUAGGAGUUGGUCCUUGAGAAGAGGGAGCUGCUCCCAGCCGCCCCUCGUCGCAUGAAUGAAACCAGACUUCAAGCGAGAUGUCUCUUUCAGAUCCUGCGAACUAGUAAUUGAAUAGUAAGAAUACAAGACCAAAUACCCAAAUAGCUAGGAUCCAGAGACACUUACAAAAUAGGCUUGACCAAGCCUGUUGUUCACAAUGUCAGACAUAAGUCCCACCACGUGCUUCAUCCAGAGAUGAAGCUCCUCGAGACGCUCCCAUUUCUCGGCCUCCUUCCGAUCAUCCAUAAAAAUAUUGCGCUCUAACGGAUCGGUGGAGGCCCGAAUAUGGAUUCGCCCGGAGCCCCAGUUCUCCAUCUCCUCCUCUGUGCGCGCCUUGGCGCCCCGGAUGAGCACCUGGACAGUCUUGAGCGACCCCCCGUGGCGCAAGAAUAGGUCAAUGAGAGAGGGGAAUCGCCCGUCGUCGUCCACCGUCCUCCAGGUCCCGGUCUCCCCGGUAUCGCCUCCGCCCGACUUCCCAGCUUCGUCCUCCCCAACGGUGCUGAGGUCCACCCAUGGCCGCCGGUCUCGAAGGAACCCGGGGGCGAUUCCCUCAAUACCAUAAACCGUGCCCUUGAUCUCUGACCGGGGGUCCAUGGGGGUGCGCAUGGCACAGGCAAGCGCCACCACACCGUCUACUCACCCUGGCUCGGCCUGGAUGGAAGCAGGUGCCCCUGGGCGGAGCCACGCAGGCGUCGGAGGGCCGUAAACUGGCAAACCCUCCUCCUUAUUGGGUAUUUUAAACGCAAACGGAAAAAUCCGCAAGCGCACGGAUACCGAUGUAGCCUUCACCCGGGAGUAUUCCAGAGUAUCGAUUUUCCACAGAGAACGUGAGUGUACUAAUUAAGAUCCAAGAUCGCCCAAGGAUAACUAUAUAAUUAUUUUUGGUGGGAAGAGAGGAAGUUUCCUGAGAGUUCUCUAGUUGAUCUAAGAAUCAAGAAUUACUUCAAGAUUAUCUAUUUCGGGACAUCAGAGCACUAACCACAGAAAGAGAUGAGAAGGGGGCUAGGAAGGUCUGACUACGGUCCUACAAACACCGAUCCGAACGAGGUGGAAUACGUCGACUGUUAGGGCUGUCACUACCCUAAGGCUACCACAACAAUCCGCAUGAUUGGGUGCAAUUCCAGGUAAUUGCAAGACUAAACACCACGUCUAAUCUAUUAAUUACUACUCUAGCGUUAUAAAGACUAGAGCACUUGAUGCAAGCAGGAAUCCAAUAAAUAACUUGAAUGUAAAUAAAAGUAAUUAAAUAACUCAGGAAUUAUGAAUUGAAGAACCUGGAGAACGAUGAAGAACGAACCAGAUGCUACAAAAGUAUAAUGUUGAGGAAGAUCCGACAGAUCCGGCUCCUCCUCCGCUCUCCUCUUCUCUCUCCCUAUUUUCUAGAUUACAACUAGAACUAACUAGAACUAGAACUAGAGGAACUAGAACUAGAACUAGAUGAACUAGAACUAGAUCUAGAUGAACUAGAGGUAGAACUAGAAGAACUAGAGGGAUCCUCUCUACUUGGAUGAAGAAUUGAAACCCUAACUUUGAUUCUGUAGAAGAGGUAUGCUCUCCAGGGGCCAGGGGCCUUGCCUAUAUAGUCUUUUCAGAUGAAUCUGGGCCAUCGGAUCAAACCAACAUUAAUCGCACGGUUUUCCUUAGUCCCUUAGGUCGGUGGAGCACGAUCCGUGAAGUCGAUGCUGAUUGGUUACUGUAGCUGAGCGGGCACCCAAGGGACUUGGGCGGGCGCCCUGCCCCCGGGCCCGAUCGGCCUCCCGUUCGUUCCCGUGGCUUCUAGAGUCUUCUAGAUGAUAGAAAAUUGCGUGGCACGUUAAUAUCUCUAUGUAAACCCGACGUGUGGGCCUUUCUUCCGUAUUUCCUGAUAACCCCCUGCAGAAAUAGACAAACACCAAAACUCGUGGAAUUCCGUCAGAUAAAACCCUAAGUCUAGGUGUUGGUUGCAUUUGGAUCCUUUUCCAUGAUUAGUUGAUGGUUAAAUGUGAGCAUUAAGGACCGUCAACAAGCUCCCCCAAGCUUAACCUUUGCUCGUCCCUGAGCAAAGAUGAACUCAAGAGCUUCUGCAGUGGUUUCAUGCCUUAAAGAUACACAUGCGUUCAAACAAGAUCUCAUCUCUAGGUUAGGGUAAACUGUUAAGAUUUAAACUUACUCAUUUUACCUUCCACCAUGGGGCUUGUAACCGUCACUUGUGUCUUGAGCAGUUAAAAGAUAGAACGGUCUAGUCAAGCGCCAUGUCUCAUGUUCUUCGAUUAACUAUAGCUCUGGAGUUUUUGCAGAUUUUCAAAUAAAACUCAGAGAUUCCUUGUAUGACUCUCUCUAGUCUCUCUUUUGUGGUAUUUCUGGAUCCUUACCAAGGCAGUAAUGGUGUAUACCUUCUCUCAAAGUAUGUGGUAUUUUUGGUAUGAGGCAUAGUGGCAUUGCCUUCUCUCUCACCCUACUCUAAUAAGGCUUUUGAUAUCUGGAGCUCAUAGGUGGGAGACAGCUAAUACAUACUUACAAGACAUUUAUUGCAUAGUCAAACCAUAGAUCCAGAAGAACAAGUCAAUAAGUCAAAUCAAGAUGUGCAUGUGUGGCGAAUGAAUGGUGCAUGGUAAUGAUGGUGAUAACAAUGGUUAAAGUCUAAUUCUACUUAUGCUCUUUUGAGGGGAUACAUACUUUUCUUGCUCUUUUGAAACUUUUUGAGGAGAAUGAGAUGCUCUAUAUUUUUUUUCUUUUCUCUCAGGUGGGUAUCUUGUACCUCUAAUUCUACUAUCGGACACUUGUCCAUUUUUACCUCUCGUCUCACUUUUUUUUUCUUUCGAGGUUCCGGGCACUUGCCCCUUUUUAUUUCCUCGCAUCUUCUCUUUUUUUCUUUUUUUAGAGCACUCAUCUCUUGAAAUAAUGUAGCAAGUGGUAGUAACCAAGAUAACUUGAGCAUUUAUUUCACAGGGGAAAACAGAAAUGUUUUUUGGCUAUUCUCUCCCGGAUUAGGAGUAGAAUAUUUUUGGGUGGUUCUGGAGAUGGAAAUGGGUGGAUAUAUGUGGAUGCGUACUUCCGGAGUAGCAGCAGCAUGUAUGAGUGAACAUGCAAGCAAAUCUUGAUUUAACCACAUGAAAAGCUCCUAAGGGUCUACAUAGCUUGACUACACUCAAUGCUCAUAAGCAGUAAAAAGUAAAUGUGUGGCUCAAAGUCUAGCAAGCAUGUAUAUAUGGCUGUGGUAGGAAUUUAAACUCUCAUCAUACAGGAACUCAUCAUGCAACAUUUUAAAGAUUUUCAAAAAUAAAAUUCUCUAGAAUUCUAGCAUUUUUAGGAACAGAUAAACAGUAGCUCAACCUUCCCAUAUCGUAUCCGUUAACGACUUAGACUUUAGAUCAAGUACUCUCUCCACAAGUUCAGGUUUAGAGCAAAUCUCAAUAAAUACCAGUCAUGCCUAAACUUGAGAGAGAUUUCAAUUUUGAGAACUAGUCAUGGUAGAGCAACUAUUCAUCAUUUCCAUAUGAGAGCUUAUCACGAGGGUUUAUAGCGAAUUUUAUUUAUUUAUUUAUUUAGCAAACUAAGCAAAGAUAUAUAUAUAUAAGCACAAAAUUUUUAUUUGGGCUUAUAUGAUUAUGCAUCUUUUUAUUAUUUGAGUAAAGUAUAAACAUGAGUAGAACACUUAGCUGGAUAAAUAGGGGUGCUCUCCCCCAAGCUGGAUUUUGACGUAAUUCCUUCUCAUAUAGCUAGCAGGUGGCGGAGGUGUAUUGAAUGUCGGCAGCACCCUGACAACGAUUAGAAUGUCCUCCGUCUGCUAGUCUUCUUUGAUCCUUGAAUUCUGUGGAGCUCAAAUAGACAACAAAGCUUUGUGGAACUGGUUAAGUGUUAGCAUAAAUAUCUAGCCUUUAUCAUGUUGAGCCUCCUCAAUAAAUGUUACUCUCUUUAGUAGGAUCAUAAAUUUAUUUUUAUAAUUUUAUUUUUAUAGGAUAGGAAUAUAUUUAUUUUAUUUUUAUGCCACCACAGUGAAUGUACUUAUGGGUUUUAUGCCAUGAGCAUACUCACAUAGGGCUUACUAUUUUUAACAUUUUUAUUUUCUUUUCAAGAUGGUAUGAACCUGAUUAACUACGCAAACUAUUUUAAAUAAUUGAAAGGAAAAAGAUAACUACCAAGUUUACCUCUUGGCAAGGCGUUCGGUGUUUUUAAGUCCUCCGAACGGGACUCUCCGUUUUCUCAGUCGUCCUGGGAUUCGCUGGAUGGCGUAGUCGGUGGUUCCGGCGGCGCCUGCUCUUCAUGUAUAACUAUCUUCUCUCUCCACACCUGACUUGGUGCUACGGUUUCCUCAGGACAGUUUUAUUCAAGUUGUAUGUCUUCAGACCUUACAACUUCUCCUUCAUAGUCUGUCCAUCCGUCCUUGAUGAUUUGCCUCCUCUGGUUGCGGUUGCGUCGUCUUCUUCUUAUCCUGACCUGCUUAGAGUCUUCAACUAUAUAGUUAGGGUCAGUAAAACAGCGGCAUACCUUCUCAGAGGUGAAGUGCAUGUGGACUUCUCCGGUUUCAAUGUAGAUGAUUGCUUUUAACGGUGCUGAGGAACGGUCUUCCAAGGAUGAUGGGUGGAUCGUGCUCCUCUUCUCCCAUGUCAAUAACUUUUCGGAAUGUCUGAUCUGCCAUCAGGAGCUGAAUGUAUGUCGGUUUUAGGGGCAUAGUUCCGAAUAGGAGCUGAUAGGUGACUGGGUCGUCCUUUUUGGUCAGGAACGGUGACUUAAUUCGACGAUCUUGACCUCCUUGAACUGUAGUGACCAUCUUAGCUGACUUAGUCCACAAUUGCUUGUUCUUAUUCCUCCUGUUGGUCCUUUCCUUGGUUCAUGUUAGGAUUGCUCUAAGAUUUGUGUAGUUUUGUUCUUGAAGUAAAACGUCUCCUUCGUCCCCUUGAUGUAGAAACUGAUCUUGGCAGCACUAGCGUGGAUGACUGCUCCCGAGGUGUUCAGGAAUGGCAUCCCUAGAAUGAUGGGUGCCCUCUCAUCAGUACCAGUCUCUAUCACCACGAAGUCUGCUGGGGCAAACAAGGUACCAACUCGGACGCAGAGGUUCUUCAAUAUUCCUUUUGGGAAACUUAGUGUCUGAUCUGCAGGCAUGCCGAUGGAGAUCGGGAUGACGGUUCGUCCUGGAUUGCCUCUCUUGACCGGCAGAAGGUCAGUAAUUACUUCCACAACGAGGUUACUCCAGUAGUUACGUCCUCAAGCAUCUCAGGGCAAUGAUUGCCUGAGUGUCCAGUAUCUCUAGUGUGUUUGUGCUCGUAGAUGUAGGUUCUUCACUUGAUGGAGUCUGGGAGUUGUAAAACUCCGUCAUAUUUUGCUCGAAGUGUACCUGCUCAUAGAGACAAGGCAGAGAUCAAGUGCAUGGGCCCUGUUGGUGGAAAACACCAACAGAACCAAAAGUGUAUUUGUUCUUCUCUAACCUUAAGCAUAGUGAGCAAGACAAAGUUGACGGAUAAUAAGAUCAUUAGUAUAACAUUUAAAACAUUUGUCAGAUCAAAUCGCUCAACCUAAUGGAAAGAUAAUAUAUCUAUAUUUAUGUUGUUUUUUUUAUAAAAUAUGUCUUCCAAAGAUUGAGUGUGCAACAUUUUAGUUCAUAAGAUUAGGAGUGUGGGAUCACAAAGGUGGAAGGACUAAACAUAUUGAAUCGAUUGGGUUGGUUAAUCUAGAAUUGUAAAUCAUACAUGUUUGUCUCUUUUAUUCAUGUGAAUGCCAGAACCAAGGAGAAGCUUAUAGAAGUGAUAGUCAAGUACCUUAAGAUGUUACCUUACUUGAAGAGUGAUGGUACAGUAUCACCUUGUGGAAGCUUUCCUCUCUUAGCGGUUGUGCAUCGUGUUUGUGGCACCCUACAUGGAUCAUCUCUUGUGAGCUAUGCCUUCCUUGUGUAAAUUGUUAAACUUCAUGUAUCUCUCUCUUUGUCUCCAAUGUGAGUUUAUCUCAGGACUUUCCAGGUCGAUAUUGAAAGUUUUCCUACAGGGGUUAGUCCAACAAAAUAUCCAAUAUCUACUAUAGCAUACUAUCGGCUCAAAAAUCAACCUAGACACCAUGUCUAAUUUGAUUGAGAAGGGCAUUUUAACCUAAGCACCAUGCUUAAUUUAAACUCCCUUGGAAGCAAGAUCAUCAGCCCUAAACAAAGCACCAUGCUUAAUUAAGAGAUAGAUGAAACUACUCCAAACCUAGACAUAUACUAAAGUAAAUAAAGGUAGCAUGAGAGAAUUUAUAGAGAUCUACUCAAGUGGAGAUGAAGUAGUGUGAUUACUAUUUAACAAAUUGAGCAUGUCUCAAAGGUAGGGACAACCAACAUAGCAACAUGGCAAAUGAUGUUUUUAUAUAAAGUACUCCCCCAAGCUUGAAUUUUGCAAAAUUCAAGUUUGGAUGAAUUUAAUUGAAUGUUGUAUGAUAAUUGGUUGGACAUACCUUGUGCUUGUCAUUCAUCCGAUCUUCUUGCUCCAAUCCUGGAAAGGUUAGUGACAAGAAUACCCGAAGGAAUUUUUUACAAUUAUCCUUAUAUGCUCAAAACACAAGGUAAUGAUGCAAAUAAUUCAAAGCUCAUGUUAUGAUCUGAUCAGUGCUUGGGAAACCAUCAAUUUAUGUCGGCGAAGUGGUUUCCCCUCCAAUGCUGACCUAUAUCAAGAUCAACUCAACGAGAUCUGCAAAAUUUAUUAUAGACAUAUGCAUCGACAACCGCCCUUUUAAAGUUUUUAUGAAUAGAAAGGAAGAGGGGGUUGGAGAUCUCGAAUGUGGUGAUGUUGGAGAGACCAAUGGAUUGUGAAGAUGUUGCAUAUGAGCAUGGAGUAAGUGAAGUGGCUAUGAAAUAAAUUCCAUGCUCAUUACUGCUUAGAGUGAAAUCCAUGUGGUAUGGUGAAAGUGAUAAGGUGAGUGUGGUAAAAAAGGAAAAGAAAAAGGAUACACGGAUGACUUGGUUCGAAACUAGCACAGCUACCGUUCCCUGGCAAGAGCGCCAGAAAGGCUUGUUGGGUAUUUUAAACGCAAACAGAAAAAUCCGCAAGCGCACGGAUACCGAUGUAGCUUUCACCCGGGAGUAUUCCAGAGUAUCGAUUUUCCACAGAGAACGUGAGUGUACUAAUUAAGAUCCAAGAUCGCCCAAGGAUAACUAUAUAAUUAUUUUUGGUGGGAAGAGAGGAAGUUUCCUGAGAGUUCUCUAGUUGAUCUAAGAAUCAAGAAUUACUUCAAGAUUAUCUAUUUCGGGACAUCAGAGCACUAACCACAAAAAGAGAUGAGAAGGGGGCUAGGAAGGUCUGACUAUGGUCCUACAAACACCGAUCCGAACGAGGUGGAAUACGUCGACCGUUAGGGCUGUCACUACCCUAAGGCUACCACAACAAUCCGCAGGAUUGGGUGCAAUUCCAGGCAAUUGCAAGACUAAACACCACGUCUAAUCUAUUAAUUACUACUCUAGCGAUAUAAAGACUAGAGCACUUGAUGCAAGCGGGAAUCCAAUAAAUAACUUGAAUGUAAAUAAAAGUAAUUAAAGAACUCAGGAAUUAUGAAUUGAAGAACCUGGAGAACGAUGAAGAACGAACCAGAUGCUGCAAAAGUAUAAUGUUGAGGAAGAUCCGACAGAUCCGGCUCCUCCUCCACUCUCCUCUUCUCUCUCCCUAUUUUCUAGAUUACAACUAGAACUAACUAGAACUAGAACUAGAGGAACUAGAACUAGAACUAGAUGAACUAGAACUAGAUCUAGAUGAACUAGAGGUAGAACUAGAAGAACUAGAGGGAUCCUCUCUACUUGGAUGAAGAAUUGAAACCCUAGUUUUGAUUCUGUAGAAGAGGUAUGAUCUCCAGGGGCCAGGGGGUCUGGUUUUAUAGUCCCUUCAAGUGAAUCUGGGCCGUCGGAUCAAACCGACAUUGAUCGCACGGUUUUCCUUGAUCCUUUAAGUCGGUGGAGCAUAAUCCGCGAAACGUGUCCUGAUUGGGCACUGUAGCUGGGCGAGCGCCCUGCCUCCGAGCCCGAUUUCCUUCCCGUGGCUUCUGGAGUCUUCUAGAUGAUAGAAAAUUGCGCGGCACGUUAAUAUCUCUAUGUAAACCCGACGUGUGGGCCUUUCUUCGGUAUUUCCUGAUAACCCCCUGCAGAAAUAGACAAACAACAAAACUCGUGGAAUUCCGUCAGAUAAAACCCUAAGUCUAGGUGUUGGUUGGAUUUGGAUCCUUUUUUCAUGAUUAGUUGAUGGUUAAAUGUGAGCAUUAAGGACCGUCAACACUCCCCGGCAUCGGGCCCUUGCGGCAGUGACGAUUCAGGCUGGCGCGGGCUAUGCGGUGGCAGUUCGAGCUGCUCUUCCAACUGCUGGCUCCGCUGCUGCUGCUGCCGUUGGAGUUCCAGCAACUCCUGCUGCCAAAACUGCUCCAACUCGUCCUUGAGUGAUUCUCCCCGCUGCAGCUGUUGCUGCGGCUCAUGCUCACGCUCUUCUUCUUCCUUCUUCCUCCUCUCCUCAACAGAGUCUCAUGCUCACGCUCUUCUUCUUCCUUCUUCCUCCUCUCCUCAACAGAGUGAAGCCCGAUAGGCCAAGGCGUCCGUUUCGCGACGGGAGAGGCCUCAACCUCUUCAUCCAUAGGAUGGGCGUCCUUUGAGAGCCGAUCGCCGCCGGACCCAUCGCUAAUGGUGAUAGGAUCCCCCACGCCCCCAGACUGGGGAGGCUCGAGGGCUCCCUGCUGCUCCUGAGGACGAGGCGUCUCGUCCCGCCUCGGUGACGGCGGAGCGGUCUCUCCCAACAAUGGACGAGGCGGGGUACUCUCGACACCCGUCGAUGGCCGAGGAUCAGAGGAGCCUGUGAGCGCUCAAAAACAAAAGGUCAGUCGCUAAGAAGCUCGACGUAAGGAUCACACAACCCCAACACUAUUGAAUGGAAAGUAAACCACUUACCUGAGUCUUUGGGAAGCGCCGCCACCUUCAACUUCUUGGCCAUCGAGGGCUGGGCUAGUUCUAGCGGCCGCUUCAACCUAGAGAAACGGGAAUGACGUAAGGAAAGCUGUAGCUCGAGAACACGCAAGACAUCGGAAAACAAGAACCGCAACGUUUAAAUCUUACCCCACGGGAAGAACAACCCGCCUGUCAGCGCCUCGACCAGCUUGUCUCGAACCGCCCCACGUAGAGACCCCAGGAUUCUCGAGACCAGGCGCGGGCUGCGGCUCGACAUCUCCCGAUUGACGAGUACCGGGGGCAGAGCUCCCACGACCUAUUUCCCCCUGACUCGAGGCCUCGGCGCGGCCACGGGUUGGCGGCCCCGUCGCCAUAGACUUGACCCGGUGGCCCGCUCUAGAUGUGGGAGGUGGUUGGGGCUUGGAAAUGGCCCGACCCGGCGCGGUCACAUGGGGGGUGUCGCCGCAAGAGCGGCUCGGUGAAGACUCCCUCCGUUGACCUUCACGGGAUCCGCCUGACGCCCUCUUAGGAGCUCCCCUCUACGGGACGUCGACGUCGGCUUGUGGUAGACCCUCGAGGAUUUUGUCAAGGCGAGCUGCCAUCCCCUCGGAGUCGUCGCUAUCGCCAUCACCGUCAUUGCCGUCAUCUUCGUCGGGGGAUUCUUCCUCGGGCUCCCCCCUCUGCCUCGACUUUGCAUGGCGUUUCUCGAGCGCUUGCUGCUCGAGGUUCUUCUUCUUCUUCUCUUUCUUCUUUUUUAAGUCCUUCGCGGAUUUUUGUUUCUCCGCGGACUCACGCCUCCUAUCUCGAUCGAUGUCGUCCUCCUUCACCGGAGGCCUCGAGGACCGAGCAUCAAUCGAGCCCAGUGAAAAUGAAAGUAAGUCCCGGAAAAAGAUGGAAGAAUCAAGCAACGGUAGAGAAAGACUUACCGAGUCGAUCUACCCCUCAUCGGGCCUCAUGGGGAAGCCGUUGAUGUGCUCAGGCUGAAAAUUGCCUGCGACAGCCGCCCUAACCUUGGCGGCGACCUCGUCGUCCGCGGGCGCCUCGUUGGACAUCCGGCAUGCCUCGAGGUCAUGAGAUAAAACGCCAGGGCCCAUUUCAUCCAUCCUCAGCGGCCGAGACAUCAACGGGAGUACCCGUCGAAGGUGGACGGCCGAAAGGACAAGCGCAGCAGUCAAGCCUUCCAUAUGAAGUUUCUUUAGGGCGUCGAGGAUGGGACGGAGCCGGGACUGGAGGGUCUUGACGACUCCAUAAUUCCAGUGAUCCGGGCACUCCAAGAUCAAGCGCCCGGUGUAGUCGGGGAAGAGGUCGUCGUCGUUCCACAAGUAGAACCACUGGGAGUCCCACCCGGCGUGGUUCGACGUCAGCCCCACCGGGAUGUACUCUCGAGGCUCCUCCACCUUGCCGGUCUUCAGCACCAGGUUGAGGCAGCCGGCCCGUACCGGCUUCCUCACCCCUAUGGCUCCACCCGGGGCAUUGAAGAGUUCGCCCCGGUACAAGUGGAGCCACAGGUCCCAGUGCGGCAUCAUCCCUAGGUAGCCCUCACACACCGCAGCGAAAAUCGCCGCGGCGGUGAUGGCGUUCGGCGAAAAAUGCUGGAGCUCCACGCCGUAAUGAUGGUAGAGCGCCCGCAUAAAGCGGCUCGGAGGGGAACCCAGACCGUGGCAGUGGAAUUUGGCGAAGGAGACCACGUACCCCUUGGGUGGUCUCAGCUCCCGGUGGUCCGCCGCCGGUGCGAUCCACUCCGACCGCGAUGAGGAAACGCGAGGACGCAGGAGCCCCUCCUUCUCAAGCUCUAGCAGUCGGCGCUCCGUCAUCGACGAUGGGCACCAGUCAUCGGCGGCGAUGAGUCUCACCGGCAUCUUGAGGAAGAAAGAAAGUGACUCUACUACUACGUGCUCGAGGGUGCACGAGCGCGUGGACAUGGCAAGGAGGUAGAGGUGAGAACAAAGGCAGAAGGCGGAAGGGGCAAUGCCUGAAAGACCCAAGGAUACUUAAAGACGGCUAGCCAUCGACAGACGGAUCCGGCAGAUACGGUAACUUCGCUAGUAAAUGCGCCGCCUAACGGUCGUUGUUUCUCUCACUGGCAGGGCGCUACGGAUUCCACGACGGUACAGUGCCGCAACGGCUCCCACCUGAAAAGGUGCGCCCAACGGGCAAAAAGGCGAACCGACGCGGCCUUUCCUUCCCCCGUAAGAUAAGGCAUGUGUCUGCCACGAUAAAAAUCUCGAGAGAUCGCAGGCUGGCCCACCGAAUGGGUUCGACAGUCGAUCUCGAGUACCAGAGUCAGGGAUGCCCAGCGAAUGGUCGAAAAACAAGGCCUGCCUCGAGAACUCGCUGGGGAUAUCCAAGGCGAGGGCGAGAGGGUCGAGAGGAAUCCCCACGAGGGGAGGCAACGAGCCGCUGGACUCUAUCGAACGAGACCAGUAUCCCCGAUCACAUCGACCUCGCUUUAUGAGAAUGCCUCCAGGCCACAGCUGACCCCCUCGAACGGGGCACAUGUUCUCACUUGGAUUACCUGAUAGGAGCUCAACCUGGGGUAGGUGACGCUCGCUCCACAGGGAGUACGUCACAACCCCGACACGAAACCAACCGAUCGAAGCCUCUUCCAUGACGAACAUCAAGAGCACUUCCGUCAGAUAAGGCGACAUAACCCUCGAAGGAGUCAAAGACUCCUCCAAGGGCUCGGGGGCUACCCCUGCGGGGGUCGCUCGCGCGAACCCACGGAAACUCGACCAACAAAAAGAGCCCCUACUCGAGCGCAAGCGCUCGAAUAGAGACUCGGGGGUACCGUAACCGACGCACAUAACGAGAGCACCCGUACGUAAACCGAGGCCCCUGACUUGACGCCCCCUGAUCGCAUGUACAAUUGUCAAGACAAGACGACGACCAUAGCCUUGAACACGAAAAGAGCGUCAUGCGAAUCGACUGGGGCUCGACCGAGUAGCGACCAUCGAAUACGGAAACUGGCUCGUAUGAAUCGACGGGUCUCAAGCGUAAGGACGCCACCCGCCGCCUAACGUGGGUACGGGAACUAGGGCAUUUAAUGCGCCUGCCGCGUUCUCACCUAACCCAACAGUCACGGGAAGUGUGACAGGGAGCAAGCACCCGUCCAAUUGCCCCUUUUUGCAGCCUUGUCCAUCGGAUGAACCGGAGCAUGGCAGGGCGCAGCGAGACGAACGGGACGUCUUGUCACAACCCCCCUUGAGACGCCCAAAGUCAGCGCUCCUAUCAGCAAGGCCUUGCACGGUAUCGGACCCUCGAGCAAACAUGUUCCUUCCCUAAGAAGAGUCAGGCGGUGAAAGACAGCACCUCAACCACCCUGCCAUGACUACAGCCACGACGUAUAGGCAAGCCCACAGAAGGCCAAUCCAGGACGACGCACAGAAGCCGGAUUCAGGGGCACGCGUAAUCAUCAUUCAAGUACUGAGUAACAAGACGGCUCGAGGCCACACCGGUACGGAAGCCUCGAGUAGGUCAGCGCGCCACGCCCCUAUCGACCCCUACUCUGUCACCUACACAUGCAACCUAGGUCUCCCCUUGGAACUAUAAAAGGGGAAGUCCGGGAACGGAUAGAAAAACACAAGAUAUACGUAGAAGAGCAACCAUACUUUGUCUCCUUCCAUCCACAAUACCGACUUGUAUUCACCCCUGUACAAGCACUUAGGUGCAAGAUAAUAGAAACAUCUAAGGGGAGAACUUUGACCUUUUACCUUUUUGAAAAGUUUGUCAUCUCUUACUAGCAUAUUGCUUAUUAGAGGAACCAUGGGCUAUCAUUUUUUUCUUUCUUCUUUUUUUCAGUCUCUCUCUCUCUCUUUUUUUCUUCUCUUUUUUUUCAAGUGGGCACCAAGUACCCUUAAUUCUACUCUCGGACACGUGUCCAUUUUUACCUCACAUCUCACUCUUUUUUUUAAUCAAAUUUUUGCAUAGUCCCAUGCCUCUAACACAAUAAUACUUCGGAAGAGUGAAUCUUUUAUAUUUUUAAAACAAAAGAUCUUGAUCUUUGGAGCAUGAUAAUUCUCUCAACCAAAACUACAAGAAUUAACAAUGGCUUGAACAAAGUAAGUGCCCACAGUUUUAAUAUUUAUAUCUUAUAAGACUCUAGGUAUUAUGUCAAACAGGAUCUCAUUUUUUAGAUUUUCAAAAUAUAAAAUCUCCAGAACUCUAGCGAAACUUGGAACAAGUUAAAUAGUAGCUCAGACCUUCUCAUAUCAUGUUUGUCAAUUACCUAGACUUGGAUCAAACUUUCUUUUUAUUUUAUUUAAAACUUAGGAUUACACAAAACUAUUGUAUAUUACUCAAAAGAAAAACUUUGUUUGGUUUCAUGGUUAUGUAUUAUUUUUUUUAUUUUUUUCGAAUACUAGUAAAUAAAACCAAGAAAGAAAAGUAAUACUUAUCUAGAUACACGUGGGGGUGCCUCCCCCAAGCUGGAUGUUGACAUAGUCGUUCACUCUUGUGGCCUGCAUGUUCGGUCUCACUCUUCUUAAGCCUUAAAAUCCGGCACAACCCAAAUAGACAACAAAACUCGUGGAGCAUGUUAAGGGUUAGGUAAUUGUCUAGAGCUUAUGAGAGCUUAAUGUGAAAAUUCUAUGAACUCAAUCACAUCAAGUUCCUCUACCAGGUUAUUUUGUGGCACCAGAUAGAUUUUCAAGCGUUGACCAUUUACCUUAAAAGUGUUACCUAUGUCAUCUUGGAUAGUAAUGGCUCCAUGAGUUGAAAUGUCAAUAACCUUGUAUGGUCCAUCCCACUUACUUCAUCGCUUACCAUGCCCAAAGAGCUUAACUCUUGAAUUGAAUAGUAGAACCUUAUCUCCAGGCUUAAACUCCUUGUGCUUGAUUCUCUUAUCAUGCCAUCUCUCUUUAUAGAUCCUUGAAUUGUGGUAGGCUUUCUCUCUCCAUUCUUCUAGCUCAGAUAGUUGCAUCAGACGAUUCUCGCUAGCGAGGUGGAGAUCCAUGUUCCAUUUCUUGAGUGCCCAAUGGGCCUUAAACUCUACUUCCAUAGGCAAAUGACAAGUUUUUCCAUAUACAAGUUGAUAACGUGACAUGCCUAUGGGUGUUUUGAAUGCAGUUCUAUAUGCCCAAAGUGCAUCAGGAAGUUUGUCCUUCCACCCCUUACCCAUCUCAUCUACGGUCUUUUGUAAAAUAUUUUUGUUUAGUUUGUUAGAUGUUUCAGCUUGACCGCUAGUCUGAGGAUGGUAUGGUGUUGCGACGUUGUGUCGAACUCCAUGAUCGGCUAGGUACUUUCGGAAGAUUUUGUCGAUGAAGUGGGAACCUCCAUCGCUUAUAACUAUCCGGGGUAUACCAAAGCGAGGAAAGAUUACUUCAUGGAACAUUCUCUUAGCAUGUUUUGAAUCAGCUGAUCGACAAGGUAGGGCUUCUACCCAUUUGGACACGUAGUCCACAGCUACUAAGAUAUACUCGCAAUUCCCGAACAUAGGGAAUGGCCCCAUGAAAUCAAUGCCCCAUACAUCAAAAAGUUCUACUUGAAGAUUAUUUGUGAGAGGCAUUUCAUUUCGUGAGUUGAUAUUCCCAUGUUUUUGACAUCGGUGGCAUCUCCUGACAAAGUCCUUUGUAUCUUCAUACAUCGUUGGCCAGAAAAAGCCACUUUGCAAAAUUUUAGCAUGUGUUCGGAAUGCUCCAUAAUGUCCUCCAUAUGGCAAGGCAUGACAUCUUUCCACAAUUUGAGUAGCCUCAGCCAUAGGAACACACCUUCUCAAGAGUCCAUCAGUGCAGACUCGGAAAAGAUAUGGCUCAUCCCAAAGGUGGAAACGACUAUCAUGAAGCAACUUCCUUUUGUUUGUACCAGGUGGGACAUAGCCUUUUACUAUAAAGUUUAUGAUGUCUGCGUACCAUGGAUCUGCAUGUGUUAUCUCAAGCAGGGUGUCAUCCCUUAGGUAGUCAUUUAUGGGAAGCUCAUCAUGUGUUUCCUUAUAUUGAAGCCUAGACAAGUGGUCAGCUACGGAAUUCUCUACUCCCUUCCUAUCUUGGAUUUCUAUGUCAAAGUCUUGGAGUAGAAGAAUCCAUCAAAUUAGACGAGGCUUAGCAUCUUUCUUAGUGAGGAGGACUUGAGAGUAGCAUGGUCUGAAUAGAUGAUUAUCUUUGCCCCCACUAAGUAAGAUCUAAACUUGACUAUAGCAAAGACAACAACCAAAAGCUCUUUUUCAGUUGUAGUGUAAUUGAGCUGUGGUCCAGACAAGGUUUUGCUAGCGUAGGAUAUGGCAUAAUGCUUUUUAUCCUUGGUUUGUCCUAAAACGGCACCAACCGCAAAAUCGCUAGCAUCAGACAUGAUCUAAAAAGGAAGAUUCCAAUCAGGUGGUUGGAUAAUUGGGGCUGAGAUGAGUGCUUUCUUAAGAGUUUGAAAAGAUUCAUGACACUCAUCACUAAAGAUUAAAGGUGCAUCCUUAGCUAGGAGACUAGUUAGGGGUCUAGCAAUUUGAGAGAAGUUCUUGAUAAAGCAUCUAUAGAACCCUACAUGUCCCAAAAAGCUACGGAUUCCUUUCACAUUUGUGGGAGGUGGAAGUUUUUCAAUAACUUCAAUCUUUGCUUUGUCCACCUCUAUACCAUGUUCGGAUAAUUUAUGUCCUAGCACUAUUCCUUCCUGAACCAUAAAAUGGCAUUUCUCCCAGUUCAGGAUUAAGUGCUUUUCUUCACAUCGCUGCAAGACUCUAUCUAAAUUCUCCAAACAAUGAUCAAAGGUUUUGCCAUAGACGGUAAAAUCAUCCAUGAAAACCUCCAUGAUCUUCUCAAUCAUGUUCGAGAAAAUAGACAUUAUGCACCAUUGGAAACAAGCUGGAGCAUUGCACAGUCCGAACGACAUUCGUCGGUAUGCAUAAGUUCCAUACGGGCAUGUAAAGGUAGUCUUUUCUUGGUCAUCUGGGUGGAUUGGGAUUUGGUGAUAUCUAGAAUAACCAUCAAGGAAACAAAAGAAAGAGUGGUUUGCAAGCCGUUCCAACAUUUCAUCAAUGAAGGGUAACGGAAAGUGAUCUUUCUUUGUAGCCUUGUUGAGUUUUCGAUAGUCAAUACACAUAUGCCACCCAGUGACAAUUCGUUGAGGGAUGAGUUCAUUCUUCUCAUUCCUAACGACCGUCAUUCCUCCUUUCUUUGGCACUACUUGGACAGGGCUAACCCACUCACUAUGUGGCAUAGGAUAAAUAAUCCCAGCAUUAUAGAGUUUCAGGACCUCUUUCUUAACAACCUCUCGCAUAGCAUUGUUAAGUCUCCGUUGUGGUUCCCUUGAAGGUGUAAAAUUAGGAUCAAUAGGGAUACGAUGAGUGUAGUGAAUGGGAUUAAUGCCCGUGACAUCUUCGAGAGAGUAGCCAAAUGCUGAUCUAUGCCUUUCAAGAACAGUGACAAGUUGUUGUGUUUCAUAAUCGGAAAGCUUGUCACUGAUAAUUACUGGAGUUUUUGGGUUGUUGUGCAAAAAGACAUAUCUAAGGCCAAAAGGAAGAGGUUUUAAUUCUAUCAAAGGAGGUGAAGGUUGUUCAUUUUUGUCUAGCUCAACGGGUUCUACCAACUCUUCUUCUUCUUGAACAAGGCGUUCAUGAUUAAAGAAUGGUUGGGCCAUCUCCUCUUGAGUCAGCAUUAAGAUCUCCUCAAUAGGAUCUGGUUCAAGUUUGGGUUCCACUAUCGUGUUAAUUGAUCUAGCAAGAGGAACAACAAUAGUGGAAUUCCCAACCUUGAAGUCUAAAAGACCUCGUUGUGGUUGUUCUUGUAGAAGUUUCAUGAUUGGUCUGCCAAUCAAGAGAGGAAUCUCUAGUAUGUCAAAAAUGUGAAAAUCUAGACAUAUUCUAGAGUCCUUGAUUCUAACAGGAACUGCCCUUAAUACCCCAUGGCUUUCUAGAAUUAAUCCAGAUGGACUUUGUAAAAGUUUUUGAGAUGGGGUUAUGGACUCGUUGGGAUAAAGAGUGUCAGCUAACUCCUUGGAAAUAACAUUUAUCCCAACAUAUGGAUUGUAGUGGACCUUCCUAGCGGACCCUCUAAUUGGGCACAGAAGAAUGGUUGAAGGAGUGAUGAUUCGAGCUACCUCAGGAGACAGCUCAGCUUCUGUUAGCCAUUCAUAACUCAGAAUAGCCGAAAGGCUUUUGAUGUGUUCUAUGUCAACAGAUGCUACCCUUAGAACGGAUUGAGUGGUCCCUGCUAGAGGUCGUGUUUGGAUAGGAAAAUUCGAGGUGUUUCCAUAAUCUUCAAAAAGAUCUUCCUCGAAUUCAAAGGGAUGCUCUAAAGGUGGUGGUUCAUCAUCCCUUAGUUGGUUUUGCAUUCCCUUAUCAGGAGGUUUCUCUACAACCAAAUUAAUAGAUGGGUCAGGUGGAAUUUCUAACUCGGUUGCAAGUUUCUCAUCUUUUGGUUUAGGAUCAGGCUCGACUUCUUUUUCUUCUUCAGGAAACUCAUCAUAAAUGCCUGUGUAAGGGGUAUUUUCAAGAAUUCUCUCUAGGAUAGCUCUCCCCUCAUCUGUGAGUUUGUGUGUGAAUGAGCCUCCUGAAGCAAUGUCGAGGUGAAGAGCAGCUUCCUUGUUUAGACCACGAUAAAAGUGCUAGUACAGUACAUGGUCAGGCAGGUAAAGGUUUGGACCGGAAUUGGUAAGGCUUGUGAACCUAGCCCAAGCUACUCCUAAAGUUUCCUUCUCUCUUUGUUUGAAUGUAAGAAUUUCGAUUCUAAGGUUAGCGAUUCGAAAAAGUGGGAAGAAAGCGAGACAAAAGUUGUCUCGAAGUUCAAACCAAUUUCCAUUAACGCCUCCUACAGAAUGAGCAUACCACUUUUUUGCUCUUCCCAAAAGGGAGAACGAAAAUAAUUUCCAUUUAAGGGUUUCUUGUGUCAUGCCGAAAAUAGAUCGGCAAGAGCACAACUGCUCGAAUUCUCUAAGGUGGGUGUAUGGAUAUUCAUCUACUUACCUAGAGAAGGGUUGCUCCUGAAUCAUGGCUAUUAAAUCAAGGCCGAGGUCGUAGCCAUCUGUAAGAAUUGGAUGUGAUGAUGGUGGUGGCUCUAAUAACUCGCCCUUUGGAGCAAAGAAUUUAUAGAUAGGAGUGAAAUCCAUGUGGUAUGGUGAAAAUGGUAAGGUGAGUGUAGUAAAAAAGGAAAACAAAAAGGAUACACAGACGACUUGGUUCGAAACUAGUGUUGACGGUCCUUAAAUAUCAAAUUUAAUCAUCAAAUAAACAAAGAAAAGGAUCCAAAUGCAACCGACAUCCAGACUUAGGGUUUUAUCUGACAGAAUUCCACGAGUUUUGGUGUUUGUCUAUUUCUGCAGGGGGUUAUCGGGAAAUACGGAAGAAAGGCCCACAUGUCGGGUUUACAUAGAGAUAUUAACGUGCCGCGCAAUUAUCUUACAUCUAGAAGAGUCCAGAAGCCACGGGAACGAACAGGAGACCGGACGGGCUCGGGGUAGGGCGCCCGCCCUCCCCACUAGGGCGCCCGCCCUGGCCUGUCCACCAAUCACGGCCAAUCUCGCGGAUCAUGCUCCACCGACCUAAAGGAUCAAGGAUAACCGUUCAAUCAAUGUCGGUUUGAUCCGACGGCCCACAUUCACUUGGAAGGACUAUAUAACCAGACCCCAUGGCCCCAGGAGGAGAGCACCUCUCAACCCUAAUUCAUUAUUCAUCAGGGAGAACAAGCCUCUCAUCAAGCCCUAGAGCCACCACAUCAAUUAGAUCUCUAGAUUAGCAUAGCUACAUAGGAUUAGAACUAGAAGGAGUCAAUCUUCGAUUGGUUUCCGGAUCUAUCAAGAGGAUUCUUGGUAAUUCUAUAUUGUUCUUCAAUUGUUCAUCUUUGUUCUUCGAUAUUAUGAAUAUGACUUUGUUCUACUUCAAUAUAUCGAUUAUGACUUUGCUCUACUUAUUUAUAUUCGCAAUUAUAUUGUUCUUAGUUUAUCAUAGUUAUAUACUUGGCUUAGUUAGAUUGGAACUUUAUACAUGUUUAGGAUCGUAUAGCAUUUAUCCAUCGGAUCCAUGGGUAAAUGAUAGAUAUUGUGUAGGCAUGGUGCUUAUACUGUAUUUAUCAGCGAUUGUACCCUAUAUGCCAGAUCACGGGGUCGUUCGUGGUAGUGACAGCUCCAUUGAUUCUUAUAUAGUCCCCCUCUCGUGUAUAGGGUUGGCAGAGCAACAUUAUUACAGGGGAGUGAUUACGAUGUUUCUCAUAUUCCUUGAUAAUAUCACUAUGCAUGGGUGUAGUCCUGUCUCACAAUGAUUGCUAAGUAUAAUUGCACUAACUAUGAUAUGCUAGACUGUAUAGUUAAGAAUAAUUUAGGAAAUAUUCUUGUAGUUCGUCCUAAUUCCAUGCUAAUGACUUGCUAGAAUAUCUAAUUGAGGUGCUUAUCAUAUUUAUAUGUGGCUAAGUUAUGCUGAUCAAAUUAAUUAUCUUUGUCACCAUUCAUUACUUUAUAUAUCAUUUAUGUGACACUUAUUCCUGUAUGAAAGAGAUAGAUAGAUGCUCUCAAUUAUACAUGCAAUGAUAGAUACUCAAUUAUAUAUUCCAUUCUAUAAUCAAUAUUGAUGAUUACUAAUCCCUUCCUAGUGGUAAAAAUAUAAAUAACGAUAUGUGGAAUACUUCCCGGUUAAAAUACUACAUCGGUAUUAAUCUGUGCGCUUGCAGAUCUCAUUUAUUAUUUAUUUAGAAGAGCAAUUGCAUAUUUCAAUACCGCAUCUCUCAUGUCAUGCUGGGGAUGACAACUUGGCUUAAGUGGUAUGAGGGAUAGGUUUGGCAUUUUUGGCGUCAUUAUCAGAAUUAGCAAACUAAGUCUACUUUUGGUAGUGACGUUAAGAAUGCCCGACAAGCAUUUUUGGCGCCGUUGCCGGGGAAGGUUGAUUACUAAUCAGGAAUGAAUAUGGAAUUUUGAGUCAUCAUUUGCAUCACUAAUAUGAUUGAGAUUAUCAAUUCUCUCAUACAGUUUCACCCUGAUAUUUUUUCUAUUUUAUCUUAUGCAGGGUAAUGUAUGAAUAGAAGACAUCUUCUAGGAAAUUUUGUUGACAAUCCCGAAGCGUUAUUCAGAAAAACAAGAGCCAAGCUCAAGAAGAGAUCAUCAACACUUUAGCACGAAGCUUCAUCCAAUCAAGAAGAUCACCAAAGUUUCACCCGGAACUUGUCUUCAGAAUUCGAAGUCAUGGCGAACAAAUCGAUCCGUGAGUUCUCAGCUCCCACUUCGGACAACAUCCGCACUCGACCUGCUGUAGAGAUCGACGGCAACUUUGAGCUCAAGCCUGGACUUAUCAACAUGGUGCAAUCCAACCAGUUCUGUGGGAAGGCACACGAAGAUGCUAGUGCUCAUCUCCAACACUUCCUGGAGAUUUGCAACACAUUCACCAUAUCAGGAGUCCCCAAAGAUGCUAUACUACUUUGCCUCUUCCCAUUCUCACUGUUAGGGAGAGCGAAGCAGUGGUUCUACGCUACAAAGGAGAAGAAUACUACGUGGGCACUCUGCUCCAUGAACUUUCUGGCUAAGUUCUUUCUAAUGGGCAAGACCAAUGCUCUCCGUGGAAAAAUUACAAGUUUUCAGCAACAACAUGAUGAAUUUGUUCCAGAAGCAUGGGAGCGCUUCCAAGACUACAUCCUAGAGUGUCCCCAUCAUGAAAUAGAGAGCUGGCUACUAAUACAGACGUUUUAUCAUGGACUCGGCAACAGUGCCCGAGAAACCAUGGAUGCUGCAGCUGGAGGAGCAUUCCUAUCACUCACCAUACCACAAGCCACAGCUCUUGUGGAGAAGAUGACGUCCAACCAAGGCUGGAAUGAAGAGAGGACCCAGACACGCAAGAAAGGUGGAGGUAUGCAUCAGCCCAAGGAGGUAGACAUGCCGUCUGUAAAGCUAGACCUGCUCAUGAAGAAGCUCGAUGAUAGAGCCGGAGAUAAGAAAGAAGUUAUGCACAUCUACGACUCUCACAUGACUUGUGAGGAGUGUGGAGAUACUGGACACUCAGGCAAUCACUGCCCUGAGAUGCUUGAGGAUGUAAACUACAUCAACAACAACAACAACAACUACUACUACCGUCUUCAACAAAAUCAAGGUUGGAAUCAACAAAGGCCUAACUACUCAGAUAAUUAUCAAGGUAACAAUUCUUACAACAAUAAUAAUAAUUUUCCACCUCUGAGAGAGUUAGAGUCUAAUCAAGGAAAGCUAAUGGAUAACCUAUCUAAGAAAUUGGCAUCUAAUAAUAAAAUGCUAGAAAAUAUAAAUAAUAGAAUGGAUAAUUUCUCUACUGCCAUCAAGAAUCAAAUUAGCUUCAAUAAAAUGAUUGAAUCUCAGUUAAAUCAAAUAGCUACUGCUGUUCCUGCUACUAACCCCGGUAUCCCAUCACAACCGAAAGGAUUAGAAUCUGCAAAUCUUGUAGACAUGUUUGAUGCAGGUAACUACUCGAGUAACCCCGUCACUGAAGUUAUUACUGACCUUCUGCCGGUCAAGAGAGGCGAUCCAGGACGCCCCGUCAUCCCGAUCUCCAUCGGCAUGGUGGACUUCCCAGAAGCACUCUGCGACUUUGGCUCCAGCGUCAACAUUAUACCCAGGGUACUCUAUGAAAAAUUCUUUACAUAUCCUUUAUUAGAAACAACCAUGUGUUUGCAGUUUGCAGAUCAGGCGUUAAGUUUCCCAAAGGGAAUAUUGAAGAACCUCUGCGUCCGAGUUGGUACCUUGUAUGCCCCAUCAGACUUCGUGGUGAUAGAGACCGGUAAUGAUGAGAGGGCACCCAUCAUCUUAGGGAGGCCAUUCUUAAACACCUCGGGAGCUGUCAUCUACCCUAGUGCUACCAAGAUCAGUUUCUAUAUCAAAGGGAAAAAGGAGACGUAAUGCGACACGUUGUCCCGAUCUUCACGACGUAGGAAGAACACCGAUAAUUGGCUGAAGAACAGCCGGAUAACUUGCUGCGGGCAGCGAUAACUAGUGCAACCUGGCAAAUAAAACUCGAAGCCAACCACCGUCUUUAACCGGCAACCUGAAUCGAGGAUUCGCCCAACCACAAUCUCAAGGAACCAACCAACACAACCUACAAUCAAUCAAGGAAUACCUUGAAGGGAGUAGGAGCACCAAUUGGGAGCAGAUGAAGCCGCCGCCUAUGUAAUCCCGCGAGGAAAUCACAAGAGCAAAGGGGUAGAGAUCACUCUCUGAAUUUGUUAGCACGCAGCUGAACAAAGGGGUUCUGUAUUUCAAUUAUCAAAGUCUUAGAUUACAAUGAGUCUUAGUGGGUAUUUAUACUAGCAACAGCCCUCCUAGAUAGGUAUGAAAACAAAAUAGAGUUUCUGAGGGAAGGCAAUGUGAAAGUCCCCUCGAAAUGGAUUCCCAAAGUGGCUUCGCGUGACUGUUGGCAUCCAGAGUGGUUUCCAAUAAACUGACCAUAACUUUUUAUUGGGAAGUCCAAAUGAUGAACCGUUUCUUGGGUGUGAAACUAGACUCAAAGGGCUUUCCAACAAUGUAAGCCAACCAGCACGAAACAUUGUAGAUUGGUAUAGUUUUACUUAGCAAGUUGUACCAACAUUCUGUCACGACAGACUGUUGACCUUCUGAGCAGUCUGUACUAAUUCUGGUCUGUAGGAAAUAUGGUGUAUCCAAACUAGUCGCCACUAGAUUCAUUUGAAAGUAGACUCGUCAACCUUUCCAACAAGUGCUCAUGGACCUUCUUAGCUUUUGUGAGUAAAACGUUAUGAAGAUUCCUUUGCACUAGUCCGUUUUUGACUUCCACUGGUCCGUUUUUUACUUCUUCUAGAACUUGCACUGGUCCGUUGUUCAGGGUCCGAUUCAUCCUUCUCUUCUUCUAUAUACCUGAGUACAAUCAAGGUACAACACUUAGGUAGUAUAUAAUUCUCAUUAAUGUAAAAAUGAAUUUCACAAAGUAGUGUGUGGACCUCUUGUUGUAGCUUCUUUGCAUGACUACGUGUAAUCGGUCCAUCGAUGACUUGGGCUGGUGUCGGUGUAGGUGAAACUUGAGUGGGUGUAGCUUGACUUGGAGCUUUUGACAUCUUGCUUGGUAGCGUGGUCAUAUCAUCCUCUCCCUGGAAAAUGAGUCGUCCUCGACUCUAAAGUGUCUUCACUUGUGAAUGGUGAGAGAUCAGCAACAUUGAAGGAGUUGCUCACGCCAUAACUUGAAGGAAGAUCAAUCUUGUAUGCAUUGUCAUUGAUCUUCUCAAGAACACGAAAUGGACCAUCUCCUCGUGGUAGCAAUUUUGAUUUGUGCUGCUGAGGAAAGCGAUCCUUGCGCAAGUGUAUCCACACCAAGUCCCCGGGUUCAAAUAACACCCUCUUCCUAUGUUUGUUCAUAUUUUCAGCCUUGCGUCAUGCCUUGAGUUCAAUUGCUUCCUUGGUGUUCUCUUGUAUCUUCUUGAUGUAUGCAGCACGCUUGGAGGCUUCCAUAUUGGUUCUUUCCUACAAUGGAAGGGGCAUCAAAUCUAUCGGAGCAAUAGGUUUGAACCCAUAUACAAUUUCAAAAGGACACAUAUUAGUGGUAGAGUGUACUGCCCUGUUAUAUGCAAACUCCACAUGUGGCAAGCAUUCCUCCCAAACCUUCAUGUUCUUUUUCACCAUUGUUCGCAGCAACAUUGACAAUGUGCAAUUCACCACUUUCUUAUAUUUCACAAUGUAUGGAAAUGUUUCGAUGAACUCAACCCAUUUGACAUGACGACAGUUCAGUUUUGCUUGUCCUUUCAAGUACUUCAAAGCUUCAUAGUCAGAGUGAAUAACAAAUUCUUUUGGCCAUAAGUAGUGCUACCAUGUUUCAAGCACACACACCAAAGCAUACAAUUCUUUGUCAUACACAAAAUAAUUCAAUUGAGCACCUCCUAGUUUUUCACUAAAAUAUGCUACAGGUUUUCCUUGUUGCAUUAAAACUCCUAUCCCAAUUCCACUAGCAUCACAUUCUACUUCAAAAGUUUUAGUGAAAUCAGGAAGAACAAGUACAGGUGCUUCAGUCAAACGUUUCUUUAAUUCUUGAAAUGCAUUUUAUUGUGAUUUUCCCCAUUUAAAGUCAACACCUUUCUUUGUCAAUUCAUUCAAAGGAGCAGCGAUGGUACUGAAAUCUCUCACAAACCUCCUAUAAAAACCAGCAAGGACAUGAAAACUUCUUACUUGACUUACAUUCGUUGGAGUUGGCCAAUCCUUGAUGGCUUUCAUCUUGCUUUCAUCCACUUCUAUGCCUUUUCCUGAAACAACAAAGCCAAGAAACACAACAUGGUCUGUGCAAAAACUGCACUUCUCAAGAUUAGCAAAUAAUUUCUCCUUUCUAAGCUCUUCCAAUAGUUGCCAAAUAUGAUUCACAUGUUCCUCAAAAGACUUGCUGUAAAUUAAGAUAUCAUCAAAGUAAACAACAACAAAUUUUCCAAUGAAAGCUCUCAAGACAUGGUUCAUUAAUCUCAUGAAAGUACUAGGAGUAUUAGUCAAACCAAAAGGCAUAACUAACCAUUCAUACAGCCCAAAUUUUGUUUCAAAUGCAGUUUUCCAUUCGUCCCCUGUUUUUAUUCUUAUCUGAUGGUAUCCACUUCUCAAAUCAAUUUUAGUGAAUAUGGUGGAACCACUUAAUUCAUCAAGCAUGUCAUCUAAACGUGGGAUAGGAUGGCGAUAGGGAACAGUGAUGUUAUUUAUAGCUCUACAAUCAACUCACAUUCUCCAGGAACCAUCUUUCUUAGGUACUAAAAUUACAGGAACAACACAAGGACUUAAACUUUCACGAACAAAACCUUUAUCAAGAAGUUCUUGCACUUGCCUUUGUAUCUCCUUUGUUUCUUCUAGAUUGGUUCGAUAUGGUGGUCGAUUAGGUAGUGCAACCCCUGGAAUGAGAUCAAUUUGAUGCUCAAUCCCACGAAUUGGAGGUAGUCCUACCGGUGUUUCUUCUGGAAAGACAUCUCCAUAGUCCUGCAAAAGAUGAGACACAACACUAGGAAGAGAGGUCAUGUCGUUAGCUGAAAUUAAAAUGUCUUUGUACACAAGUAAAAAGAGCACUUGUUCGGGGUUGUUCCUCACUUCUCUCAUUUCAAAUUUUGUGGCUAGUAUGACUAAUUUCUCUCCCUCUCCUUUCUUUUUCUCCCUCAAAUUUAGCUUGUGGCACUCACUCACCGAAUUGUGGAUGGCACUCAAUUUCUUUUGCUCUCCUUCCUCUCUACUCACUGGAACAAUUUCAGAUUUCUUUUGUAAAUGUUCAGCCAUGAUUUGUUGAGGUGUCAUAGGCUUGAGAACAAACUUCUUCCCCGUUAGAUUGAUAGUAAACUGAUUUGUUCUCCCACAAUGUUGGCUAUAUCGAUCAUAUUGUCAUGGUCUUCCAAGCAGCAAGUGACACACCGACAUAGGUGCCACAUCACUCUCCACUGUGUCAACAUAUUCACCAAUCUUGAAUGGAACUUUCACUUUAUAUCCAAUCUUGAUAUCUUCCGAAUCAUUCAACCACUGUACAUUAUAUGGAUGAGGGUGUCGUAGCAGCUUCAAGCCAAGUUUAUCACCCAUCUCACGACUAGCAAGAUUAUGGCAGCUCCCUCCAUUAAUAAUCACACCUCUUUAUCAUGCACCUUUGCUCUAGUUUGAAAUAAUUUGUGUUGCUGCCCAUUUUCAGCUUCAUUUGCCUGAACACUCAAGAUUUGAGUCAUCUCAAGAGCAUCUCCUUGCUCAAACUCACAACAAGUAAGGUCCUCGUCUCCAUGGGCUUCCUCCUCAAUUCCCUCUUCACUAGUUGAUUCAUACUUUCCAUCAUCAUUCACAAUGAUCACCUGAGUAUUGGUGCACUCCUUACUUAUAUGUCCAUGGCCUCCACACUUGAAGCUCUGAAUUUCACUACUCCUGGAAGUAGAACCCACUGAAGUAGUGGUUGAUGCUGCUGGUUUUGAACUUGGGACAACAGUGUUCUUUCCACUAAAAGUACCCUGAAAAUUAGAUCGUGAGCCUCUACUUGAGUAUUUCACCGUAGAUGGUUCAGCAGCAAACUUUGUGUUUGAUUUGCUUCCUCCACAGAAAUUCCUCGUGGAUGGUUCAGCAACAAAUUUUAGCAUGGUAAAUUUCAGUUUGCCAAAUCUUUCUUCAUGGUUGCCUCUUCUAUGACAUCGACGACCAAAACUGAGUUGGAAGUGGUUGUCAUUAGCCUCAUCUUCAGAUUCAUCAUCAUUUCUUCCACUAUGUCUUCUUUCUUUAUCAUGUGCAGCCCUCUGGUUCCUCCGACCUCCUCUUCUUCCAUCACUAUCUUCUCUAUCUCCACUAUGGUUGCUUGCACCAUCAUGAGGUGGACGAUGCCUUCUGAUUUCAGUCAUAUGAAUUCCUCUGCUGCAGAUUACAAGGAAAACAAAUGUGUGGUGGCAACUGAAAGUGAUGGCGAGGCGAAUACAAGAACAGAGAGUACCGAUUACGAUAGUUUUUAUGUGGAGCUUGGUGGGGAGUAAUACACAAGGAAUGCAAUCUGAAUUCUAGUUGUUGUAAAGUUAUGUAACGAUCCAAACUAGAAGUUCUCUGCCUAGUGCUGAUCAAAAGAUUCGAACUGUAUAAAUAGAUCACACACACGCAAAGAAAUUUCAGAAUUGAUGCAAACAAGGAGUAUGAUUGGGAUGCAAGUGUUGCAAUCAGACCCAACCAAAGUUUUGCACCAAACAAAGAUAGCAAACUGGUUGCAGAACUUGAUAUGAAACUUUCAGCACUUCUGCACAUAAACCAACUAAUCUUUCAGACUCUCUCUGAACCUUUCUCAACUUUUUUUUUCACUUCACUUUUUUUGCACUUUCUUUUCUAUUUUUUUGACACACUUUUUUAUAUAUAGAACUAAAAAUAGGGAUCAGAUUAUGAUACUUGCACAACUAAAGAUAGAAAUAAAACAACAACCAGUAGCUAGAUAGGAUCAAAGUUAACACAAAGGAUGAUAUAGGCUAUAGAGAUUUUUUGUGGGGAUUUUAGAUAUAAAAGAGGCACAAAGAACACGCGAAGGAUAAAUGAUCAGCAACUAAAACAAAGACUCUAAUGGACUGCAACUUAACAAAACUCACUAAAAUAAUAGAUUGAAACAAAGGUCUAAGCAAUAUAUUUUUCUGGCUUUUUGGUGGAUAGGAUGAAGCAAAAAUAUAUAUGUAGCUAGGGAUAAAAUUCCUACCGUGGUAACAAAAGCUUUGAUACCAGAUGAUGCGACACGUUGUCCCGAUCUUCACGACGUAGGAAGAACACCGAUAACUAGCUGAAGAAUAGCCGGAUAACUUGCUGCAGGCAGCGAUAACUAGCAAAUAAAACUCGAAGCCAACCACCGUCUUUAACUGGCAACCUGAAUCGAGGAUUCUCCCAACCACACUCUCAAGGAACCAACCAACACAACCUACAAUCAAUCAAGGAAUACCUUGAAGGGAGUAGGAGAACCAAUUGGGAGCGGAUGAAGCUGCCGCCUAUGUAAUCCCGCGAGGAAAUCACAAGAGCAAAUGGGUAGAGAUCACUCUCUGAAUUUGUUAGCACGUAGCUGAACAAAGGGGUUCUGUAUUUCAAUUAUCAAAGUCUUAGAUUACAAUGAGUCUUAGUGGGUAUUUAUACUAGCAACAGCCCUGCUAGAUAGGUAUGAAAACGAAAUAGAGUUUCUGAGGGAAGGCAAUGUGAAAGUCCCCUCGAAAUGGAUUCCCGAAGUGGCUUCGCAUGACUGUUGGUCUCCAGAGCAGUUUCCAAUAAACUGACCAUAACUUUUUAUUGGGAAGUCCAAAUGAUGAACCAUUUCUUGGGUGUGAAACUAGACUCAAAGGGCUUUCCAGCAAUGUAUGCCAACUAGCACGAAACAUUGUAGAUUGGUACAGUUUUACUUGGCAAGUUGUACCAAUAUUCUGUCAUGACAGACUAUUGACCUUCUGAGCAGUCUGUACUAAUUCUGGUCUGUAGGCAAUAUGGUGUAUCCAAACUGGUCUCCACUAGAUUCAUUAGAAAGUAGACUCGUCAAGCUUUCCAACAAGUGCUCAUGGACCUUCAUAGCUUUUGUGAGUAAAAAGUUAUGAAGAUUCCUUUGCACUAGUCCGUUUUUUACUUCCACUGGUCCGUUUUUGACUUCUUCUGGAACUUGCAUUGGUCCGUUCUUGAGGGUCCGAUUCAUCCUUCUCUUCUUCUAUAUACCUGAGUACAAUCAAGGUACAACACUUAGGUAGUAUAUAAUUCUCAUUAAUGUUAAAAUGAAUUUCACAAAGUAGUGCGUGGACCUCUUGUUGUAGCUUCUUUGCACGACUACGUGUAAUCGGUCCAUCAAUGACUUGGGCUGGUGUCGAUGUAGGUGAAACUUGAGUGAGUGUAGCUUGACUUGGAGCUUAUGACAUCUUGCUUGGUGGCGUGGUCAUAUGAAGACGUUUUCCUUUAAGAACAAGACUACACCAAUCCCAGAGCAAUCCCGACAUGAACCAAGGAAGAGGACCAACAGGAGGAACAGGAACAAGCAAGUGUGGACCGAGUCAGCUAAGAUGGUCACUGCAGUUCAAGGAGGUCAAGAUCAUCGACUUAAGUCACCAUUUAAGGACGACCCAGGAAUGUCAAGCAUCUAUUGCUCCAUAAAUGGAUACAACUUCUACAUGACAUUUUGCGACACCGGAUCGGGCGUCAACAUAAUGGCCGCAGUCACCUAUCGGCUCCUGUUCGGAACCAUGCCCUUAAAACCAACAUACAUUCAGCUCCAGAUGGCAGAUCAGACAUUUCGAGAGGUUAAAGGUAUAGUAACUGAUGUCCCUGUCAAAAUAGACGAUCAUUUUGUCUACACAGACUUUCAGGUUAUUGACAUGGGAGAAGACGAAUACGAUCCACCCAUCAUCCUUGGAAGACCAUUCCUCAGCACCGUUAAAACAAUCAUCUACAUUAGAACUGGAGAAGUCCAUAUGCACUUCCCCUCAGAGAAGGUACGCCGCUAUUUUACUGACCCUAACUAUAUCGUUGAAGACUCUAAGCAGGUCAGGACAAGAAGAAGACGACGCAACUGUAACCAGAAGAGGCAAAUCAUCAAGGAAGGAUGAGCAGACUACGAAGGAGAAGUAGUAAGGUCUGAAGACAUACAACUUGAACAAGAUUAUCCUGAGGAGACCGUAGCACCGAGUCAGGUGUGGAAAGAGAAGAUAACUAUACACGAAGAGAAGGCGCCACUGGAAGCACCGACUGCGCCACCCAACGAACCCCAGGACAACUAAGAAAACGAAGAGUCCCGUUCGGAGGACUUAAAAACACCGAACGCCUUGCCAAGAGGUAAACUUGGUACUUAUCCUUUCCCUUUCAAAUAUUUAAAAUACUUUACUUAGUUAAUUAUGUUCAUACUAUCCUAAAAAGAAAAUAAAAAUGUUAAAAAAUAGUAAGCCCCAUGUGAGUAUGCGAGUGGCAUAAAACCCAUAAGUACAUUCACUGUGCUGGCAUAAAAAUAAAAUAAAUAUUUCUUUUCUGCUUUAUAAAACAAAAAUAUAAAAAUAGAGAGUAACAUUUAUUGAGGAGGCUCAACAUGAUAAAGGCUAGAUAUUUAUGCUAACACCUAAUCAGUUCCACAAAGCUUUGUUGUCUAUUUGAGCUCCACAAAAUUUAAGAAUCAAGAAGACUAGCAGACGGAGGACAUUCUAAUCGCUGUCAGGAUACUGCCGACUUUCAAAUACACCUCUGCCACCUGCUAGCUAUAUCAGAAGAAAUUACGUCAAAAUUCAGCUUGAGGGAGAGCACCCCCAUUUAUCCCGCUAAGUAUUUCUAUCCAUCUUUAUACUUAUACUAUAUUAAAAUAUAAAUAUACAUAACUACGAAAAACCAAAUAAAGAUUUUAUACUUAUAUAUAUAUAUCUUUUGCUUAGUAUGCUUAAUAAAUAAAUAAAGUGGCUAUGCUAAACCGAAUCUUAAUAAUAAAACUCUAGCAUAGAUAUGAUGAAUAGUUGUUCUGCCUAAUUUUCAAAUUUGAAGUUCUCUCUCAAGUUUAGACAUAACUAUUAUAAUUUAAAUCUUGCUCUAAAUCUGAACCUGUGGGAAGAAAACUUGAUCUAAAGUCUAAGUUGUUAACACAUAUGAUAUGAGAAGGUUGAGCUGCUGUUUAUCUGUUCCUAGAGAUGCUAGAAUUCUGGAGAAUUUUAUCUUUGAAAAUCUUUAAAAUAACACAUGAUGAGUUCCUGUAUGAUGAGAGUUUAAAUUCCUACCACAGCAAUAUAUACAUACUUGCUAGACUUUGAGCCACACAUUUACUUUUUACUGCUUAUAAGCAUUGAGUGUGGUCAAGCUGUGUAGACCCUUAGGAGCUUGUCAUGUGGUUAAAUCAAGAUUCACUUGCAUGUUCACUCACACAUGCUGCUUCUACUCCGGAAGUACGCAUCCACAUAUAUCCACCCAUUUCCAUCUCCAAAACUACCCAAAAAUAUUCUACUCCUAAUUCGGGAGAGAAUAGCCAAAAACAUUUCUGUAUUUCCCUAUGAAAUAAAUGCUCAAGUUAUCUUGGUUACUACCACUUGCUAUAUUAUUUCAGGAGAUGAGUGCUCUAAAAAAAGAGAGAAAAGAGAAAAAAAGAUACGAGGAAAUAAAAAGGGGCAAGUGCCUGGAACCUCGAAAGAAGAGAAAAAGUGAGACGAGAGGUAAAAAUGGACAAGUGUCCGACAGUAGAAUUAGGGAUACAGGAUACCCACCUGAGAGGAAAGAAAAAGAAAGUACAGAGCAUCUCAUUCUCCCCAAGUUUCAAAAGAGCAAGGAAGGUAUGUAUCCCCUCAGAAGAGCAAAAGUAGAAUUAGACUUUCACCAUUGUUAUCACCAUCAUCACCAUACACCAUUCAUUCGCCACACAUGCACAUCUUGAUUUGACUUAUUGGCUUGUUUCUUUAGAUCCAUGGUUUGACUAUGCAAUAAAUGUCUUGUAAGUAUGUAUACUUUAUCUCCCACCUAUGAGCUCCAGAUAUCAAAAGCCUUAUUAGAGUAGGGUGAGAGAGAAGGCAAUGUUACUACGCCUUAUACCACAAAUACUACAUAUUUUGAGAGAAGGCAUAUAUUAUCACUGCCUUGGUAAGGAUCCAGAAAUACCACAAAAGAGAGAUAUGAGAGAGUCAUACAAGGAAUCUGUGAGUUUUAUUUGAAAAUCUGCAAAAACUCCAGAACUAUAGCUGAUCAAGAAUAAGAGACAUGGCACUUAACUAGACCGUUCUAUCUUUUUACUACUCAAGACAGAAGUGACGGUUACAAGUCCCAUGGUAAAAGGUAAAAUGAAUAAGUUUUAUGUCUUGAUAGUUUACUCAAACUCAGAGAUGAGACCUCAUUUAGAAGCAUGUGUACCGUCAAUUUUCAAAGGUAUUUCAGCAACUUCUGAUCCAUCGCUGAGAUUAUCCUUGCUCAGGGACGAGCAAGAGGAAAGUUUGGGGGAGUUUGUUGACGGUCCUUAAGUAUCAAAUUUAAUCAUCAAAUAAACAAAGAAAAGGAUCCAAAUGCAACCGACAUCCAGACUUAGGGUUUUAUCUGACAGAAUUCCACGAGUUUUGGUGUUUGUCUAUUUCUGCAGGGGGUUAUCGGGAAAUACGGAAGAAAGGCCCACACGUCGGGUUUACAUAGAGAUAUUAACGUGCCACGCAAUUAUCUUACAUCUAGAAGAGUCCAUAAGCCACAGGAACGAACGGGAGACCGGACGGCCUCGGGGGCAGGGCGCCCACCCUCCCCACUAGGGCGCCCGCCCUGACCUGUCCACCAAUCACGGCCAAUCUCACGGAUCAUGCUCCACCGACCUAAAGGAUCAAGGAUAACCGUUCAAUCAAUGUCGGUUUGAUCAGACGACCCACAUUCACUUGGAAGGACUAUAUAGCCAGACCCCCUGGCCCCUGGAGGAGAGCACCUCUCAACCCUAAUUCAUUAUUUAUCAGGGAGAAGAAGCCUCAGGCCCUAGAGCCACCACAUCAAUUAGAUCUCUAGAUUAGCAUAGCUACAUAGGAUUAGAACUAGAAGGAGUCAAUCUUUGAUUGGUUUCCGGAUCUGUCAAGAGGAUUCUUGGUAAUUCUAUAUUGUUCUUCAAUUGUUCAUCUUUGUUCUUCGAUAUUAUGAAUAUGACUUUGUUCUACUUCAAUAUAUCGAUUAUGACUUUGCUCUACUUGUUUAUAUUCGCAAUUAUAUUGUUCUUAAUUUAUCAUAGUUAUAUACUUGGCUUAGUUAGAUUGGAAUUAUAUACAUGUUUAGGAUCGUAUAGCAUUUAUCCAUCGGAUCCAUGGGUAAAUGAUAGAUAUUGUGUAGGUGUGGUGGCGAUUGUACCCUAUAUGCGAGAUCGCAGGGUAGUUCGUGGUAGUGACAGCUCCAUUGAUUCUUAUAUAGUCCCCCUCUCGUGUAUAGGGCUGGCAGAGCAACAUUAUUACAGGGGAGUGAUUACGAUGUUUCUCAUAUUCCUUGAUAAUAUCACUAUGCAUGGGUGUAGUCCUGUCUCACAAUGAUUGCUAAGUAUAAUUGCACUAACUAUGAUAUGCUAGACUAUAUAGUUAAGAAUAACUUAGGAAAUAUUCUUGUAGUUCAUACUAAUUCCAUGCUAAUGACUUGCUAGAAUAUCUAAUUGAGGUGCUUAUCAUAUUUAUAUGUGGCUAAGUUAUACUGAUCAGAUUAAUUAUCUUUGUCACCAUUCAUUACUUUAUAUAUCCUUUAUGUGACACUUAUUCCUGUAUGAAAGAGAUAGAUAGAUGGUCUCAAUUAUACAUGCAAUGAUAGAUAUUUAAUUCUAUAUUCCAUUCUAUAAUCAACAUUGAUGAUUACUAAUCCCUUCCUAGUGGUAAAAAUAUAAAUUACGAUACUUGGAAUACUUCUUGGUUAAAAUGCUACAUCGGUAUUAAUCUAUGCGCUUGCAGAUCCCAUUUGUUAUUUAUUUAGAAGAAUAAUUGCAUAUUUCAAUACCGCGUCUCUCAUGUCAUGCUGGGGAUGAUAACUUGGCUUAAGUGGUAUGAGGGAUAGGUUUGGCAUUUUUAGCGCCGUUAUCAGAAUUAGCAAACUAAGUCUACUUUAGGUAGUGACGUUAAGAAUGCCCAACAACUAGCACAGCUAUCGUUCCCCGGCAACGGCGCCAGAAAGCUUGUUGGGUAUUUUAAACGCAAACAGAAAAAUCCGCAAGCGCACGGAUACCGAUGUAGCUUUCACCCGGAAGUAUUCCAGAGUAUCGAUUUUCCACAGGGAACGUGAGUAUACUAAUUAAGAUUCAAGAUCGCCCAAGGAUAACUAUAUAAUUAUUUUUGGUGGGAAGAGAGGAAGUUUCCUCAGAGUUCUCUAGUUGAUCUAACAAUCAAGAAUUACUUCAAACAUUAUUUAUUUUGGGACAUCAAAACACUAACCACAGAAAGAGACGAGAAUGAGGCUAGAAAGCUCUGACUAACACCGAUCCGAACGAGGUAGAGUACGUCGACCGUUAGGGCUGUCACUACUCUAGGGCUACCACAACAAUCCACAAGAUUGGGUGCAAUUCUAGGUAAUUGCAAGACUAAACACCACGUCUAAUCUAUUAAUUACUACUCUAGCGUUAUAAAGACUAGAGCACUUGAUGCAAGCGGAAAUCUAGUACAUAACUUGAAUGUAAACAAAAGUAAUUAAAGAACCCAGGAAUUAUGAAUUGAAGAACUCGGAGAACGAUGAAGAACGAACCAGUUGCAGCAAAAGUAUAAUGUUGAGGAAGAUCCGACAGAUCCGGCUCCUCCUACGCUCUUCUCUUCUCUCUCCCUAUUUUCUAGAUUAUAACUAGAACUAACUAGAACUAGAACUAGAUGAACUAGAGGGAUCCUCUCUACUUGGAUGAAUAAUUGAAACCCUAGCUUUGAUUCUGUAGAAAAGAUAUGUUCUCCAGGGGCCAGGGGGCCUGCUUAUAUAGCCCUUCCAAAUGAACGUGGGCCGUCGGAUCAAACCGACCUUAAUCGCAUGGUUUUCCUUAAUCCUUUAGGUCGGUGGAGCAUGAUCCGCGAGGUGGAGCCUGAUUGGCUGAGACAGCAGGGCGGGCGCCCAAGGGGGGAGGGCGGGCGCCCUGCCCCGUGCCCGCUCGGCCUCCUGUUCGUUCCCGUGGCUUCUGGAGUCUUCUAGAUGAUAGAAAAUUGGCGCACACGUUAAUAUCUCUAUGUAAACCCGACGUGUGGGCCUUUCCUCCGUAUUUCUUGAUAACUCCAUGCAGAAAUAGACAAACACCAAAACUAGUGGAAUUCUGUCAGAUAAAACCCUAAGUCUGGGUGUUGGUUGCAUUUGGAUCCUUUUCCAUGAUUAGUUGACGGUUAAAUGUGAGCAUUAAGGACCGUCAACAAGCACACAGGCAAACAUGGUUCCAUGAGGAUUACAUAGUUUGGAGUAAUCGGCAAGCUACAUAGAUGAAAAGGAGUUACUCCAUUUCUGUUUGUUUAACAAUCUCUAACUUCAUGACACUAAUCGAUAUUUUUUUCUGAAUUCCAUUUAUCUAAAACAGCAUAUCCUAACUGAAAACUGAGCAAAUUUUAUCUUGCAUGUUUCCUAUUGUAAUCAACGGUACGGAAACGAAUUAAACAGCAUGUGCCUGCUUGUAAAUAAACUGGAAUAUGCUACUUGUGUAGAUGUAGUGCUUGAUUAAGGGUCUCAGCUAAUAUAUGUUGACCGCAUGUAUUGUCACAAAACUUGGCUUGCAUUAUCAUGCCAACAAUUUGAAGAAUCAAAUAGUGCCAACAAAAAGUAGCAUACCUGCUGUGACGUCUGGCCGUCAGUGUCCACAUCUUGGAGCAGGGGCAGCGUGGACCUCGGGGCCGGCAACCCGUGCGGCAACGUCGAUGACGCGGAGGCAAGGGUGUGCACUGUUGUGUGAGUGGCGGCGGCGAUGGCUAUGCCAGAUCUAGGGAGCUCAGUUGUGGAUGUGGGCACAUCGUCGGUCUUCGGCUUCUUGGCGAUGGGGAUCUCGGAGGUCGGAACAGGGUGCGACAGCCCCUUCCCUUUCCUCUUGGUGACGGGAGCCUCGGCAGCCAGAGCAAGGUCUGGCGGACCCUUCCCCUUCCUCUUCUUCUCAUUGGAGGAAGACGACGGCUUCUUCUUGGCUGGUGCGGCAGCGGGGGCAUCGGCGGGCUUCUCCGGCACCGGCAUCGGAGAGCGGAGAGCGGCGUCCUCGACCAUGGAAGCGGGAGGAGCAACCAUUACGGAGGGAGAGCGGAGAACGGCGACCUAGGACUGCGAUACGAUAGGGAGCAGGUUCUACUAUGGCCAGUAGCAGGCCUUAGCAGUUUUUUGCGGGCUCUGCAAUUGGUCUGCACGCGCUAGCAGGCUGGACUGCCCUGUCCAGUAAUAGAAAAUUAAGUGGCCUGCAGUUGUCCAGUGGGCUUGUUUUGCGGGGCGGGCUAAGUGGGCUUGAAAACAGACCCACGCCACUUGCAUCUUGACUUUCGGCACCGGCACCGGCGAGAGAAGACAAGGGGCGACCUAGGCGGGGCAACGCGCACCAAGGGGUAGACGGCCCUCGAAGCGCACCCAUCCUCCUUCCCCGAACAACCGGGCGACCUAGGCAGGGCGCGGCGCGAGAUCCUUCCCCGCCCCAGUCCGCCGACUACUCGCCCUAGGUAAGGCUCGCCCGCUCGUUGUUCCCUCCGUGCCUGAUUCAUUUUUCGGUGAAGCGACCUCGAUCUGAAAAAUGGGGCUGUUCCGGGCGGCGUCCGGCCUGGCCCGUGUGGCGCUGCGGCGGAACCUCUCGCGCGCCGCGGCGAGCCCCUUCGCCGGCGGCGGUGGCGCCGUCCCUCGCGCCGCGCCGGCGCGCUACUUCCACUCCACCCGCCCGCGCCGGUUCGCUGCGCCUGAGCCCCGUGCGGUGCCGCUCUCGCGCCUCACCGACAGCUUCCUCGAUGGGACCAGCAGCAUCUACCUCGAGGAGCUGCAGCGGGCCUGGGAGGCCGACCCCAACUCCGUCGACGAGUCCUGGGACAACUUCUUCCGCAACUUCGUUGGCCAGGCUGCGGCCACCUCACCGGGCCUCUCCGGCCAGACCAUCCAGGAGAGCAUGAGGCUGCUGCUGCUCGUCAGGGCGUAUCAGGUGAGCGGCCACCUGAAGGCCAAGCUUGACCCGCUCGGGCUGGAGGAGCGCCCGGUCCCGGACGUGCUGGACCCAGCGUUUUAUGGGUUCUCUGAGGCGGACUUGGACCGCGAGUUCUUCCUUGGGGUGUGGAGGAUGGCUGGGUUCCUUGAGGAGAACCGGCCAGUGCAGACGCUGCGUUCCGUGCUGGAGCGGCUCGAGCAGGCCUACUGCGGCACCAUUGGGUACGAGUACAUGCACAUACCUGACAGGGAGAAGUGCAACUGGCUCAGGGAUAGGAUCGAGACAGUUAACCCAAGGGAGUACUCUUAUGAUCGUCGUCAGGUCAUGCUGGAUAGGCUUAUCUGGAGCACACAGUUUGAGAAUUUCUUGGCGACCAAGUGGACGACUGCAAAACGGUUCGGUCUUGAAGGCGCUGAGACUCUGAUCCCUGGCAUGAAGGAGAUGUUUGACAGGGCAGCUGAUCUUGGUGUAGAGAGUAUUGUCAUUGGGAUGCCACAUAGAGGCAGGUUAAAUGUCUUGGGAAACGUUGUGAGGAAGCCCUUGCGACAGAUAUUCAGCGAGUUUAGUGGUGGUACCAAGCCUGUCAAUGAAGGGGAGGGGUUGUAUACAGGGACUGGUGAUGUCAAGUACCAUCUUGGAACUUCAUAUGAUAGGCCUACCAGAGGUGGGAAACAAAUCCAUCUGUCACUGGUUGCAAACCCGAGUCAUUUGGAAGCAGUUGAUCCAGUUGUUGCUGGGAAGACAAGAGCGAAGCAGUACUAUUCUAAUGACCGCGACAGGACCAAGAAUUUGGGAGUGUUGCUGCAUGGUGAUGGUAGUUUCUCAGGGCAGGGAGUUGUGUAUGAGACACUGCAUCUCAGUGCCCUUGAAAAUUACACCACUGGUGGGACAAUACAUAUUGUGGUCAAUAAUCAGGUUGCUUUCACUACUGAUCCAGAGUCAGGGAGAUCCUCGCAGUAUUGCACAGAUGUAGCAAAAGCAUUGGAUGCUCCUAUUUUCCAUGUUAACGGUGAUGAUUUGGAGGCCGUUGUUCAUGUCUGUGAGCUCGCUGCAGAAUGGCGACAGACAUUUCAUUCAGAUGUAGUGGUGGACAUUGUAUGCUACCGGCGAUUUGGCCAUAAUGAAAUUGAUGAGCCGUCCUUCACCCAACCUAAGAUGUACAAGGUACAUACUCUUCUUUGUGUCAUUUUGUUGUUAAGAUUUGGCACAAAUUUGCAUACUUUUGUCUUCACAUAGUUAUUUCUAUCAUGAUUCUUGCUGUACCAUUUGAGUAGUGAUAUCUUCAGUACAACUUCUAGUUAAAUGCUGAAGGACAGAAAAAACAUGAGUCUAUUAUGUAUCUUUUGGUAUCAUAAUCAGAAGAAUUCUUAAACUCUGAAACCAACAUUGAUUGUGAAUAAUCAAAUUUGAUGCAGUUUCGGUACAAUCGGUAUUAUUUGUCACUGGCAAAUGUGUGAUUGUGCCCAUUCACAUUUGGAAAGUGUUUUCUGUUUGUGUCAGGUGAUUAGGAACCAUCCAAGUGCGCUUGAGAUUUAUCAAAGAAAGUUGUUGGAGUCUGGGAAGAUCUCAAAGGAAGAUAUUGAUAAGUUAAACAAGAAGGUCAGCACUAUACUUAACGAGGAAUUCCAGAAUAGCAAAGACUACGUUCCCAACAAGAGGGACUGGCUUUCAGCUUACUGGACUGGGUUCAAGUCACCAGAGCAGAUUUCGCGUAUCCGAAACACCGGGUAAAUAGAUCUUCCGCCUAGUUUGACUGUUUCUGUGUUUCUUCACAUUUUAAGUGAUCUUGAACUGACAAAAAACAAUUGUGCUUCCUUGAAUAUAUUUUCAACCAUGCAGUGUCAAGCCAGAGAUUCUAAAACGUGUUGGAGAAGCCAUGACUACUCUGCCAGAAAAUUUUAAGCCUCACAGGGCUGUGAAGAAGAUUUUUGAUCUGCGGCGUCAGAUGAUUGAGACUGGAGAAGGCAUUGAUUGGGCAGUUGGUGAAGCACUCGCUUUUGCUACUCUUAUAAUUGAGGGGAACCAUGUCAGGUUAAGUGGACAGGAUGUUGAGAGGGGUACAUUCAGCCACCGUCAUUCUGUCAUCCAUGACCAAGAAACUGGAGAGCAGUACUGCCCUCUGGAUCAUCUUGUUAUGAAUCAAGAUGAGGAGCUUUUUACUGUGAGCAACAGGUAUGAAAUAAAAUAUACUAAACUUGUUCCAGUUAGGGAUGUGCAUGUGUCAUGUGGGGAAAGGUCUACACCAGGAGGCGCCGGGCCAGGGACGUUAGGCGGGCUGCUGAACGCGCAGCCAAGGGCGCGGCGUCUGGGGACGCUGGGCGCGCGCAGGACCCUGGCCCAGGCGCGGCUGGUGGUUAGGAGGUUAGGAUAGAAGGAAAGAUAUUGUUAGUUUCCUUCCCUAUUAUCUGUCCCAUGAUUCUAGGAGUUUGUUACUCGUUUUAGUUGGGACUAUGGCUUUAUAAGCCUUGUAAUCAGAUUGCACAAGGCAAGCAAGAACAAUUAUCUCCUCUCUCUCUCUUUCACCUAAGCCUGCGGUAGAGGGGUAUAACCUCACCGGAGAAGACGGCCGACGGCUACGAACUACGUAGCCGCGGUCCAGCCAGUCAAGGGUUUGACGCCCUUGACAACCUGGUAUCAGGAUUCCGGCGAUCCUCCCCUGCCCAGUCCGCCCAGUCUUCCACUGCCGCCGGCCAGCCAAACCCUACCCCGCCCACAUCCCCCACCUCAGCUGCAUCUGUCCACCAGUCACCAGCCAUGGCCGAGCCCACCCUUGCCGACGUCCUGGCGUCCCUCAAGACCCUGUCCACCGAGAUGUCCACCAUGAAGGCCGAUCUGGCCGCGAUGAAGGAGAAGUCCGCGUCGUCUUCCGACAGCGCCGGCGGUCGCAAGCCGGAGGAGCCGCGCGACAACGACUUCCCCCCCAAGCCCAAGAAGUGGGACUUCCCCCGCUACGACGGCACGACUGACCCGCUGCUCUUCCUCAACAAGUGCGAAUCUUACUUUCGCCAUCACCGGACCAUGGCGGAGGAACGGGUCUGGAUGGCCUCGUACCAUCUGGACGAAGUGGCACAGCUGUGGUACACGCAGCUUCUGGAGGAUGAGGGCGCUCCUCCAUGGGGGCGCUUCAAGGAGCUCCUGCAUCUACGCUUCGGGCCUCCCCUCCGCUCGGCUCCACUGUUCGAACUCGCCGAAUGCCGGCGGACCGGGACGGUCGAGGACUACGCUAAUCGCUUCCAGGGCCUACUGCCGCGCGCAGGCCGCCUGGACGAAGCGCAGCGAGUCCAACUCUUCACGGGUGGUCUUCUUCCACCCCUCAGCCACGCCGUCCGCAUCCACAACCCGGAGACCCUAGCCGCUGCGAUGAGUUUGGCUCGCCAAGUCGAACUCAUGGAGGCCGAACGCCCCGUGCAGCCGCCGCCCCGGGCACCGCCCCGCGCAGCCCUCCCAGCGCCUCCACCGCUGCUGGCGCUGCCUGCACCCCCUGCAGCCGCCCAGCAGGGCCGCGGCGCGGGAAAUCAACGCCGUCUGACUCCGGAAGAGAUGGCUGAACGGCGUCGCCAGGGGCUGUGUUUUAAUUGCAAUGAAAAAUACUCUCGUGGCCACAAUAGAUUUUGCAGGCGCAUCUUCUUUAUCGACGGCGUCGAGAUCGACGACGCGGACGGUGCCGGGGCAGCGGCCGAGGCCGCGGAGACGGAGGCGCCCGUCUUCUCUCUCCACGCAGUGGCUGGCGUGGCCGUGGGCAAGACCAUGCAGCUCCGCGUGGGAGUGGGCGUGACGUCUCUGAUCGCGCUCCUCGACACCGGUUCCACCCACAACUUCAUCGGGGAAGAAGCUGCGCGACGUUCGGGGCUGCCUAUCUAGCCGCGCCCAAGGCUGAUAGCCACUGUCGCCAAUGGUGACAAGGUGCCCUGCCCCGGUGUGCUUUGUCAGGCCCCCCUCGUCAUCGGCGAUCUCUCUUUCACCGCGGACCUGUUCGUCAUGCCCCUUGCUGGGUACGACCUGGUGCUCGGGGGACAGUGGAUGGAAUCCCUGGGCCGCCUCACGUGGGACUUCCCCGCGGGCACAGUGACGUUCACGCACCAGGGCCAGCCGACCUGCUGGACCGGGGUGCCCCUGCAGGAGAUGGGGGAGCCCUGCGCGACCACCACAGCAGCGCCCCUCCUCGACGAGCUCCUCGCUGGCUUCGGGGAUGUGUUCACAGCACCCAGCGGACUGCCACCCCAGCGCUCCCGCGACCACGCCAUCGUCCUCAAGCCCGACGCACAGCCGGUAGCAGUUCGCCCCUACCGCUACCUGGCUGCCCACAAGGACGAGCUGGAGCGGCAGUGCACUGCUAUGAUCGAGCAGGGCAUCGUCCGUCGCAGCGACUCGGCGUUCUCCUCCCCGGUCCUCCUCGUCAAAAAGGCGGAUGGUGCGUGGCGUUUCUGCGUCGACUACCGGGCAUUGAACGCGCUCACCGUCAAGGACGCGUUCCCGAUUCCCGUCGUCGACGAGCUGCUCGACGAGCUCCACGGCGCGCGUUUCUUCACCAAGCUGGACCUCCGAUCAGGGUACCACCAAGUCCGCAUGCGCCCCGCCGACAUCCACAAGACGGCGUUCCGGACUCACGAUGGGCUCUACGAGUUCCCGGUGAUGCCGUUCGGGCUGUGCAACGCGCCGGCGACGUUCCAGGCGCUCAUGAACGACGUCUUGCGGCCCUUCCUGCGACGGUUCGUCCUGGUAUUUUUUGAUGACAUUCUUAUCUACAGCGGGUCGUGGGCGGAGCAUCUGCGUCAUCUCCGGGUCGUGCUCGCUGAACUUCGGCGCCAUCAGCUUUUCGUCAAGCGCAGCAAGUGCGCGUUCGGCGAAACGUCGGUCUCCUACCUCGGCCACAUUAUUUCUGCAUCCGGCGUCGCCAUGGACCCAAGGUGCAGGCCAUCCGCGACUGGCCUGCCCCACGGUCCGCUCGCGCUGUGCGGGGCUUCCUCGGCUUGGCGGGCUACUACCGCAAAUUCGUCCACAACUACGGCGCCAUCGCUGCCCCACUCACCGCUCUCCUCAAGAAGGAGGGGUUCUCCUGGAGCGAUGACGCCGCUGCGGCAUUUGACGCCCUCAAGUCCGCUGUAUCUUCAGCACCCGUCCUCGCCAUGCCGGACUUCGCCAAGCCCUUCACCGUCGAGUGUGAUGCAUCCUCCCACGGUUUCGGUGCUGUCCUCAUCCAGGAGGGUCACCCGAUUGCUUUUUUCAGCAGGCCGAUCGCCCCUCGACAUCGCGCGCUCGCUGCAUAUGAGCGCGAACUCAUCGGCCUGGUUCAAGCUGUACGGCACUGGCGGCCGUACCUUUGGGGCCGUCGCUUCCUGGUGAAGACGGACCACUACAGCCUGAAGUUCUUACUGGACCAGCGGCUCUCGACGAUUCCCCAGCACCAUUGGGUGGGGAAGCUGCUGGGCUUCGAUUUCACAGUGGAGUACAAGCCGGGCGCAGCAAACACGGUCGCCGACGCGCUCUCCCGCCGGGACACAGUCGACAGCGAGGGCAGCACCAUCCUCGCCCUCUCCGCCCCGAGGUUCGACUUCGUCACGCGCCUCCGGCACGCUCAUGGCACUGAUCCGGCGUUGGGGGCACUGCUCCAGGAGCUCGCCAGCGGCGCACGCGGUGCUCCCUGGUCCCUGGUGGACGGCCUGGUCCAGUACAAGGGCCGGCUCUACAUCCCGCCCGACUCAGCCCUGGUUCGGGAGAUCGUGCAGGCCGUGCACGAGGACGGACACGAGGGCGUGCAGCGGACGCUUCAUCGACUACGCCGCGACUUUCAUUUUCCUAAUAUGAAACAGUUCGUGCAGGAUUUCAUCAAAGUGUGUGGUGUCUGCCAACGUUAUAAGGCUGAGCACUUGCAUCCGGCAGGCCUGCUCAUGCCGCUGCCUGUUCCCCAAGGCGUUUGGACCGACAUCGCUUUGGACUUCGUUGAGGCGCUGCCCAAGGUGCGUGGCAAGUCCGUCAUCUUGACGGUCGUGGACAGGUUCAGCAAAUACUGUCAUUUCAUCCCCCUGGCGCACCCGUACUCCGCGGAGUCUGUAGCAGCAGCUUUCUUCGCCGACAUUGUUCGUCUACACGGCGUUCCCCAGUCCAUGGUGUCGGAUCGCGAUCCGGUCUUCACUUCCACGUUUUGGCGGGAGCUCAUGCGCUUGAUGGGCACAAAGCUGCACAUGACGACGGCGUUCCAUCCCCAGUCCGAUGGCCAGUCGGAGGCGGCUAAUCGGGUCAUUAUUAUGUACCUUCGCUGUUUGACAGGUGACAGACCGCGGCAAUGGCUUCGGUGGCUUCCUUGGGCAGAAUUCGUCUUUAACACUGCCUAUCAGACGUCGCUGCGGGACACCCCGUUCCGUGUCGUGUACGGCCGCGACCCGCCAUCACUUCGCUCCUACGAGCCCGGCGAGACGCGGGUGGCUGCUGUGGCCCGCAGCAUGGAGGAGCGUGAUGAGUUCCUGGCGGACAUUCGUGCUCGGCUGCAGCAAGCUCAGCAAGUCCAGAAGCACCACUAUGAUGCAGGCCACCGUCCAGUAACCUAUCAAGUGGGCGACUGGGCUCUCCUUCGACUGCGCCAACGCCCCGCUGCCUCCCUGCCCCAAGCGUCGACGGGCAAGCUCAAGCCCCGUUACUUCGGGCCGUACCGCGUCUCCGAGCUGAUCAACGACGUUGCCGUCCGCCUCGACUUGCCCGCGGGAGCACGACUGCAUGACGUGUUUCACGUCGGCCUGCUCAAGAAAUUCCAGGGGACUCCACCAGCUGCGCCUCCACCUCUGCCAGCGGUGCACCAUGGCGCGCUUGCUCCCGAACCAGCUCGGGCUGUGCGUUUUCGCCUGGCUCGGGGCGUCCGCCAGGUGUUGAUCCAGUGGAAAGGCGAGUCUGCGGCAUCCUCUACUUGGGAAGAUGUCGACGCGUUCCGCGGCAAGUACCCCUCUUUCCAGCUCGAGGACGAGCUGAGCUUCGAUGGAGGGGGAGAUGUCAUGUGGGGAAAGGUCUACACCAGGAGGCGCCGGGCCAGGGACGUUAGGCGGGCUGCUGAACGCGCAGCCAAGGGCGCGGCGUCUGGGGACGCUGGGCGCGCGCAGGACCCUGGCCCAGGCGCGGCUGGUGGUUAGGAGGUUAGGAUAGAAGGAAAGAUAUUGUUAGUUUCCUUCCCUAUUAUCUGUCCCAUGAUUCUAGGAGUUUGUUACUCGUUUUAGUUGGGACUAUGGCUUUAUAAGCCUUGUAAUCAGAUUGCACAAGGCAAGCAAGAACAAUUAUCUCCUCUCUCUCUCUUUCACCUAAGCCUGCGGUAGAGGGGUAUAACCUCACCGGAGAAGACGGCCGACGGCUACGAACUACGUAGCUGCGGUCCAGCCAGUCAAGGGUUUGACGCCCUUGACAGCAUGGGUUAGCAGCUUAAGUUCACCUUCUAUAGGAAACACGAAAUGUUAUUACAAUAACCAGAUAGAUCCAAAAUAGAACCAGUACUUAUGUCAACUGCACUAGUUGAUUUCUGUUCCCUAAUAAUGGGCAGCAAAAAAUAAAAAUAAAGAAAAUAAAAUAAGGCAUUGCAUAUCAAUAUGUCGAACUUCAGGUAAAAUAACAUUGUUCUUCUGUCAGUGGCCUGUCUUAAUGUUGUACUACCUACUUACUGUUGCUGUGUGGGUAUUGUGGUAUAUUGGUAUUAUUAAUUAUUUGAACUUCUGAUAUAAUGCUACAAGGUUUAUAUUGAUGAAUUGAGAAGCGUAAGGUACAGCAGAAAGCUAGAAACACAGGCGAGGAAUAGAAUUCCUGACUAAUUCCUGUUUCCAUGCAUUGUAGGCACUGAUCACUGAGAUGAUCUAGAUAAGGAACAAUCAUAACGAGUACUGAGAUUGAUUAGUAAUCAGAUUAAAAGAACCUAGAUACAGGACUGAAUGAUAAGAUGUUUCAACGGUUGUUGGAUUUUAUGGUUGAUUUCCACAUGCUUGUAUAUCAUCUUUUGCUGUACGAAUUUUCAGAUGCAAAAUAUAAGGAAAAAAAUGGCUGAGUAUGUGGGAUGUCUCGAGUCUGGUUAUUUUAACAACGCUCGUUGUAUCUUUCUUUCUUAGUGAAAUGCACAUAGCUCUCUCGGUAGUUCAACGGAAACAAAUUUGAACAUUUUGCACCCUCAACUGGCAAGUUAGUAAUUUUCAUUUCAGAUGAAAACAAGUUUUGGGGUUGUUCUUUAGGGAAUCAUAACCUUGAGGUUAAGGGCUGCUAUAUAUUGUAAUAUAAACAUAUGGAGAUACCAUCUUUUCAUACCUGAUUAUUUCCCCUUUUUAUAGUCGACUGGCUUUUUUUUUGGCCUGAUCUGAUGUAUGCAAUUUAUUUGACAGUUCCCUGUCAGAAUUUGCUGUUUUGGGCUUUGAAUUGGGUUACUCCAUGGAGAACCCGAACUCAUUGGUCAUAUGGGAAGCUCAGUUUGGUGAUUUUGCAAAUGGAGCUCAAGUGAUAUUUGAUCAGUUCCUGAGUAGUGGGGAGUCAAAAUGGCUCCGCCAGACUGGCCUUGUCGUUUGCCUUCCUCAUGGAUAUGAUGGUCAGGGGCCUGAACAUUCUAGUGCAAGAUUGGAGCGCUUUCUUCAGGUACUAUUUUGUAUUUUCAAUUGCAAAGAUGCAGGGACAUUAAUAACCCGUGUUUGAAAUAUUAUCCAUACACUUAAAAGGAACAGUUGCAAGAUCACUUACUGUAAAUUAGCUCUACAACAACCCUACAGUCUCUCUCUUUUUUUUCCCUUUGGAAUUGUUUAUGCCAUUUGCCAAUGAUGAUCAUUGUCAUUACCAGAAAAUUGACUUUGUUGCUUACAAUGUUUAAUAUUUUCCCUUUGUCAUGACUGAUAACUUGGCAGCCAAAUACCUACAUUUAAUGGAAAUGCAUCAAAAUUGUCCAUGGUAGCUCACUGGUCACAACAUUAACAUUACAUGAUUUUAGAGUUUUGAAUAGAGAAUGCAAUCAAAUCAUCACUUGCACUUUGUAUAUUGAUGGAUCUGCAGUUAGCCAGUUACUUCUAUAUUAUGCAGUUUAUCAGUUAUACGUGUAAUGACUCUGAAUGUUACAGAAAUAUGUUUAGUUUUAGUAUUUGGAAAUAUAUUCUUGGCUCUACGACAUUUAGAUGCUGAUAGUUUUUGGUUACCUACAUCCUUUUUAUAUUAACAUCAAUAACUGUAUUGCAGAUGAGUGAUGACAACCCUUAUGUUAUACCUGAGAUGGAUCCAACACUGCGGAAGCAAAUCCAGGAGUGCAAUUGGCAGGUCGUUAAUGUAACGACUCCUGCGAAUUAUUUCCAUGUUCUUCGUCGCCAGGUAAAAAUCUUUGCAAAAUUUCCCCUUCCUCCUGUAAAACCAUCUGAUGUGGUGCACUGAAAUGGCUUUCCUUUAUUUCUAGAUACACCGGGACUUCAGGAAGCCUUUGAUUGUGAUGUCCCCAAAGAACCUCCUUCGCCACAAGGACUGCAAGUCAAACCUAUCUGAAUUUGAUGAUCUUGCGGGCCACCCUGGAUUCGACAAGCAAGGGACACGCUUCAAGCGGCUCAUUAAGGACCAGAAUAAUCACAAGGACCUUGAGGAGGGAAUCAACCGUCUAGUUCUUUGCUCUGGGAAGGUAGGUUGUGUCCCUCUUGGAAGUUGUAUUUUGAAGAUCGUUAGGUUCCUCUUUGGCAGAUUGGCAAGCCCUUUUUUUUACUAUGAUUUCAGGUGUAUUAUGAACUGGAUGAAGAAAGAAGGAAGGCAGAGCGCACUGAUGUUGCUAUAUGUAGAGUUGAGCAGCUCUGCCCGUUCCCCUAUGACCUCAUUCAGCGCGAGUUGAAGAGAUAUCCAAGUAUGUGUUUAGAAAAGUUUGGUUGCUCGUUUUUACUCUGCUGCCUGAUUUCUAAUUUGUCAACUGUAUACUAGAAUAUGUUUUGGUAGCUGGAAGGAUAGUUGACAUAUAUAUACAGAUAUAUAUUCAUUCUUUUUUGCGAGCAGAUAUAUACACAUUCUAAUGGAUGAGUCCUAGUAAACAACAAACAAGCUGAUACACGCGUUUAUGUUGUGCAGAUGCUGAGAUCGUGUGGUGCCAGGAGGAGCCGAUGAACAUGGGAGCGUACAGCUACAUCAACCCGCGGCUGCUGACGGCGAUGAAGGCUCUUGGCCGUGGUGGCAUCGAGGACAUCAAGUACGUCGGCAGGGCCCCUUCGGCUGCUACCGCGACGGGCUUCUACUCUGUGCACGUGCAGGAGCAGACGGAGCUGGUGCAGAAGGCGCUGCAGCGCGACCCCAUCAACUACCCGUUCUGAAAGAAACGAGACCCCCUGUAGAUUCUUGGAAUUGGGGACCUUUUGAUUUUGAUAUACCUCUAUAGAGAGAGCAGGCCUUAAGUUAUACAGUACCUGUGCAGCCAUUUGGUGAAAUAAUCAUUUCGGACUCUACAGUGCUGCAUUUGAAAGGAACGGUUGUAAGUUUGGAAAAACUCCAUCUCGCAGCUUCAUUUUUGUGUUCGUGU